RNAcentral lists this long non-coding RNA (145101 nucleotides) under Setaria viridis. RNAcentral describes it as "long non-coding RNA (SVIR_LNC007217)". The record is from RNAcentral. Lineage: Eukaryota; Viridiplantae; Streptophyta; Magnoliopsida; Poales; Poaceae.
CAAUUAAUCCGACUACACACGAGCUUCUCUCCCUGGCCAAGACACAAUCAUAGUAUGAUGAAGAACAUGGCACUAGCCGGCAAUGGUAUGAAGAAGUUAAUCCUCGCUGUUCUCUUACUCUGUCUAGUUAUAGGGCAGAUACAAGUGGAAGCUAAGAGCUGCUGCCCAUCCACCACUGCAAGAAAUAUCUACAAUACCUGCCGUUUCGGGGGUGCAUCCCGUUCAAUGUGUGCAAAACUGUCAGGCUGCAAAAUUAUCAGUGGGAACAAAUGCAAGCCCCCUAACGACCACCUCACCCUUGACCCGGACACUGGUAAAUAAUAAAUUUAUCUCACUUGAUUUCUUCGUGAUUUGAGUCGUUAAUGUAUUUUCCAUCUGAUGAAACGUAUUGGUUUUGCAUUGAAGAGGAAGUUAAUGUGCUUAACUUCUGCAAGUUGGGGUGUGCGUCGUCUGUGUGCAACAACAUCAACGCUGGUAAGCACCUUUUGCUCAGACGGAGAAAACAAUAAUCAUUAAUUAGCGGCAGCUAGAAUCCUAUAAUCUAAUAUAUUUAUAUAUAUAUAUAAUUUUAUCAGCUCUGGGAAAUGAAGAGGCGAACGAUGCCGUUGAGAGUUGCGACCAAGCCUGCUCUAGCUUCUGCAGCGUGCAUGUUGGCAGCGCCACCGUGGUUGCUUAAGCAAAUGCAUGCAACUAGAUCGUCCUUGUGCUGAAUAAUUGGAUAUCGUAUCCACUUAAAGCUGCCUUGUGUAGUACGUCUUUGUUUGUGUCUCUCUUUAUAUUCCACUAAGGUCGGUGAUCUUGAUGCCACACACACUCAGAUGUGUGUUCAUCUCCAGAUACUACUCCAUGCUACCUGCCCUUUUUGUUUUGUUCAAUAACUGGGUAUCAUAUCCCGGCCAGUGUGCCAUCUAUUUUGUGUUUGUUUCCUUCUAGUUCCAAAGGGGUCAUCAUGAUGUUACCUUCUUUCGAUAUGGUGCUUUGCAUGACAACUGUUGUAUGGUACCAUCUUGUUGGCCAAUAAAUACAUCUUAUCCUAUGACCCUUUGCUAUGACCCUUUGCAAAUAAGUACAAGAUUGUUAUAAGCGUCAAUACUCAGUAUAAUUGAUCGCUGCUGUGAGUUCCCUUUCAGCUUAUCGUAGGCACACAUUAUUGCUAGCACGGUAAAGACAACCAACACGAAUGAUGAAGUAAACGUAGCGGUACUUUUGUAUACCAACACCCUUACUUAAAUGUACUGGUGUCAUUCCCUACUGGCACAUAUAUUCUUAUAUGCUAGCCAGAUUGGAAAAUUAACCAAUUAAAAUAAUUAUUUCAAGAUAGAAAUAACUUAUCGGCUUCUCGAAGCAUGUGUAAUUUUAAUUCAAGGACUCAAUGGAAGUUGAAUCACUUCAUCUAGAUUGCCUUCUGGAUUUUGGUUAACUAAAUUUAACAUUUGUGUCGGGGGGAAAUAUUAACGAUUUUCUUACGCUCUCUAAUUAACGGAUACAAGGGCUAGGGCCCACCCCUAAUACCCAUAAUCUCCGCUAACAACACAUCCCAGAGGCACUCCGCUCCGCCUCGCCCGACUUCAGGGUCGCAGGGUCGGACGUGCCCGACCCCCCAAGGCCUCGCCUCGUCUCAGCCGAUGGAGUUCCGCCUCGCCCGACCCUGAGCCCAACGGAUCGGACGCGCCCGACCCCUCGAAGCAGGACUCCGCCUCGCCCGACCCUGAGCGCAAGCGGUCGGACGUGUCCGGUCCCACCUGACAGAGCUCCGCCUACCCGAAGGUACGAGCAGGUCAUCAGACGGAAGCGCGGGCUCUGUGAGUCCCCCUGGGCUCACCCAACCGAUGGGACCGCGCAAGCUUCCAGAUACAGUUCUGACACAUGGAGAGGCGCCCGCGUUCCUCGACAUGACCUGUCAAAAUGUUGGUCUGCGCACUGCUGCCACGACUGCACAGGGCUACACCUGCACCGUCCUACCCCACUGUGACAUCUGUCAUAGGGCACUCAUCGCUCAUACCAUCUAAUGGAGGAGGGAAAACCGCCUAGUUUUCCACGUGGGCUAGCAAGAAGAGCACGUCAGCCACGCCGCCCCGUCAGGGUGCAUGGCUACAGUGGUUGACCAUCACCCGCGACGUGCACAGUCACAGUGGCCAGUCGUCACCACCAACUUGCACAGCUACAGUGGUCGGCCGCCAUGCACGACUCGCGUGUCCGGCUACAGUGACCGACCGCCGAGUCACCGAUGGGACCCAACGGCAACCCCUAUCCCUUAGUAGCAGUACCGACAAGACGCAGAGACAAGAAGGGAAGACGACGUCUCUAGUAGCCCCACUUGCUUCCCUUUUUACCUUUCUACCUGUUUACCUUCCUUACUCCCGGCUCAUUUGUAACCUCUGUAUCCUCCUUGCACUAUAAAAGGAGACCAGGGGGUCUGAGGGCAAGGGACCCUCGGAGACCGAACCCCGAAUUCACCCAAGUACAAACCAACCGAACCACCAGACGAGAAAGACUCACAGAGAUCUGGGAACCAGCUUCCCUCUCUCACCUAUUUGUAGCCUCUACUCCAGACUUGGUACGAGUAACACGAGCAGCCACCCGCACUGGACUCCUCCGCCAGAAACUGGUCCAACCAGUCGGGUCCCUCCCCCUGCUCUUCGUCCUCAUCAUCCUCAUCAUCGUCGUCCUCAUCCGUUGCCGUGUCUGGCCCCUCCGCAGCCUUCAGAACUCCGCUGCAGCUUUCUUUUUCUUCCUCACCGUCUCCUUGUCCUUCCUCUUCUUCUGUGCUUCGUCGAGGAGGCGGUUCCGCUGCCUCUGCACCACGUCCUCUGGCACCGGUGGACGGGAGGCUGUGACAUGGUUUAAGUUACCCUGCAGAUUCGAAGACUCCGCGUCAGAAUAGCAAACCAGGAAAUGCAGGAAAGAAGAACGAGAGUGCAAAUUUCUAACCAGCAGGACAUAGGCCUCGUCCGGGCGCAUCGGAGGGUGCCCCGGCACCGGGAACACGACAUCCCUGUCACCCAAUGCAUCCCGGACACGCUGCUCGAUCUCGGCGUCGGCAAUUGCACCCGUCGCAAGGACGGUGCUGUGGUACGCCCCAACAACUCCGGCCCCGGUCAGGCCCUCCUCCUUCAGAAGGUUGAUGGCUUCGAGGAGACCCCGGAUAUUCUUCUUCUCCUUCUCAACAGGGCCAUAUGUCCACGUUCCCGGUGCCUCCACGAUGACGCGGCCAGUGAACUCCGUCAAGAGGACAUCGGGGCGGUUCUUCACAUAGAGCCACUGCUGAUGCCACCCUUUGUGGGAUGACGGGGUCUUCAUCGAUGUAUACUCCUUGGGCCGAUGGCCACAGAGGUGGAUGCCGGCACACCCCAUCAGCAUCGGAAUCGUCCGCGUCUGGUUUCCUCUCUUCUCGGUCCUCUGAUGAAGAGUGACAGCGAAGAAGUACUUCCACAGGGCGAAGUUGGGCUCGAUCCCCAGGUAUCCCUCCCAAAGCACGACGAACGCCGCGAUGUGCUGGAUUCCGUUGGGGUUGAGGUGCUCCAGCUCAAUGCUAUAGUAGUGCAGCAGCCCCCGGAAGAAGCGACUUGGGGGAACCGCGAACCCCCUCUCGUGGAAGUGCGCGAAGGAGACGAUGUACCCGUCCUCCGGCUGUAGCACGGCCUUGUUCCCGGGAUACCGCCACUCGUUCUCGGCGAUCCUAUCGCGAAGAAGGCCCUUCUUCACGAGACCGAUCACGCGCGCGGUGUUGAAGAUUGACCAAGACCUUGAAUCCAUCGCCGAGGAAGGGGAAGGCUCGACGGCGGUGGUGGAAAGGUGAAUGCUCUGGCUCGAAAGAGGAUGAAAAGUGAACAAGGAGGCGAGAAAGGCUGAAGACGAGUGCGGAGCGGAGCAAGCAAGGUAAGCUCUCUCGUUUUACAGGGGGCGUGCGAGAAACGAAAGGCGAACCGAACGCAUUUAUUGCGACGUCAGGUAUGCCCCAUCGCCUCCGCCUUUCUUCGGAAACCGUACGCAUGAUUUCUUUUUAACCGCAGGGAACGCUACGCCCCCUCGCCCCACGAGCCCGGUGUUUUUUGCCGCUUCGUCUCCUGGAGGUCAUGCGCACAACUUCCUCCACAAGCGGCCCAGGGCCCGCUUCAGGUAAAAAAGGGAUACAGAGCUGAAAACACUCUAACGGCCCAUUACGGUCCAGGGGUUCGAAGGCUGGCCCUCUAGAGGGUUCGACAUCCACCCCAGGACAUUUCUUGAGCAAGGGGUGAGAAGGGACGGGUCCGCUAGCGACCACUACCCUGGUGAACAAAAGCCAAGGGCGUCCCGACCUCACAUUUGAGUCUCGAUUGGCGUUUAAGUUCAUGGUUUUUCCCCGAAGAAAGGCAAAGUGCCCCCGGAUCCGGUUGAACAGACCUGGGAACUAUAUGAACUGGCCGUCCGAAAUCUGGAGUACGCCACCAGCUUGGCCCAAGCCGGACCCGCCCGAACAGGGACCGGGACUCCACUCGAACUGACCCGUUAGCAGCUCACCGAGCACCAUGGUUCGUCCGAUGAGGAUAACAUGGCACGGCUCACCCCCUCCGUCCCAACGAACGGACGCUGAGGGGUAACGACUAAAAGACGAUCCGACCUCUCGAUCGGUCCCCUGCAAUGCGCGGGGGCUCGAGGGCUGGAAUCACAACGAAACGACCAUGCGCAUGGUUACGACUCGGAAUUUUGAGGCAGGAAUGGUCAUUGAAACAAUAGGGAAUCUUCCCAAACCGUACCAUCCUCAGAACACUCUGGCUACCCAAAACUCCCCGGCCAGGCCAAACAAGCAAAACUUUUCUCCUGAUCAAAUCAAGGUACAUGUUAAACAAGACCCCUGACAAACACUCUGCCGAGAGCCAAUCACAGCCUCUGGAGGAGCACCUUGCUCCACCAAAGGCUCGGGGCCUACUGUCAGGGGGAAAUAUUAACAAUUUUCUUACGCUCCCUAAUUAAUGGACACAAGGGCCAAGGCCCACCCCUGACACCCGUAAUCUCCACCAACAACACAUCCCAGAGGCACUCCGCUCCGCCUCGCCCGACUACAGGGUCACAGGGUCGGACACGCCCGACCCCCCGAGGUCUCGCCUCAUCUCAGCUGAUGGAGUUCCGCCUCACCCGACCCCAGGCGUAAGGGGUUGGACGCGCCCAACCCCUCAAAGCAGGACUCCGCCUCGCCCGACCCCGAGCGCAAGGGGUUGGACACAUCGGAUCCCACUAGACAGAGCUCCGCCUCGCCCGAAGGUAUGAGUAGGUCAUCAGACGGAAGCGCGGGCUUUAUGAGUCCCCCCAGGCUCACCUAACCGAUGGGACGCGCACAAUUCUAGAUACAGUUCUGACACGUGGAGAGGUGCCCGCGUUCCUCGACAUGACCUGUCGGAAUGUUGGUCUGCACACUACUGCCACGACUGCACAGGGCUACAACUGCACCGUCCUACCCCACUGUGACAUCUAUCAUAGGGCACUUAUCGCCCAUGCCGUCUAACGGAGGAGGGCAAACCGCUUGGUUUUCCGCGCAGCCUAGCAACUACAGCACGUCAGCCACGCUGCCCCGUCAGGAUGCAUGGCUACAGUGGUUGACCGUCGUCCGCGACGUGCACAGCUACAAUGGCCAGUCGUCACCACCAACUUGCACAGCUACAGUGGUCGGCCGCCAUGCACGACCCGCGUGUCCGGCUACAGUGGCCGACUGCCGAGUCACCAAUGGGAUCCAACGGCAACCCCCAUCCCUCAGUAGCAGUACCGACAAGACGCAAAGACAAUAAGGGAAGACGGUGUCUCCAGUAGCCCUACUUGCUUCGCUUUUUACCUUUCUACCUUUUUACCUUCCUUACUCCUGGCUCAUUUGUAACCCCUGUGUCCUCCUUGCACUAUAAAAGGAGACCAGGGGGCCCGAGGGCAGGGGACCCCCGGAGACCGAACCCCGAAUUCACCCAAGUACGAACCAACCGGACCACCAGACGAGAAACACUCACAAAGAUCUGGGAACCAGCUUCCCUCUCUUGCCUGUUUGUAGCCCCUACUAUAGACUUGGUACGAGUAACACGAGCAGCCACCCGCACUGGACGUAGGGCUAUUCCUGCCCGAACCAGUAUAAACCUCGCGCCCUCUCGUACAACCAUCCAAGCCUUACGCGUAGAGAAACAAAUUUACUAAGCCGGUAGUCUUGACCCGUGAUUCGUGAGACCGACAAUUUGCACAUACAAAUGUUAAAGUACAAAUGUUAAAUCUAGUUACCAAGCAGAAUACGAAAUAGCGGGCUAUAGUGAGGCUAUAGCGGCGCUAACUGCUGCAACAACAGUGUUGUACUAAUUAGCAGGCUAUAGCGGAGCUAUAGCGGUUGAGCACAGCUCUACGCUAAAUAUCAUAGCCCUCAAUUUUGUACAUUGUAUAUACUAUAUAAAUCUAGUUAACAUUUAGUCUAAAUGUUAAAUCGAGUUACCUAAAAUCCUGAAAGCAAAAUGUAUAAAUAUAUAUCUUUUAGGGUAGUAUAAGCUUCGAUUCCUUUUGCUGCUCUGUUAAAUCUCAUCUUUCGUUGUAGCCCAACACUCUAGUAUUGAUUUUGCACCAAGCUUCUUUGAGCCGCUCUGCCCUCUGAUUUUGCUGCGUAGGGGAAUCUUUAUCAGGUUGGGCUACUUCCAGUCGUGCGAUGUAUACCUUUGUAUCUUCUAGAAGGUAGACAGAAAACCCGCGUUCUCUUAAGGCAACAACCAGAAGAUUCUGCAGCGCACGGGGCAUAUCAUUGUUGUAGAAACGACCUUUAGUAUCGAUCUCCAACCCCUUAUAGUACUGGUUUUGCAACCAGUACCGUUAUGUCGGACCUUUAGUACCAGAUCAAAUAACCGGUUCUAAAGGGACUCCUUUAGUACCGGUUGGUAACCAGUAUCAACUUGUUUUGCGGCCAAAAAAAUAAAGAAAAAAAUAGCCAGAAGGCUAGCACACACACACAUCCCACGAAAUAUGCGCGUGCGCGGUCCAUGGGAUUCGAACCCAUGAAAUCAAGCUGCGCGCAACCCUUCGUUACCAUCUCACCUUCAGUACCGGGUCAUAACACCACCCGGUACUAGUAUCGGAUGCUGUAAUGACUCGAUACUAAAAGGCCUCUAGGGACCCUCAAAUUUGGACCCGAUACUAAUGCUAACAUUAGUACCGGGUCAAAGUGCAGCCAGUACUAAAGCAUGGGACGAAAGGUCAUAUUUCUAGUAGUGUAUAGUUGUUGUGUAGGACUGACUUGGCUGUCCUCUCUCUUCUCCAUCCCAUUGGUCUUACGCCGCCGCUCGCACGCGAGCCGGCACCCAACCAGAGGAGUGAGAGCUAGGGGCGGGUUGGGAGGUGGGGGUAGCGACUGGUGGCUAGGGUGAUGGUUGAUGUUGGCGGGGUUAGGGUUUCAUGGUUUUCAAGCUACCUACGGCCGGCGAACCUAGAGGAGGAGGUCGACAUCAGCUGCAACCCGCGGUGGUGGUGGUUUGGCCGGCGCCCCAGGCGAGGCAGCGUGGGAGUGCUGCUGGCGGGUUGGUGUUGGCGCUCAUUAUUGACACAUUUUUAGUACUAUUUUGUUCAUGGAAUAACACUCAAACGUGCUGGUGCUGCUGCCGCCAUCGCCGCCCUAGCCAUAAUAUAAAGGCAAAAUUUGCUAGAGGACAUGCAAAAUGAUGCUAGUUUGCUGGAGGGCACCGUUGACCAUGUAAUAUGCUACAAGACACUCUAGUUGUUCUAGAGUGUAUCAAUUUGCUGAAAGACAUUGCUACGACUAAAAUAAUGUUUCUGGACUGAGUUGGAGAGAGAGAUGGAGUGAAAUGUCUGUUUUGCCCAUGACCCCACUGAUCAGAUCCUUCUUCUUCCACCCUCCUUUCUUCUUUCUUCAACCAUUACCCAGCUCUAGUGUGUUGCAGAUCUACGAGGGUGGCGGCCCGGGGCGAGGGGCAUCGCUUGCCCUCAGACGAGCGCCGCGAGCGACGGCGCGGGGGCAGCAACGGCGCGUCGGAACCUGACCGUUCGUUAGCUCCUCUCGCUGCUGGGGAAGGAGGGGGAGGGGCCAUGGACGGGGUUCCCUCGAAAACCUUAGCCUCGAGCUCAGGCGGCUACGCGCAGGCAGCACUAGGCUCUUCGCGGGGAGGGGGCGCGGCCAAUCAUUGGCACCCCACUGGUCCAAUGCUGAUGAAGAUGGUGCCAGCGUCGUGAAGAUGGUGCCAGCGUCGUGUGAGGACCUCUCAUCUCCUCGAGUUCCAUGGCCAGCACAGGUGAGCGUCCGCUACCACAAAACAGAGGUGUCGUGAGAGUCAAAAAAACUCAUGAAAAUAGCUAAAACCAUCAUGAAAAUAAUCCAUGACACGACACUCUAACGAAAAUCCUCUCACAAAUAUGGUGCCAUCAAAAUACCAUUUUCAUGAGAGUGAACUGUCAUGAUUUUAUUUCGUGAGAGUAUUUCCUAUCAAUGACCUCCACGAAAUACUUUGUGCCACCAGGUCUUCAAGAUCAUUUUCAUGAGAGCCGAACGUCACGAAAGGUCCGCCACAAAUGUUUUUCCUGGGAGCCUCUAACUCUCAUCAAAAGCAUGUGGGCCGCCGCGAAAAACAGCCUGACCAAAUGACAAUUUUCAUUUUCAUGUGCUCUUACCGCCAUGAAAAUGGUCAUUUUCAUGAGAGUUGAUGAAACAAAAAAAUAGUGCCAUUUUCAUGAGAGUUCAAGCAACCAGGAAAAGGCACUAAUAAACAUCCAGAUCCCAUCCAGCACACAUCCAUGCACAUAUAUAACCCACAUAUUGCUCCAGCAACAUCCAUGCAUAUACAAGAUCCAAAUGUCUUGGUAUGAACCUACAUGCAUGUGAUGAACCAGUAACCUGCAAAAAGAGCUCAUAGGAUCUUGUCCUCAUAUUGUAGCUGUGAAAUUCUUGCAAGUAGUGUUGCAAUCAGUUCACUUUGAACCAAAAGAGCUCAAAGGAUCAUGUCCUCAAAGUUCCUCUUAAAGCUUAUGGGUUUGCUGGUGGAACUGGAAGGGCUUGAUGCAGCAUGCCAUUCUGCAAUAGAGAAAAAUUUAGAAAGCUGUACUAGUUAAAAUUGGAUGCAGCAGAGACACAUGAAACUAGUAUUUAUACAAUUCUAUAUAUAUAAUAAUUUGUCCCCUAAAUUUUUAGGAUCCUCUCGACGGUGGUGAGUCUUCCAGUAAGGCAAUUGAAUGUCCAUCGUGAUAAAAUUCUCCUUUGGAUUUAUCAUCUUCUCAACCAGAAAUCCUAGGAGUUCAUCCUUAAGCCUUACCAGUUGUAAUUUGGAAAUAUGUGAAAGUUAAACGAACAAUUAAAAUCUAAGGAUCCUUAUCAUCAUUUCCAUACGUUUGCGAAUUAAAAUAAUGAAGGAUACAAUGUUAGGUGAAAAUUCAAGAAACAAAAUUUUGUAUAGAGAUAAUGGUCCGACAUUAUUACAAGUUAAAGUUGUUUUAAAUAUCCUUGUAAUCUUCCUUUGGUUUCCUCGACGAUUCCAAGACAGUAACCUUGCUUCUAUCAAUGAUAAUUAUAAGGAGAACCCAAUGAAAACUGUGUAUUCAUAUUAGAACUAACUAAGGUUAAUUCGGAUAGGAAAGGAAAUCAAAAAUAGAUGGUACCCACACUUACUUAAAGUUGUAGGGUAGUAGUAUGUAAUGCUUGUAAUUCUGUUGCUCCAAGAAUUUGUAUAUGUGGUUCAAUGUAGACUUUGGUUGAUCCUGUAUCUGCUGUUGGUUGAAUAAGUGUUUCUAACCAUUUCUAGCCGUUAGAACUGGGACUAAAGGGAGCUCUUAGUGCUGGUUGAUAUUACUAGUCGGGACUAAAGAGCCCCCGUUAGAGUUGGUUUUCGGACGUGGAACUAACCACUCCUUUAGUCUCAAGUCCAAAAAUGAUUGAGACAUUUGUUGCUGGAUGGAACACUAGUAGAGAAUUGGCUUUCGAUGCGCCCCCUUUUGUCCCGGUUUAAAGUUGGACUGGGACAAAAGAGGGUGCGCCACGGUAGGUAAAAAUGGAGGGGGGAGUUAGUCCCGGUUGGUAAUUGCAACCGGGACUAGAGGCCCCCCUUUAGUCCCGGUUGCAAUGGCUAGCUGGGGGGCGUCGGUGGCGGCACCUUUUUGUCCCGGUUGGAGUCUCCAACCGGGAUAAAAGGUCCACCCUUUUAUCCCGGUUGGAGGCUCCAACCGGGACAAAAAGUUUAGUCCCGGUUGGAGCUUCCAACCGGGAUAAAAGGGUGUCCCUUUUGUCCUAGUUGGAGCCUCCAACCGGGACUAAACUUUCAACCGGGACAAAAGGUGUGGUUGGAGUUUUUAACUGGGAUAAAAACUCAUCCCCCAUUAUAUACCAAGACAGAGGACUUUCUUCCUCCUCCAGCCCGAGCCAGUCCAGCACAUUCACAGAGAGUUGACCUUCACCUACUCUCCGGUGGUGCCGAAGCAAGGAGGUGCUGCCCGAAGUUUUUUCCCUCAUUUUCGUGGGAAUUUCACUCAGCUAACACAAGUGUUGUGAAGGUUUGCUACUUCAUCCUCGUUUAUGCUUUGAUUUAUGCUUUGGAGAUGGAAAGAUUAUUUGUUAGAAUGUGAUGAAGUAGAAAAUGGAGAGAAUAUUUUGAGCUAGAAUGUGAGGGAGAUUGAUGUGUCAUAUAUAGUAUGCAUUCUUGCAGUGGUUUAAGAAUGAUGCUACCUUGUCCAGACAAUUUAUCUUAUCAAAUUCAAUAUAGUUUUUCAAAUCCAUACUUGUUGAACUUGCAUACCGUGUUCAUCUCUACGAGGAUAUUCUCUGCCGAGCAGCAACGUAUGUCAAGAAGGAGGUUCGAUUCUACGAGGAAGAGUGGAUACGGACAUCGUGACCGUGUCCCCUUUUCCGUAGCAUCUAACCUCUUUCAUGAUGAAGUGCGGUGCCGCCCAGUUGAGAACAUGCUCGCGAGAUGAACACAGUAUGCAAGUUCAACAACUUCUGCAGUAGUAAGGAAAGAAUUUUUGUACAUAGAUGACUUCUGCUACUUGUUGAACUUAUCAAAUUCAAGAAGGUUUUUCAAAUCCAUACUUGUUGAACUUGCAUACCGUGGUCAUCUCGCAGAGGAUGUUCUCCGCCGAGCAGCAACGUAUGUCAAGAAGGAGGUUCGAUUCUACGAGGAAGAGUGGAUACAGACAUCGUGACCGUGUCCCCUUUUCCGUAGAAUCGAACCUCUUUCAUGACGAAGUGCGGUGCCGCCCAGUUGAGGACAUGCUCGCGAGAUGAUCACGGUCUUUAAGUUUAACAACUUAUGCAGUGUUAAGGUAAUAAUUUUUGUACAUAGAUGGCUUCUGCUACUGGAGAAAGUGGCGAUGGUGGGGGUGAUCGUGGUUCCUCUUUCGGCAAGGGGAAAAUCAUAGUUGGCCCUCAGCAUAAGCCAAAGAAAAAGAGCGCACUGGAAAAAGCAAUGCUUCGUUAUUUGCAGCAACGUCAUGAAGAAGUUGUUGCCGCGGGUCAGGAACCUCCUUUUGGUCGUCGUUAUGCUCCACCCUUAGUCCCGGGUGUUUCACAUCCACUUAGUACUACCGUUUCAGGCGGCACAAAUAAACCUAAGGAUGAGGCUAGGUCAGCGGAACUUUCGUCUUCACUGUCCAAGGAUGCUUAAAGUCCUCCUAGAUAAUAACCAGUGGAUGGCUUGUUGUAUUGUAUCAUGUUGUUUGGAUCUUUAAUUUAAAUAUGUGUAUUUGGAUCUUCAUGUUGUUGUAUUGUACCAUGUUGUUUGGAUCUUUAAUCAAUUUUCACACGUAAUCCAUUGUCAAGUGUAAUCCAUUUUCAUGCAUAAUAAGAUGCAGAUGGACCGGCAAUGGAUGUAUAAUGCAGACAGGCAGAGCAAGGUGUUUAUUGAUGGCUUGCAUUAUUGUCUCGAAGUGGCCAAAGCGAACAAGCCAGAGAAUGGGUUCGUAUGUUGUCCAUGCUUCCAAUGCAAUAACAAGAAGGAGUAUUCAUAGGAUUCCUGGGGGACUAUUCACAGCCACUUGUUUAAAUACGGUUUCAUACUUAACUAUUUGGUUUGGACCAAGCACGGUGAACGAGGGGUCGUAAUGGAAGAUGGCGAGAAGGAGGAGGAAGAUGACACCAUUCCAGACUGGGUUGUAGGCCAAGCUUUUGCAGGUACUACAAUGGGCGAGGCUCAUGAAGAUGAGUUUGCAGAAAAUGGCCCUAUUGAUGACUUUGGUCAGGUGAUACGAGAUGCAUACAGAGAUUGCGAAAUUGAGAAGGAAGCAGCAAAGUUGCAGCGCAUGAUAGAUGAUCACCAAAAAUUAUUGUACCCAGGUUGCCAGCUGGGCCAUAAAAAACUAGGUACGACACUAGAAUUUGUGCAAUGGAAGGCAAAAAAUGGUGUGUCCGAUAAGGCAUUUCAGGGGAUGUUGACCAUUGUCAAGAAGAUUCUUCCCGAGAAUAAUGAAUUACCGUCCACAACAUAUGAAGCUAAACAGAUUAUUUGCCCUCUCGGAUUGGAUGUUCAGAAGAUACACGCAUGCCCUAAUGACUGUAUCCUCUAUCGUGGUGAUGACUACGAGAAAUUGGAUGCUUGUCCCGUGUGCGAAGCCCUGCGGUAUAAGAUUAGGUGAGAUGAUCCUUGUGAUGUCGAGGGGCAGUCUCCCAAUAAGAGAGUUCCCGUGAAGGUGAUGUGGUAUUUCCCUAUAAUACCACGCUUGAAGCGCUUGUUCAGGAAAAAGGCGAAUGCUAAGUUGAUGUGAUGGCACAAAGAAGACCGUAAGGAAGAUGAGAUGCUGAGACACCCCGCAGAUGGGGCACAGUGGAGAUCAAUUGAUAGAGCAUUCUCGGACUUUGAAAGUGAAGCAAGGACAUAAGGUUUGGUUUAAGUACUGAUGGAUUCAAUCCAUUCGGUGAGUUGAGUAGUGGCCAUAGUACUUGGCCUAUGACCCUAUUUAUGUUGAACCUUCCUCCUUGGCUAUGCAUGAAGUGGAAGUUCAUUAUGAUGCCGGCGCUUAUCCAAAGUUCAAAACAACCCGACAACGACAUUGACGUGUACCUAAGACUGUUGGUUGAUGACCUUUUACAGCUCUGGAAGGAAGAAGGUGUACGUGUGUGGGAUGAGGAUAGACAAGAGAUCUUUAAUCUACGAGUAUUGUUGUUUGUAACCAUCAAUGAUUGGCCUGCACUGAGUAACCUUUCGGGACAGACAAAUAAGGGAUAUCGGGCAUGCACCCACUGUUUAGACGACACAGACAGCAUGUAUUUGAAGCAUUGUAAGAAGGUCGUCUACAUGGGUCAUCGUCGAUUUCUCCCUGCUCACCACCAGCUGAGAAAGAGCAGGAUGCAUUUCAAAGGGGCGCCAGACCAUCGUAAAAAACCUGCACACCAUAAUGGAAAGUGUGUCUUCAAGAUGAUGAAGGAUGUAAAUGUAGUCUUUGGAAAGGGUCUUGGUAGCCAACCUAUUCCAAACGACAAUAACGGACAUGCACCCAUGUGGAAGAAAAAGUCAAUAUUUUGGGAGCUACCUUAUUGGGAAAUCCUAGAGGUUCGCAAUGCAAUAGACGUGAUGCACCUGACGAAGAAUAUUUGCAUGAACGUGCUAGGCUUCAUGGGUUUUUAUGGGACCUCAAAAGACACAUUGGAAGCACGACAGGACCUGAAAGCCAUGGGGCAACGAGAUGACCUACAUCCGAAAAAGAGAGAUAAUGGAUAGCACUACUUACGUCCUGCCAGUUACACUCUGAGCAAGGAAGAGAAGGAUAGCAUGUUUGAAUGCUUGAAUAGUAUGAAGGUCCCGUCUAGGUACUCCUCGAAUAUAAAGGGAAUAAUAAAUAUGAAAAAAAAGAAGUUUAUAAAUCUCAAGGCCCAUGACUGUCACAUGUUGAUGACCCAGUUGCUUCCGGUUGCACUGAGGGGUGUUCUACUAGAAAAUAUCCAGUUGCCGCUCGUAAAGCUAUGUGCGUUUCUAAAUGCGAUUUCACAGAAGGCAAUCGAUCCAUCCAAGCUAUCAAAGCUACAGAACGAUGUGGUGCAAUGUCUUGUCAGUUUUGAGUUGUUAUUUCCACCAUCCUUCUUCAAUAUUAUGACGCACUUACUGGUUGACCUAGUAAAAGAGAUUGGUAUUCUCGGACUUGUAUACCUGCACAAUAUGUGGCCUUUCAAGUGUUCAUGGCAGUCCUAAAAAACUAUGCUCUUAAUCGUGCCCAUCCAGAAGGAAGCAUCGCCAAGGGAUAUGGAACAGAGGAGGUGAUCGAGUUUUGUGUUGAUUUUAUUGAUUCAAUUGACUCGAUUGGGGUUCCAACUUCACGCCAUGAGGGGAGGCUCCGAGGAAUGGGCACCCUUGGAAGGAAAUCAAGUUUGAGCAAUGAUACUGAUUUGUUCGACAAGGCACACUACACGGUUCUACAACAGUCAUCCUUUGUGUCUCCAUAUAUUGAGCAGCACAGGCAGAUGGUAGUUUCCAAAAACCCGACCAAAUCCGAUGCUUGGCUUACCCGUCUUCACAUGGAAACUUUUCCCUCCUGGUUGCGCCAACAACUUAUGGGUAACUCUGAGAUUCACCCACAGCUUGCCUGGUUAGCCAGGGGACCUGCUAGCACAAUUGUGAAAUUUCAAGGCUAUGAGAUAAAUGGUUAUACAUUUUACACGAGAGCCCAGGACCAGAAAAGCACGAAACCAGAAUAGUGGUGUCCGCAUACAUGCCAUGGACAGAAAUAAUAGCAAGGAGUCGUAUUAUGGUUUCAUAUAGGAGAUAUGGGAACUUGAAUACGGACCGUUGUACAUCCCUCUAUUUCUUUGUAAUUGGGUGAAGCAAACUGCCGUAACCAAAGAUCAGUACGGAAUGACAAUAGUAGAUCUGAGCAAGACUGGAUACAGUGAUGACCCAUUCGUACUUGCCAACAAUGUGCAACAGGUGUUCUAUGUGAAGGACAUGUGUAGCAAACCCAAGAGAAAUCCAGAAGAGACAUGGGAGCCAAAGUGCCACAUAGUUUUUCCAGGUAGAAGAAAAAUCGUGGGAGUCGAGGAUAAAACAAACCAAUCAGAUGAUUAUGAUUAGUUUGAUGGCAUGCCUCCAUUCGCCGUUGAAGUUGAUCCAAGCAUCCUGCUAUCCAAAGAAGAGGCUCCGUACUUACGCCGCGAUCAUGAUCAAGGAACUUUCGUGAAGAAGAAAUUCUACAACGUUGUAUUGUAAUGCGCUAAAUUUACAUGACCUUUGUGUAGUAAUUGAUACAAUUUUUAAUUUACCCUAUGUAUGAUUUGAUGUGUUCUUAAAUUUGUUAGGUGAAGAUUUAUUAGAUAAACAUGAACAAUGUUAACCACAUACAUACAUGGAUUUUUCUGCGCAUUGAAAUUAUUUAAUGGAAUAAUUUCUUGAUCACAGCGAUGUAGUAAAAUAAAUAUUUUAGAGCCUAAAUGAACUGGUAUAGAAUUAAUGACUAACUCACACUUAUUGUCAAUUUACUCGCUAAUUAAAUAUAUUUUUGCAUGUACAAAAUAUGUGAAGGUUUUUGUUUUUCAUCCUGAAUUGCAGUGAAAAGAUAAAUAAAAUCCAUUUCCAAAAAACAGGCGGGAGAAGAAAACUGGGAAAAGGACCUUUUGUCCCGGGUGCCAACAGAAACCGGGACAAAAAGCCCCCCCCCUUUUAUCCCGGUUGGUGGUGGCACCCGAGAUAAAAGGGUAGGCUCCAAGCCCCACUUGGCGGACGCACCCUUUUGUCCCGGGUCCCGUCACCAACCGGGAUAAAAGGGGGGGCCUUUUAUCCCGGUUGGUGAGGGGACCCAGGACAAAAGGCCCUUUAGUCCCGGGUGUCAUUACGAACCGGGAUAAAAGGGGGGUUAAAAGGCACUAUAGCCCCUUCUACCCCCCACGCCAGUUACAGUUAGCAAAAUUUUCACCAAGAUCCCGCGCGCACUCUGCUCCGUCGCUGCCCGUCCGCCUUCCUCGCCAGCCGUCAUCGUCGUCGUCCCCCAUUGCCCCGGCCGUCGUCGUCCCGCCGGCUGACCGUGCCCAGAUAGCCUCCUCCUCCAUCGCCCCGGCCCGCCUCGAUCCUCCUGCGUCGUGCCCGGCCCCUACCUCAUCGACGCCGGCCACCUCCAUCGCGGGGCCUCAUCGCCGCCUCCAUCCUCGUCGCCACCUCGACGCCCUGGGUCGCCGCCUCGUCGCCCCUCGUCGCUGCCUCGUCGCCGUCCUGCCUCCGCCGUCUCGCCGUCCCGCGCGCCUUCGCUCCGUCGUCGCCUCCGCCGUCCCACCGCCCCAGCCACCGCCAUCCCGCCACCCCGGCCACCUCGUCGCCCCGACCACCGUCGACCGCGCGUGAGGUCCGCCGCACCGGCACUGGCGCCGGGAGUACCGCCUUGCUGACGCAAGCCCACCGGCUUGCGUCAACAAGGGCCUUUUUUAAGUUAGAAAAUAAAUAGAAAGGAGUAGUAAUUAGGUAGAAAUUCAAUAGAUUUUUGUAUAUGUGUUACAAAAUCAAAUUAGUGUAAAUUAGUUGUAAUUAGGUUCGUCGCUCUGCCUAGGUUAGAAAUGAAUCGUGUUUCGUCGUGGUUCCGUCCCCGCCUCCGCCGUCCCGCCACCCUGACCGUCGCCGUCCCAACCUAGGCACCGUCUGUGGUUCCGUCCCCGCCUCCGCCGUUCCGCCUCCAUCGCAAAUUCAUGUUAUUGCUAGAAAUUCCAAUAAAUAUGAACAAAUUAGUAGAAAUUUGGUAGAAAUUAAUCAUUGCUGCGGCCACCUCGCUCCACAAAUUCAUGUUAUUGCUAGAAAUUCAUAAAAAUUCAUGUUAUCACUAGAAAUUCGUACAAAAUUCAUGUUAUUGCUAGAAAUUCGUAAAAAUUCAUGUUAUUGCUAGAAAUUCGUACAAAAUUCAUGUUAUUGCUAGAAAUUCGUACAAAUUCAUGUUAUUGCUAGAAAUUCGUCACAAAGUACUACUAAUUUGCAAAAAUUUGUAUAAAUAUUCCGGACUUUGUGGGAUUCAUGUUAUUUUCUGAUUUCAUGUAUAUACCCUUAUGUACAUAUAACUAAGGAGAUUUCUAUGACUUUCAUGUAUGUUUCAAUCAAUAGUUGAAAUGGCAGACGAUGAGACCGCAAGGUAUCUCAUGGAGCAGAUAAUCGCUGGUGAUGGUAGUGGCGACAACCUUCCACUAUCGUACACCGAUGAAGAGGGCACCCAGGCGGACAUGUUCCUCAACAUGUCCGCCGAUGGGAAUGAAGAGCAAAAGCCCCAGCAACACCUUGCCGGGGCGGAAGGUUCCGGCGAGGUAUAUAUAACGAUUCUUGUAUUGUUUCACACCACCGUUACUACUACGUACUAAUUAACGAAUCAUGAACCGUUAGCCCUCUGGAUCGACGCAAGGGCAGAAGACACGAGGUCGUACAAAGGUGAUGGAAGGGAGGCUUGUCAUCACGGAAGUGAUAGAAGAGGGCAGGCCGGUUGCUCCCGAGAAAGUAGCAAAGAAGUACGUGAGUCAGAUCGGGGCAAUCGUCCGGGACAACGUGCCUAUCAGCAUCAGAGAAUGGAAGGGCAGAAGCACUAAUCCGUACGCCCUCCUGGAGACAGAAAGAAUAUGCUGUGGGAAGAUGUCAAGAGACAUUUCACAUUCACCGAAGGAUAUAUUGAGAAGGAUGUGAAAGCGUGGACGCUUAAGAAGAUGGCUACACAAUUUCCAGACAUUUAAGAAGAUGCUAGAUACCCACUACAUUAAGAAGGGCCGAACUCCAGACUUCAACGCGUGGUCAAAGUUGAGGGACCACUAGGAUGCAUUUGUUGAAUAUAAGAGGAGUGAAUACGAUGUGAAAAAGAUCACGACCAACACAACAAAUGCUAGUCAGAAGGGCUACCAUCAUCAUCUGGGGCGAGAUGGUUAUGGCUCAGCAAUUCCCAAGUCGAGGAAGAUGGAACAAGAUCUGAUUGAACGGGGAAUCGUACCGGCAACUAUUGAAUGGCCCGAACGAUCAAAAAAUUGGUACUACGCUCAUGGAGGCUCCCUGUGCCAAGAGGAUGGGACGUUGAUUUUCAAUAACACAAUACGUUAGAAGGCCAAACAUCUUGUGAAGAACAUUGAAGAUUCUAAGGCUGGGAGGUUGAAGGUGGACCGAGAAAAUGAUGAGCUCACAUUGGCCCUUGGUAAUCCAGAGCACCCAGGAUGUUGCCGAGGGUUCGGGGUCGUUCCGUGGAAGUUUGUUUUCCGAGGCGACAGCGCCUCGUACAGAAGCCGGAAGCGAAGAAAGGAACAGAUCGAGGAGAGCUGGUGGCAGAUGCUAGAAUCCAAAGUGCAGGCACAAGAACAAAGAAUGAUGGAGGAAAUCAAUCGUCGAGUGGCCCACGCAGUUGUGGAGUUGGCCCAAUCUGGAGCAUUGCCGAAUCCUAACAACGCCAGCCCUUCUCAAUGCCUCUUGAGCAGUUAUGCUUCUACAGGGGUCCCCGAUGCGCACACGCCCAGGUUACCCGUGGAGGAGCAACGGUUCCCCGUGGAUGCCAUCACGCAACACACCACAUGUGAGCUGCAUGCACCGGUCGGCAACCUCACUAUUAAGGUAUACUUAUACAUAAUAUUUAUGCAAUCUUGUCAAUUGAUCCACGCCUCGAUAUCGGAGUUUAACUUGUUUACUUCUACUAUAUGUACAGGUAGCGUACGGGAGUGCGUUAGCAACCCUGGCGGGGCAGAGCAGUCAUGGCAUGAAGAUUCCACCUGGCUACGCUAGCGUCCGCGUAGAGCAAAUAGUUGAUAGCCAAUAUGAAGGUCUAGAGCUCGACCUCCCGGGAGGUGACAGGGAAAGAACACUGGCAGAUGCGCUUCAUGGGAUCAUUCUAUGGCGAAAACGCUACAUCAUUAUUCCCGGCACGGAGCCAUCUCCUCAGAGCUCAAGACCACUCCCCGUAGAUCCCCAGCAGCGACCUUCUCCUCAUAGCUCGAGACCGUCAUCUCCUGCACAACCUGCUCCAGGACCGUCCCUUCCAUCUAUAUCAAGGUCUCCAUCUCCACCACAUCCUGGUGGUGGGAGCGACGACGACAAUAACAACACCCCUUCCUGAUCACCAUCGCCGGCACCAAGAGCGGCCCCCAUGAAGGAACCUGCACCACCACUAAAAAAGUCACGAGCACCGCCUCCCAAGCAAAGACAGAGAAAGAAGAAAACAAAGGAGCCUGAAGUGACUCGUAAGGAACGCUGGGAGACAAUGUCUCAUGCGGAACAGUGGGCAGAAAUCCAACAAGAGGCCAGUGAGUGGUUCAAGAAACAAGCCGAAGAAAAAAAAGCAACGGAGAUGCAGCCACCGCCAGUAAAUCGAAGAGAUUUAAACUUUUUUAUCAGGAUGGAAGAAGGAGCCAAGAAAAGGAUACCACUCUUAUCAAACUAUGAACGGGCUUUAGUAAAGGCUGAUGAAAAGGAUAAAAGGAAAGGAAAGUCAUCUUCCAGCGGUGCUGUCCCCGACCUCAGCCAUUUAUCAAAAAAAGAUGCUCAACGGGUAAAAGCAAUGCCCUUGGAUCAACAAGCAGAAGUAUUGAAGUUCAUGCAAGAAACAGGUCUGGGACUUGAUGAAUGCCUAGGGCAAGUUGAGACGCCAACUGCACCGCCCCCUGAGCCGAGAUGGCCUUAUGAGCUAGGCAAACCUCUAGUAAAGCCUUCAUUGGUACGAAAGCUAUCAACAAAGAUGUACGCAUUCCAUCAAUGGUACAUGAUGGCAUCCGCUGACUCAAGGGAGAUGCUCGGCCUGAAGGUAAAACCGAUGGAUUUUCACGACAGAGGCGAGAAAGUGCUGUGGCUAGACUUCAAGGAUAUAUACGAAGUGUACCAUCAUGAUGCCAUAGACGUCUCUCUGAUCCGCGCUUGGGUUCUGUAAGUGUCCGUUUAUCUCUACAUGUAAAUUUUGGCGUGCGUCACCGUACUAACUUCGUCUUCCAUUUCAUGUAGGAUGCUAAUUCAGACAUGCCGCCGAGAGGCGUACCUACAUAUAGGCUUCAUGGAUCCAUCUGUAGUUAACCAACAGCAGAUACAAUUAGCAUCGGAGAAAACCUUGGUGGAAGUAUACAAUUUCCUAGACAAACAAACAUUCAAGGAUUUCAUACUAUUUCCAUACAACUUCAAGUAAGUGUGUGUAUACCGUCUACUUUCGAUGUCUUUUUCCUUAUCUCUACAUGUUAGUUAGCUCUAAUAUGCAUGAACAUUUUACGCACGCAGCUUCCACUGGAUCCUUAUUAUAAUUGAGCCUCAAAGAAGCCACGUCACUGUCUUCAAUUCGUUGAGGAAAGAUCCAGUGGAGCACCAAGAAAUGCAACACAUGCUAGGCUUGUAAUAAUUCUGGACCUUUAUCUCUAUGCAAAAGUUUGUUUCCUAAAUUCUAUCCCUGUUACACUAUAUCAUUCAUUAUUCUAAUCCACAGCGUAUGGAAACAAUUCAUAAGGACACAAAAAGGUCCAUUCAAAGAAAAACUUACAUGGAACACAGACUUCCCGGUACAUAUGAAGUCUGCACAUUUAUUACAUUGUAUAACACGAAUAUUUCAUAACUUAUUUUUUUCCGUAUUGAAGUGCUUAAGACAGGAACUCGGAAAUAAUCUAUGUGGCUACUACAUCUGUGAGCACAUGCACAGUUUUAUGGGACCCAAGGGACUAAAGAUGACGCCGCACAACUUUAAAGUACGUAAAAUAAAACUAUUACUAGUUAAUUAUUUUCUAGCUCCUUAUAUGUAUUUGUUCACGUAACAUUCACAAAUUUCCAAAUUAUAGAUGUUAAAUAUUCAACAAGGACUCUUGAAGGAAGAAAGAGUAGCGGCAAUAUGUGAAGGUCUCAUUGGAUUCCUAAUGGACAAGGUGGUAGAUCCAAAAGGAGAAUUUUAUUUUGAUGGACGACAAUUAGACACUCUGAUCAGCAACACCUCGAUGGGAAGAUUGUAGAUAGAUACUUUGAUUUAUUUGUAUAUAUAAUACGCGCUAAUUAUGAUCGAUUUGUACUAGUUGAAUUCUGUAUAUGAAUUGUGUAUAAGAAUUGUGUAUAUAUAUAGUAACUGUAUAAUUACAAAUCCCAUUCGUUUAAAUACUAGUUAAUUUCAUUCUAAAAAAAUCUCAACUACUUAAGGUUAACAAAAGGGCUGCGGUACUACGUACGUGAUGCAUGCAUGAAAAAUUCAGGCGCCAGGCAGGUGCCAUGCAGGGCAUCAUUUAGUCCCGUUUGGAAUCCAGCCGGGACUAAAGGGUAACCCUUUACUCCCGGUUGGGAAACCCAACCGGGACUAAAGGGGGACCGUUACUCCCGGUUAAAAGACCCGGGACUAAAACCCCCCCUUUUGUCCCGGUUGGCUUAUCCCGGAUAAAUUUUCGGGAGAUAUGCACCCUACCAACCGGGACUAAAGGCCAAUUCUCCACUAGUGGAAGGUCCUUUCUCUACCAUGAAUAUUGCCAGAAAGAAUUGAAAGAGACCGCUUGCUAAAAACAUGUCAUAGAUGCGGACCAAGCUACCAAGGAGGUAGACCAAACAUGAUACACACCAUGCGUACCUUGCUGUGCAGACUAUGCAUGGACAAGAUACCCGACCACAUGUUGGCUUUGGUCACAUCAAAAGAAUCAUGUAGGCCAUUAAUAAACUACUUGAAGCGUCAUUCCGUAUCUUAUAUCCAUCAUCUGCAUUACAUUACAUUAAAUAUUAUUAACUAUUUGAAUAAAAUGAACCAAUUUAAAAAUAAUGAAUUGUACAUUACUACAAAAAGCCCUAGCACUGCCAGUUCCAAAAACAUCAUUGUUGACGGCCGUUAAGUACCAAAUAUGACGGUCAAUAUCCUAAAGAAUAAAGGACAAUUGGCAUUUCUUACACACAUAUUUGGUUUCGAAUAAUGUAGUUCUACAUGUCCUUGGAGAUUAUUUGGGUGUGGGUGAAAUAAUACAAAAAGAAGGAGAAAACACACUCCCAUGGCAAAGAAACAUAACUCCGACCAAUGAGAGAUAGCCACAGGGGCAGCACAUGGAUCCAUGGGCCCACAAACUGCAUCAAACCAUCUUACAAGGCGGGUAGCACCCACAACUGUCAUUAGGACCCACCUGGAAGUCUAGCAAAGAAGAAGGUUGUGAGUGGGGCCACGAGGGGUUCGGUUGAAUCAUCUCUAGCUCCCUUCAUCCCCAGCUGGCGCGUGGCGGUGGUUCAUGGUGUCCCGACAUCGGUUAGAGGACAUUCCCCCAAAUAUUCCUCCUGUAAACCAGCUCUAUGAACCUAUAAAUAGAGGGGUGUGCUCUCCAUUCCAACACACACCACAAGUUGAAGCACUCUCUCCCUCUUUAGUUUCCAAGUUUACGGAGAUAGGCUGGAGUAGCUCUGCUAAAGGUUCCAAGUCCACUUGGAGUUAAGCGUAUGUCUCUUGUAUCAUUAUUUCCUAGAGAGACUUUAUGCUAUUCAAGUUAUUUAUCUUCUUCAUAUAGUGUUAUGCUUAGUUCUUAUAUGCAUGAGUUAGUCUAAUACCCUUGCUCUAUUGAUAUGCUCAGCUUAUGUGCUCGUAUGCUAGUCAUGUACCCUUGCUGUCAUAGUAUAGGGUUAUAUGCUGUCAUGUGUGCCUAUAGACCUUGCUACAGUAUAUACUUGUUGUGUAUACAUACCAUUUGUAUAUACAUUAUUACAAGUUAAGGUAGUUUUAAAUAUCCUUGUGUUGACAACCAAAGCUUGAUCUUUUGUUUCCAUUGCCAGCGGAUUCAUCGGCUCAGAGUAGGAUCAAGACAUCAAGUUGAUGGAGUUCUUUAUAUUUCAAGAGGAGUCAUGGAGUUCUUUAUAUUUCAAGAGGAGUUGAUGGUGCUUUCAAUAUUGCAACCAGACAUCAUUGGCUCUGAAGACACCGAAUCAUCGGAGUUCUAUGAUCAGUUUCGGAACAUGAAGCCUUCAUACUCCGAAACUGGGGGGCCUGUGUUGACACCGAAUUAUCGGACUUCUAUAAUUAGUUUCGGAACAUGAAGCCUUCAUACUUCGAAACUGGGGGGUAUGUGUUUACACCAAAAUUUAGAAAUGUGCUCUGAAAGGAAGGACCUGGGAGAUCUAUUGGCUGAAAUACAAAUCCAUCGAAACUAGCCUUAUGCUAAGAGAUCAGAAUAUUGUACAAAGUCUAGAAAGUUCUAUUUACAUCUAAGUAACUCGAUAACUAGCCUUACGCUAAGAGAUCAGAAUAUUGGACAAAGCCUACAAAGUUCUAAUAUAGGUAACGUAAUGACCAGGUGAGGAUAGUUACAAGCUCGCUUGAGAUCGAAGCCGAUGUAGCCCUGCGCGCAAGAAGAAACUCACCUAUUUCUACUCUACUCUUACUCCUAGGGUUUGAUGGCGUGGCGUCAAAAGAUUGUAUUGAUUGAUUGAUUAUUUGAUACAAAGCUCAUGGGCCUAUAUUUAUACCCUUGAGAAAGCUAAAAUCCUAAUCAGUUAUGACAUGAAUCGUGACAGAAAAUCUAACUAAAGAUAGAUCUCCAUGCUUUCCCUUAUUUGGUGGAGUCGAUUUCACUUCAUAUCGGAUCCCUCCCGAUCUUCUAUCGGCUUCUAGCAUCCGGUCAUCUGCGACUGGCCUUGGUCAACAUCAGGUGUCAACAGACUUAUUUCUUCUACAAGUUCAUCGGCUGUCAGAGCCUUGUCUUAGUCAGUUGACUCUAGUAAAAAAUCGAUGUCAAUACAUGCCCCCCAAUUUUUGAAUAAAAUAUUAUAUUUCAAAAUUCUCUUCUCUUGUCAACAGCUUUUGAAAGAAAAAGAGUCACUGCUGCAAUCAUAAUCUUUUUCCCCGGGUUUUGUGAUAGCACCCUCCUCAUUUUAAGGGAUUCACCAUGUGGAAAUUAUAAUAUAACUGCUUCACCCAUUUCGUUUUCUUCACCAAACCAACUAUUGUCAGCCGCUACAACCAAAAAUCAAUUAUUCCCUUCACAUGCCUAGCGACUGCAUCCAUCACUCAUCGUCACCAUUAGUCUCCAUGUGUCAAGGCUUCUUCAACCAGCAAUGGCGACAUUAUCUUCCAUUCCACAGGUACCAUGUAUCCUAGCCAUUCCUUUCCCCUUUCAACCUGAAAUCCAAUCUAGUCACUAUAUAUCAAACCUGUGUUCUUAAUCAAUACUUGCCCCCUUGUACUUAGAAACACCCUUUUGAUCCCCAUAUCCGAUACGCAAGCAGAAUACUUUCUAGGCCCCAUGGGUAGUGAAGACCCAAUAGAAUCUAUUAAUGCUGAAAUACUUGGACAAAGUCUAGAAAGUUCUAUUUACAUCUAAGUAACUCGAUAACUAGCCUUACGCUAAGAGAUUUAAAUAUUGGAUAAAGCCUAGAAAGUUCUUAUAUAGGUAACUGAAAAGUGUGUUGACGCAAAAAUUGGAUGGUUGACUCCUGCGUACUAACACACGGAACCAGGGAGAAUCUGCUUAGCUACUGUUCGGGUUAUAGCCCUCUCGAUCCGUAGCGUGCCAGUUAAUCUGACCUGCUGAUUGACAAGUAAAAAUGUCAAAUUAAGAGCAAAUCAGCUGGUGUUCCGAAUCGCUCCACGGGACGUAUCAGUAGACAGCCGAUACGGGCAAACGACAAUCAGCUAGAUCAGCCGAUUUGCUCUUGUAUUUGACGUUUUACUUGUCCUUCUCAAUCAGCAGGUCAGAUUGACUCGCACGACGCAGAUCGAGAGGGCUAUAACCUAAACAAGAGCUAAGCAGAUUCUCCCGGGUUUCAUGUCUUAGUACACAGAAGUCAACCGUCUGAUUUUAUCAUCAACACGCUUUUUGGCACGCUCAGUGGGACCCGAUUCAUAUCUUAAUGGUAAUUGGUGAUCAAGUUUCAAACAACGUAUCCACUGGUAGAAAACUGAGCAUUAGUCCCGGUUGGUAAGGGUCAUAUCUCUCGGAUAUCCAUCCGGGAUAAACCAACCGGGACAAAAGGGGGGGGUCUUUAGUCCCGGGUAUUUUAACCGGGAGUAAAGGACCCCCUUUAGUCCCGGUUGGUGUCACCAACCGGGACUAAAGGGCCUGCCACGCCAGGCGCGGGACAGGCCCUUUAGUCCCGGUUGGUGACACCAACCGGGACUAAAGGGGGUCCCUUUAGUCCCGGUUGGAUUUCCCAACCGGGACUAAAGGGGUCCCCUUUAGUCCCGGCUCAAUUCCAACCGGGACUAAAUUGCGCUUGCAUGGCACUGGUGACGCCUGAAUUUUUCAUGCAUGCAUCACGUAUACGUAUAGUAGUACCGCGGCCCUUUUAAUUUGUUAACCUUGUAGUUGAGAUUUUUUUAGAAUGAAUUAAAUCAACUAGUAUUUAAACGAAUGGGAUUUGUAAUUACACAACUACUAUAUAUAUACACAAUCCUUAUACACAAUUCAUAUACACAAUUCAACUAGCUUAAUUAGUACAAAUCGAUCAUAUAUACAAAUAAAUCAAAGUAUCUUCCUACGAUCUUCCCGUCGUGGUGUUGCUGAGAGGAGUGUCUAAUUGUCGUCCAUCGUAAUAAAAUUCUCCUCUUGGAUUUACCACCUCGUCCAUUAUGAAUCCAAUGAGACCUUCACAUAUUGCCGCUACUCUUUCUUCCUUCAAGAGUCCUUGUUGAAUAUUUAACAUCUAUAAUUUGGAAAUUUGUGAAUGUUACAUGAACAAAUACAUAUAAGGAGCUAGAAAAUAAUUAACUAGUAAUAUAUUUAUUUUACGUACUUUAAAGUUGUGCGGCGUCAUCUUCGGUCCCUUGGGUCCCAAAAAACUGUGCAUGUGCUCACAGAUGUAGUAGCCACAUAGGUUAUUCCCGGGUUCCUGUCUUAAGCACUUCAGUGCGGAAAAAAAAUAAGUUAUGAAAUAUUCGUGUUAUACAAUGUAAUAAAUGUGCAGACUUCAUACGUACCGGGAAGUCUGUGUUCCAUGUAAGAUCUUCUUUGAAUGGACCUUUGUGUGUCCUUAUGAAUUGUUUCCAUACGCUGCGGAUUAGAAUAAUGAAUGACAUAGUGUAACAGGGAUAAAAUUUAGGAAAUAAAUUUUUGCAUAGAGAUAAAGGUCCAGAAUUAUUACAAGCCUAGCAUGUCUUGCAAUUCUUGGUAGUCCACCGGAUCUUUCCGUAACGAAUCAAAGACAGUGACGUGGCUUCUUUCAGGCUCAAUUAUAAUAAGGAUCCAGUGGAAGCUGCGUGCGUAAAAUGUUCAUGCAUAUUAGAGCUAACUAACAUGUAGAGAUAAGGAAAAAGACAUCGAAAGUAGACGGUAUACACACACUUACUUGAAGUUGUAUGGAAGUAGUAUGAAAUCCUUGAAUGUUUGUUUGUGUAGGAAAUUGUAUAUUUCGGCAAAGGUUUUUUCCGGCGCUAAUUGUAUCUGUUGUUGGUUAACUACAGAUGGAUCCAUGAAGCCUACAUGUAGGUACGCCUCUCGGCGGCAUGUCUGAAUUAGCAUCCUACAUGAAAUGGAAGAUGAAGUUAGUACGGUGACGCACGCCAAAAUUUACAUGUAGAGAUAAUAAACGGACACUUACAGAAUCCAAGCGCUGAUCAGAGAGACGUCCAGGGCAUCAUGAUGGUACACUUCGUAUAUAUCCUUGAAGUCUAGCCACAGCACUUUCUCCCCUUCACCGUGAAAAUCUAUCGGUUUUACCUUCAUGCCGAUCAUCUCCCUCGAUUUGGCGGAUGCCGUCAUGUACCAUUGAUGGAAUUCGUACAUCUUUGUUGACAGCUUCCGUACCAUUGCCGGCUUCACUAGAGGCUUGCCUAGCUCAUAAGGCCAUCUCGGCUCAGGGGGCGGUGCAGUUGGCGUCUCGACUUGCCCUAUGCAUUCUUCAAGUCCCAGACCUGUUUCUUCCAUGAACUUCAAUAUAUUUUCUUGUUGAUCCAAGGGCAUUGCUUUUACCCGUUGAGCAUCUUUCUUUGAUAAAUGGCUGAGGUCGGGGACUGAACCGCUGGAGGAUGAUUUUCCUUUUCUUUUAUCCUUUUCAUCAGCCUUUACUAGAGCCCGUUCAUAGUUUGACAAGAGUGGUAUCCUUUUCUUGGCUCCUUCCUCCAUCCUGAUAAAAAAGUUUAAAUCCCGCCGACUUACUGGCGGUGGCUCCAUCUCCCUUGCCCUUUUUAAUUCGGCUUGUUUCUUGAACCACUCACUGGCCUCUCGUUGGAUUUCUGCCCACUGUUCCGCAUGAGACAUUGCCUCAAAGCGUUCCUUGCGAGCCACUUCAGGGUCGACCUUUGUUUUCUUCUUUCGAGGCUGUCUUUGCUUGGGAGGCGGUGCUCGUGACUUCUUGAGUGGUGCUGCAGGUUCCUUCGAGGGGGCCGCUCUUGGUGCCAGCGACGGUGAUCGGGGAGGGGUGUUGUUAUUGUCGUCGUCGCUCCCAGCACCAGGAUGUGGUGGAGAUGGAGACCUUGAUAUAGAUGGAAGCGACGGUCCUGGAGCAGGAGAUGCCGGUCUCGAGGUAUGAGGAGAAGGUCGCUGCUCGGGAUCUACGGGGAGCGGUCUUGAGGUCUGAGGAGAUGGCUCCGUGCGGGAAAUAAUGAUGUAGCGUUUCUUCCAUAGAAUGAUCCCAUGAAGCGCAUCUGCCAAUGUCUUUUCCCCGUCGCCUCCCGGGAAGUCGAGCUCUAGACCUUCAUACUGGGCAUCUACUAUUUGCUCGACGCAGACGCUGGCGUAGCCUGUUGGAAUGUCCAUGCCAUGACUGCUCUGCCCUGCCAGCGUUGGUAACGCACUCCCAUACGCUACCUGUACAUAUAGCAGAAGUAAACAAGUUGAACUCCGAUCUCGAGGCCUGGAUCAAUUGACAAGAUUGCAUAAAUAUUAUGUAUAAGUAUACCUUAAUAGUGAGGUUGCCGACCGGUGCAUGCAGCUCACAUGAGGUCCGUUGCGUGAUGGCAUCCACGGGGAACCGUUGCUCCUCCACGGGUAACCUGGGCGUCUGCGCAUCGGGGACCCCUGUAGAAGCACAACUGCUCCCGAGGCGUUGAGAAGGGCUGGCGGUGUGAGGAUUCGGCAGUGCUCCAGAUUGCGCCAACUCCGCAACUGCGUCGGCCACCCGCCGAUUGAUUUCAUCCAUCAUUCGUUGUUCUAGCAUCUGCCGCCAGCUCUCCUCCAUCUGUUCCUUUCUUCGCUUCCGGCUUCUGUAAGAGGCGCUGUCGCCUCGGAAAGCGAACUUCCACGGAACCACCCCGAACCCCCGGCAACGUCCUGGGUGCUCUGGAUUACCGAGGGCCAAUGUGAGCUCAUCAUUUUCUCGGUCCACCCUCAACCUCCCAGCCUUGGAAUCUUCAAUGUUCUUCAUGAGAUGUUCGGCCUUCUCACGUAUUCUGUCAUUGAAAAUCAGCGUCCCAUCCUCUUGGCUUAGGGAGCCUCCAUGAGCGUAGUACCAGUUCUUUGAUCGUUCGGGCCAUUCAAUAGUUGCAGGUAUGAUUCCCCGUUCGAUCAGAUCUUGUUCCAUCUUUCUCCACUUGGGAAUUGCUGAGCCAUACCCACCUCGCCCCAAAUGAUGGUGGUAGCCCUUCUGACUAGCAUUUGCAACGUUGGUCGUGAUCUUUUUCACACCUUCUUCACUCCUCUUGUAUUCAACAAAUGCAUCCCAGUGGUCCCUCAACUUGGGCCACGCGUUGAAGUCUGGAGUUUUGCCCUUCUUGAUGUAGUGGGUGUCCAGCAUCUUCUUGAAUGUCUGGAAUUGAGUAGCCAUCUUCUUAAGUGUCCACGCUUUGACAUCCUUCUCGCUAUAAUCUUCGGGGAAUGUGAAAUGCCUCUUCACGUCUUCCCACAGCAUAUUCUUUUCUGUCUCUGGAAGGGCGUACGGAUUAUCGCUUCUGCCCUUCCAUUCUCUGAUGCUGAUAGGCACGUUGUCCCGGACAAUUGCCCCGAUUUGACUAACGUACUUCUUUGCGACUUUCUCGGGAGCAACCGGCCUGCCCUCAUCUGUAACUUCGGUGAUGACAAGCCUCCCUUCCAUCACCUUUGUACGACCUCGGGUCUUCUGCCCUUGUGUCGAUCCGGAGGGCUAACAGUUUAAGAUUCGUUAAUUAGUACGUACUAGUAGCGGUGGCGUGAAACAAUACAAGAAUGGUUGUAUAUACCUCGCCGGAACCUUCCGCCACGGCAAGUUGUUGCUGCGGCUGUUGCUCUUCAUUCACAUCGGCAGACAUGUUGAGGAACAUGUCCGCCUGGGUGCCCUCUUCAUCCGUGUAUGAUAGUGGAACGUUGUCGCCACUAUCAUCACCAGCGAUUAUCUGCUCCAUGAUAUACCUUGCGGUCUCAUCGUCUGCCAUUUCAACUAUUGCUGCAAACAUACAUGGAAUCAUACAUGACAGUCAUAGAAAUCGUCUUAAUACAAAUUUGUAUAUAAUCACAGUUCGGAAUCAUACAUGUAUAUAAUGAAAUCAUAAAAUAACAUGAAUCGUACAAAGUCCGGAAUCUUUAUACAAAUUUCUAUGAAUUUAUACAAAUUUCUAUGAAUUUAUACAAAUUUCUAUGAAUUUCUAUGAAUUUCUAUGAAUUUCUAUGAAUUUCUAUGAAUUUCUAUGAAUUUAUACAAAUUUCUACGAAUUUCUAUGAAUUUCUAUGAAUUUCUAUGAAUUUAUACAAAUUUCUACGAAUUUCUAUGAAUUUCUACAAAUUUCUACGAUUUUCUAUGAAUUUCUACAAAUUUCUACGAAUUCCUACGAAUUUUGACGAAUUUCUACGAAUUUUGACGAAUUUCUACGAAUUUCUACGACGGCGAUAAGGGCGGCGAAGGCGGGACGGCGGCGGUCAGGGCGGCGGAGGCGGGACGGCGGCGGUCAGGGCGGCGGAGGCGGUUCACCGGAACCACGGGCGGUGCCUAAGCUACUACGUUGUGAUGGGCGGCAGGACGGCGGCGAUCACGGCGGCUACUCGGCGGCGAUCACGACGGCUACAAGGCGACUGUCACGGUAGCUACUCGGCGGGACGGCGGCGAUCACGACGGCGGGACGGUAGUUAACAACCUAACUACAAAUCUAACUUAACAAACUAACUAGAAAUCUAAAAAUCUAACUUAACAAAAUUAGAAAUCUAAAAAUCUAACUUAACAAAAUUACAAUUCCAUCUAAAAAAACAAAAUUAAAAAUUAAAAGAAAACGGCCAGCUCUCCCGGCGCACCGGCCGGCGCGGCAGACCUCUCGCGCGCGGGGCGGCGGCCGGGGCGGCGGGACGGCGGCGGCCGGGGCGGCCUGACGGCGGCGGCUGGGGCGGCGACGAGGACGAAGACGACGACGGCGGGAUGACGGCGGCCGAGGCGAAGACGACGACGGCGGCCGGCGAGGGGCGACGAGGAUGGAGCUGGCGACGAGGGGCGAUGCAGCCGGCGAGGGAGGCGGACGGGCGGCGACGGGCGGAGAGGGAGGCGGACGGGCGGCGACGGGCGAGGGAGGCGGACGGGCGACGACGACGGCGCAAUGCGGGACUUCGACGGCGCAAUGGGGGACGACGACGGCGGCGGCCGGCGAGGGAGGCGGACGGGCGGCGACGGGCGGAGAGCGCGGGACUUGCGAAAAUUUCGCUAAGUGUGGAACUGGCGGGGGGUAGAAGGGAGUACAGUGCUUUUAACCCCCCCCCCCUUUUAUCCCGGUUCGUAAUGGCACCCGGGACAAAAAGGGCCUUUUGUCCCGGGUCCUGUCACCAACCGGGACAAAAGGCCCCCCCUUUUAUCCCGGUUGGUGACGGGACCCGGGAUAAAAGGGUGCGCUCCCAGCCCCACCUGGCGGGGGCACCCUUUUAUCUCGGGUCCCGUUACCAACCGGGACAAAAGGCCCCCCCUUUUAUCCCGGUUGGUAACGGGACCCGGGACAAAAGGGUGCCCCCGCCAGGUGGGGCUGGGAGCGCACCCUUUUAUCCCGGGUCCCGUCACCAACCGGGAUAAAAGGGGGGGGCCUUUUAUCCCUGUUGCAAAUGGCAACCGGGAUAAAAGGGUACGUUCGGGCGGGAGACGAAACGUACCCUUUUAUCCCGGUUGCCGUUUGCAACCAGGAUAAAAGGGGGGCCUUUUAUCCCGGUUGCUGUUAGCACCCGGGACAAAAGGUCCUUUUUCCUAUUUUUCUUCUCCCGCCUGUUUUUUGGAAAUGGAUUUUAUUUAACCUUUUCACUGCAUUCCAGGAUGAAAAACAAAACCUUCUCAGAUUUUGUACAUGCAAAAAUAUAUUUAAUUAACGAGUAAAUUGACAAUAAGUAUGAAGUAAUCAUUAUUUCUAUACCAACUCAUAUAGCCUGUAAAAUAUUUAUUUUACUGCAUUGCUGUGAUCAAUAAAUUAUUCAAUUAAAUUUUUUGAAUGCGCAGAAAAAUCCAUGUUAGUAUGUGGUUAACAAUGUUCAUGUAUAUCUAAAAAAUCUUCACCUAACAAAUUUAAUUACAAAUUUUAUCAAUUAAUACACAAAGGUCAUGCACAUUUAACGCAUUACAAUACAACGUUGUAAAAUUUCUUCUUCACGAAAGUUCCUUGAUCAUGAUCGCGGCGUAAGUACGGAGCCUCUUCUUUGGACAGCAGGAUGCUUGGAUCAACUUCAACGUCGAAUGGAGGCAUGCCAUCAAACUGAUCAUAAUCAUCUGAUUGGUCUGUUUUAUCCUCGACUCCCACGAUUUUUCUUUUACCUAGAAGAACUAUGUGGCACUUUGGCUCCCAUGUCUCUUCUGGAUUCCUCUUGGGUUUGCUGCACAUGUCCUUCACAUAGAACACCUGAUGCACAUCAUUGGCAAGUACGAAUGGGUCAUCACUGUAUCCAGUCUUGCUCAGAUCUACUAUUGUCAUUCCGUACUGAUCUUUGGUGACGGCAGUUAGCUUCACCCAAUUGCAAAGAAAUAGAGGGAUGUACAGCGGUCCGUAUUCGAGUUCCCAUAUCUCCUGUAUGAAACCAUAAUACGACUCCUUGCUAUUAUUUCUGUCCAUGGCAUCUAUGCGGACACCACUAUUCUGGUUCGUGCUUUUCUGGUCCUGGGCUCUCGUGUAAAAUGUGUAACCAUUUAUCUCAUAGCCUUGGAAUUUGACGAUUGUGGUAGCAGGUCCCCUGGCUAACCAAGCAAGCUGUGGGUGAAUCUCAGAGUUACCCAUAAGUUGUUGGCGCAACCAGGAGGGAAAAGUUUCCAUGUGAUGACGGGUAAGCCAAGCAUCGGAUUUGGUCGGGUUUUUGGAAGCUACCAUCUGCCUGUGCUGCUCGAUAUACGGAGACACAAAGGAUGACUGUUGUAGAACAGUGUAGUGUGCCUUGUCGAACAAAUUAGUAUCAUUGCUCAAACUUGAUUUCCUUCCAAGGGUGCCCAUUCCUCGGAGCCUCCCCUCGUGGCGUGAAGUUGGAACCCCAAUCGAGUCAAUUGAAUCAAUAAAAUCAACACAAAACUCGAUCACCUCCUCUGUUCCAUAUCCCCUGGCGAUGCUUCCUUCUGGACGAGCACGAUUACGAACAUAGUUUUUUAGGACUGCCAUGAACCUCUCGAAAGGCCACAUAUUGUGCAGGUAUACAGGUCCGAGAAUACCAAUCUCUUUUACUAGGUGAACCAGUAAGUGCGUCAUAUUAUUGAAGAAGGAUGGUGGAAAUAACAACUCAAAACUGACAAGACAUUGCACCACAUCGUUCUGUAGCUUUGAUAGCUUGGAUGGAUCGAUUGCCUUCUGCGAAAUCGCAUUGAGAAACGCGCAUAGCUUUACGAGCGGCAACCGGACAUUUUCGGGUAGAACACCCCUCAGUGCAACCGGAAGCAACUGGGUCAUCAACAUGUGGCAGUCAUGAGCCUUGAGAUUUGUAAACUUCUUUUGUUUCAUAUUUAUUAUUCCCUUUAUAUUCGAGGAGUACCCAGACGGGACCUUCAUACUAUUCAAGCAUUCAAACAUACUAUCCUUCUCCUCCUUGCUGAGAGUGUAACUGGCAGGACGUAAGUAGUGCUGUCCAUUAUCUCUCUUUUCCGGAUGUAGGUCAUCUCGUUGCCCCAUGGCUUUCAGGUCCUGUCUUGCUUCCAAUGUAUCUUUUGAGGUUCCAUAAACACCCAUGAAGCCUAGCACGUUCACGCAAAGAUUCUUCGUCAGGUGCAUCACGUCUAUUGCGUUGCGAACCUCUAGGAUUUCCCAAUAAGGUAGCUCCCAAAAUAUUGACUUUUUCUUCCACAUGGGUGCAUGUCCGUUAUCAUCGUUCGGAAUAGGUUGGCUACCAAGUCCCUUUCCAAAGACUACAUGUACAUCCUUCAUCAUCUCGAACACACGCUUUCCAUUACGGUGUGCAGGUUUUUUACGAUGGUCUGGCGUCCCUUUGAAAUGCAUCCCGCUCUUUCUCAGCUGGUGGUGAGCAGGGAGAAAUCGACGAUGACCCAUAUAGACGACCUUCUUACAGUGCUUCAAGUACAUGCUAUCUGUGUCAUCUAAACAGUGGGUGCAUGCCCGAUAUCCCUUAUUUGUCUAUCCUGAAAGGUUACUCAAUGCAGGCCAAUCGUUGAUGGUUACGAACAACAGUGCUCGUAGAUUAAAGAUCUCUUGUCUAUCCUCAUCCCACACACGUACACCUUCUUCCUUCCAGAGCUGUAAAAGGUCAUCAACCAACGGCCUUAGGUACACGUCAAUGUCGUUGCCGGGUUGUUUUAGGCCUUGGAUAAGCGCCGGCAUCAUAAUGAACUUCCGCUUCAUGCACAGCCAAGGAGGAAGGUUGAACAUACAAAGGGUCACAGGCCAAGUACUAUGACCACUACUCAACUCACCGAAUGGAUUGAAUCCAUCAGUGCUUAAACCAAACCUUAUGUUCCUUGCUUCACUUUCAAAGUCUGGGAAUGUUCUAUCAAUUGAUCUCCACUGUGCCCCAUCUGCGGGGUGUCUCAGCAUCUCAUCUUCCUUACGGUCUUCUUUGUGCCAUCGCAUCAACUUAGCAUUCGCCUUGUUCCUGAACAAGCGCUUCAAGCGUGGUAUUAUAGGGAAAUACCACAUCACCUUCACGGGAACUCUCUUCUUGGGAGACUGCCCCUCGACAUCACCAGGAUCAUCUCGCCUGAUCUUAUACCGCAGGGCUUCGCAGACGGGACAAGCAUCCAAUUCCUCGUAUUCAUCACCACGAUAGAGGAUACAGUCAUUAGGGCAUGCGUGUAUCUUCUGAACAUCCAAUCCGAGAGGGCAAAUAAUCUGUUUAGCUUCAUAUGUUGUGGACGGUAAUUCAUUAUUCUCGGGGAGAAUCUUCUUGACAAUUCUCAACAUCCCCUGAAAUGCCUUAUCGGACACACCAUUUUUUGCCUUCCAUUGCACAAAUUCUAGUGUCGUACCUAGUUUUUUAUGGCCCUGCUGGCAACCUGGGUACAACAAUUUUUGGUGAUCAUCUAUCAUGCGCUGCAACUUUGCUGCUUCCUUCUCAGUUUCGCAAUCUCUGUAUGCAUCUCGUAUCACCUGACCAAGGUCAUCAGUAGGGUCAUUUUCUGCAAACUCAUCUUCAUCAGCCUCGCCCAUUGUAGUACCUGCAAAAGCUUGGCCUGCAACCCAGUCCGGAAUGGUGUCAUCUUCCUCCUCCUCCUCGCCAUCUUCCAUUACAACCCCUAGUUCACCGUGCUUGGUCCAAACCAAAUAGUUAGGCAUGAAACCGUAUUUAAACAAGUGGCUGUGAAUAGUCCCCCAGGAAUUCUUUGAAUACUCCUUCCUGUUAUUGCAUUGGAAGCAUGGACAACAUACGAACCCAUUCUCUGGCUUGUUCGCUUUUGCCACUUCGAGAAAAUAAUGCAAGCCAUCAAUAAACACCUUGCUCCGCCUGUCUGCAUUAUACAUCCAAUGCCGGUCCAUCUGCAUCGUAUUACGCACGAAAAUGGAUUACACUUGACAAUGGAUUACGCGUGAAAAUCGAUUAAAGAUCCAAACAACAUGGUACAAUACAACAACAUGAAGAUCCAAAUACACAUAUUUAAAUUAAAGUCCCAAACACUGCAUAAGUUGUUCAACUUGAAGACCGUGAUCAUCUCGUGAGGAUGUCCUCAACUGGGCGGCACCGCACUUCGUCAUUAAAGAGGUUAGAUGCUACGGAAAAGGGGACACGGUCACAAUGUCCGUAUCCACUCUUUCUCGUAGAAUCGAACCUCCUUCUUGACAUACGUUGCUGCUCGGCGGAGAACAUCCUCGGCGAGAUGAACACGGUAUGCAAGUUCAACAAGUAGCAGAAGUCAUCUAUGUACAAAAAUUCUUUCCUUACCACUACAGAAGUUGUUGAACUUGAAGACCGUGUUCAUUUCGCGAGGAUGUCCUCAGCUAGGCGGCACCGCACUUCGUCAUGAAAGAGGUUAGAUGCUACGGAAAAGGGGACACGGUCACGAUGUCCGUAUCCACUCUUUCUCGUAGAAUCGAACCUCCUUCUUGACAUACGUUGCUGCUCGGCGGAGAACAUUCUCGCCGAAAUGAACACGGUAUGCAAGUUCAACAAGUAUAUGGAUUUAAAAAACCAUAUUGAAUUUGAUAAGAUAAACCGUCUAGACAAGGUAGCAUCAUUUUUAAACCACUGAAAUAAUGCAUACUAUAUAUGACACAUCAAUCUCCCUCACAUUCUAGCUCAAAAUACCUCUCCAUUUUUCUACUUCAUCAUCACAUUGUAGCAAAUAAUCUUUCCAUCUCCAAAGCAUAAAUCAAAGCAUAACACGAGGAUGAAGUAGCAAACCUUCGCAGCACUUGUUGGCUGAGUCAAAUUCCCACGAAAAUGAGGGAAAAAAGUUCGGGCAGCACCUCCCUUGCUUGGGCACCACCGGAGAGUAGGUGAAGCUCAGCUCUCUAUCAAUGUGCUGGACUGCUCGGGCUGGAGGAAGAAGAAAGUCUCUGUCUCGGGGUAUAGUGGGGGAUGAGUUUUAAUCCCGGUUAAAAACUCCAACCGAGACAAAAGGAAACACCUUUUGUCCCGGUUGGAAAGUUAGUCCCGGUUGGAGGAUCCAACCGGGAUAAAAGGGACACCCUUUUAUCCCGGUUGGAGGCACCAACCGGGACUAACCCUUUUAUCCCGGUUGGUGCCUCCAACCGGGAUAAAAGGGUGUCCCUUUUAUCCCGGUUGGAUCCUCCAACCGGGAUAAAAGGGUCCCGCCACCGACGGCCCCCGCUAGCCGUUGCAACCGGGACUAAAGGGGGGCCUUUAGUCCCGGUUGCAAUUACCAACCGGGACUAAUGCUCCCCUCCAAAUUCCCGCACCCCGGCGCACCCCCUUUUGUCCCGGGCCACUUUUAAACCGGGAUAAAAGGGGGUUGAUCGAAAGUCAGUUCUCUACUAGUGAUCGGUGACUCCGCUCGAGGAGAAUUGUUUAUAUCAAGCAUAGAAAUGACAACGUUGGAAGUGGAGGAUAUAUUUUGCUCUGUUGAUUUAAUUGCCGCGAGAGUGGCGGACAAGUUCUAAUGAUUGAAGAUCAGAAGCGUCUCGUGGAGAAUUUUUCAGAAGCUAUAUUUGGAAUUAUUAUAUUAUCUCAGGAGCAGAUUAAAUAUAACGCCACCACUGAAAGCCGAUGAGAUGUAUCUAUCGGCUACAUGCUAUUCAGAUGAAUUUGAUGACAGAUUAAUUACGGAGGAGACCGACCGAUACAACAUUAUGGUUUCUUACUGCUGAUCUGUUAUGAAAGAGGAUGUGAGAAGCUGAUAAUCAAGCAACAAUAAAAUGAUAUACACGCAGGGCAUUAAAUAUUGAGUUAAUGAUUGGGAGUACUACCAUUAUCUUAUGAAAAGUCCAUCGGCUAACCAAACAGCGUCAGCCGAUGGAAGCAAAUAGUGUCAGCCGAUAGAAUGAUGUUAUAUAAGUAUAUAUAUCGGCCUCCGAGCCAAUGGGAAGUAGGAACUAUCAGCCGAUGCACACAUCCAUGGACAUAGCCGAUAAGACAUUGUAUCGGCUGCUUGGCAAAUAAAAAUAGCAUCGGCUGACCGCUUGUUAAAAUAUUAUCGGCCGAUUGCUUGGCAAAAUAGUAUUGGCUGACUGCUUGGCAAAUAAAAAAAUAAUAGGUUGACCAAAAAAGGAUAGCAUUGCCUGAUUGCUUGGCAAAUAAAAAAAAUUACGUCGGCUGAUUGGUUCCAGCAAAAUAGUAUCGGCUGCUUGUUGAUCAGAAAAAGCCGAUACUGUUACAGCUCCCGCAACUGUGCUUUGCUGUCAUCGGCUGGGUUGUUCGUGCUCCAUCUGCAAAUAUUUGUCCCGGCUAGAAAGUAUCGUACGUGCAUUGGGAUUCGGCAGUACAAAUCACGUACACGCGUAUGGUCUGCUCAGAAGCUGUCUGUUCGACGAAGUUCCAGGCCAAUGGUGGAGACUUGAUGACCAUGGUGACCUGCAUUAAUCAACAUGAAGUAUGUAUCGGCUGUUCGGUGAUUGGUAGCAAAUCAGCUUUCUCAUAGCCGGUGACAUAUGGGGCAAGAAAUAUCAGGCUUAAAAAAGGACAGUACGAUCAAUGUCGAAAGUUGUAGCCGACGGUUCUAUUAUUGUGCAGUCGAUGGAACAUAGAAGAUGCAUCUGAAUGAGCAAAAGGAAGGGAGCCGAUAGAAGGGAAUUUAAGUUGCAUGAGAUCCAAUUAAAUUAAGAUGACGAGAGGUGUUGACAUCGAAUCAUCGGACUUCUACGAAGUCUUCAUACUCCGAAACUAGGGAGUCUGUGUUAACACCAAAAUUUAGAAAUAUGCUGAUGCAAAAAAAUAAUGAAAUCUCCUAAAUAAGGCUCAAGAAAGAAAAAGCAAGAAAAGAAAAUCAAUCGCACGCGGCAAGAAUUGAAUAAAAUAUUCUAGAGGUAGAGUUGGUUAGGAUAAGCUUAAUUAGGGAUAGAGUUGGAUUAGUUAGAGAUAGUAUUUUGAUUAGAAAAGAUUGUGUACAUGACUUGUACGUGGUGCGUCAGAGGCCAUCCGCCCUAUAAAUAUAAGGGGUCGUGGCCAUUGUAAUUAUCAUCACACGAUCAAUAUACAACAUAUUUAUCUUUUACCUUUUCGGCUUCACGCCAUUGUAUUAGGAGUAGGAGUAAUGUAGCUUCCUGACGAGUUCCUUCUAGCAAGCUGUGCUGCAUUGACCUUGAUCUCUGGCGAGCUGCAAAGUUCCGUCACCAGGUGUUCUAGGCUUUAACCACCGGGCGCAUCGCUUGUGGUUUCGUCUAGUUUCAUCUACAAGGUAUCGAAUAUCAUGGAUCUUUAACUUACGCAUCGCUUCUGUCUUGAUCUACGGUAUUCACCAGUUAUCCUGCCUUGGUUAAGUCUGCAUCGGCUGAUAUUUAUCUGUUCUAUCAUCUUGCCGUUCAGUUUGCUUUAAUUAGCUUUAGAUCGGUUCAUUAUAGAUGAUAGAUCGCUUAAUAGCCUGUUGCAUCUUAAUCUUGGUUACCCCUUCAAGUGCUGUUGGGAUUAAGUUUCGUUAUGAUUGGAUUCAUCGGCUGGUGGGGUUGGUGGGGUUCAGAUUAACAUCGUGCUAAAUAUUUCUAGACUGCAACUACUGGACGCAUCGCUGUGGUUUCAUCUAGAGAUAUUGGUAGAGAGUUUAGUUUAGAUCUCAUCGGUUCGUGGCUCUAGCUAUGGUGGAGCGGCAGCUGAAUAGCAUCCUGUUUUCUAUCGGUCGCCUGGCCGAUAGUUAUUGCAAAAUAUAUUAAAUCGCCUGGAUGGCCGAUGGAUCACUCACGCUCGUCAAGGAUCAUAUCGGCCUGAUCGGCCAGUUGCCUCGGACUUCAAAGGAUUAUUUUCACCUUGUCAGUUGAAUGGUCAAACUGGCUGGCACGCCCGCGCACACCAUGCGCGCCGAUUUGGAUUUUGCACUGGAGUUAAGUAGAUCUUCCAGGUCCUCAUGUGGUGACGAAGGAUCCACCACCAUCAGGAUUUUGCGUCAACACAUUUUGGCACGCCCAGUGGGACACGGUUAUAAGGUUCAUAUUUUUAUUCAUAUAAAAAAGCAUCUUCGGCAUCAUCGGCCAAAUGAGUGUUCAUCGGCUUGUUAGAAUUAAUUCAAUAUAAUAUUUCAGCAAAAGCAGCCGAUGUAGCGAUUGGAGAUAAGGCCAAGUCAAGUCUGCGUGUAUACGCAUGUUCCGGUGGGAUCAUCUUCAUAAAUGCCAAUGACGAUUAGAGAUGAAGCUUCCUGCAAAAUGAUUGGCUACUCUAUCCGGGAAGAAUUGCUUUUUUAUGAGGCAUAUAUAGAGACCCAUGUUGCAAUUAGGGGGCGUAUUCGUGCAUUGGCUGAAAUAAAAAAAUGCAUCGGCAUAUUGAAAAUUGCAUCGGCCGAUUGACAGUCGUAUCAGCUGAUUGGAAAAAUAAAAAGGGAUCAGGGAUCCGCCGAUUGAAAAUUGCAUCAGCUGAUGGAAAAUGAGAGCAACAGUUACAAUAUUUUUUUUAAAAGAAAGCAAGUAUCGGCAAGCAGUAGCCGAUGGAUUUGUAUUUCAGCCAAUGGGGUUUUUGUUUCAGCUGAUAGUACUACUGGCUGAUGGCAAGUCCAAUGGAGUUAAAAUUGCAUUGACUGAUUGAAAUAAAAAUUAAGUAUCGGCUAAUUUAUGGCCAAGUAGCAUCUGCUGAUUUGUUGCAAAGUAGUUUCGGCUGAUUUAUGGCAAAAUAGAAUCGGCCGAUUUAUGGCAAAGAAGCCAAUAGACAAAAGCAUCGGCUGGUAGAGAAGCCGAUUGAGCAAGCAUCUGUUGAUGAGCUAUGUAUGGGAAAAAGUAUUGGCUGCUUAAACAAUUGACAAAAGCCAAUUGGUCAGACUGAGAAGCCAACUGGGAAAGCAUCGAUCGAUGGAUUGCGUAUGGGAGAGAGUAUCGGUUGAAGUCUUUAGUAUUGACUGCUAGAUAUUUGAGCAAGCGUCGGCCGAUUGACUGCUUGGUAAAAAAAACAUCGGGCUGAUUGCUUGGUUAAUAAAAAAAUUGCAUCGUUCAAGCAAAGAUUGCAUGGGCUGAUUGGUUCAAGCAGAAUAGUAUCGGUUGCUUAUAGAAUAUAUCGGAUAUUAAUUUCGAAGCAUGAAAAUAUUCAUACUCCGAAACUGGGGGGCCUGUGUUGACAACAAAAGCUUGCUGGUUACUGCAUCAAGUUUUGGUGUCAACAUACUUGAUCUUUUGUUUCCAUUGCCAGCGGAUUCAUCGGCUCAGAGUGGGAUCAAGACAUCAAGCUGAUGGAGUUCUUUAUAUUUCAAGAGGAGUCAUGGAGUUCUUUAUAUUUCAAGAGUAGUCGAUGGUGCUUUGAAUAUUGCAACCAGACGUCAUUGGCUCUAAAGAUACCGAAUCAUCGGACUUCUAUGAUCAGUUUCGGAACAUGAAGCCUUCAUACUACGAAACUGGGGGCCUGUGUUGACACCGAAUCAUCGGACUUCUAUAAUUAGUUUUGGAACAUGAAGCCUUCAUACUUCGAAACUGGGGGGCCUAUGUUAACACCAAAAUUUAGAAAUGUGCUCUGAAAGGAAGGUAUCGGCCGAUGAUGCAAAAAAAUAAUGAAAUCUCCUAAAUAAGGCUGAAGAAAGAAAAGCAAGAAAAGGAAAUCAACGCACACGGCAAGAAUUGAAUAAAAUAUUCUGGAGAUAGAGUUGGUUAGGAUAAGCUUGAUUAGAGAUAGAGUUGGAUUAUUUAGAGAUAGUAUUUUGAUUAGAAAAAAUUGUGUACAUGACUUGCCUUGUACGUGGUGCGUCAGAGGCCAUCCGCCCUAUAAAUAUAAGGGGUCGUGGCCAUUGUAAUUAUCAUCACACGAUCAAUAUACAACAUAUUUAUCUUUUACCUUUUCGGCUUCACGCCAUUGCAUUAGGAGUAGGAGUAAUGUAGCUUCUCGACGAGUUCCUUCUAGCAAGCUGGGCUGCAUCGACUUCGAUCUUCGGUGAGCUGCAAGUUCCGUCACCAGGUGUUCUAGGCUUUAACCACUGGGCGCAUCGCUGUGGUUUCGUCUAGUUUCUUCUACCAGUUACCGAGUAUCUUGGAUCUUUGACUUAUGGCACAUCGCUUCUGUCUCGAUCUACGGUAUUCACCAGUUAUCCCGCCUUGAUUAAGCUUGCAUCGGCUGAUAUGUAUCUGUUCUUUCAUCUUGCCGUUCAAUUUGCUUUAGUUAGCUUUAGAUCGGUUCAUCAUAGACAAUAGAUCAUUUAAUAGCAUGUUGCAUCUUGAUCUUAGCUAUCCUUCGAGUGUUGUUGGGAGUAAGUUCCGUUGUGAUUGGAUCCAUCAGCUAGCAGGGUUUAGAUUAACAUCCUGCUAAAUAUUUCUAGACUGCAACUACCGGGCACAUUGUUGUGGUUUCACCUAGAGAUAUUGGUGGUGACGUUAGUUUAGAUCUCAUCGGCUUGUGGCUCUAGCUAUGGCGGGGCAACAACUCAACAACAUCCUGUUUUCAAUCGACCGUCUAACUGAUAGCUAUUGUAAAUUAUAUUAAAUCGGCUGGAUGACGAUGAAUCACUCACAUUCAUCAAGGUACUGGAAUCGGCUUCACAGCCGAUAUAUUUGUCAUGAUUUAUUUUGUUGCACCAUUAUCGCUACUGUGCUAGGAUUAUAUCGGCCUAAUCGGCCAGUUUCCUCGGACUUCACAACGACUAUCAUCUCCUUGUCAGUUGAAUGGUCAAACUGACUGGCAUGCCCGCGCACACCACACGUGCCGAUUUGGAUUCUGCACUGGAAUUAAGCAGAUCUCCCAGGUUCUCAUGUGCUGAUGCAGGGUCCACCACCGCCAGGAUUUUGUGUCAACACCUUGUAAUCUUCCUUUGAUUUCCUCAAUGAUUCGAAGACAAUAACCUUGCUUGUAUAAAUGAUAAUUAUAAGGAGAACCUAGUGGAAACUGUGUAUUCAUAUUAGAACUACCUAUGGUUAAUUAGGUUAGGAAAGGAAAUCGAAAAUAGACCGUACCCACACUUACUUAAAGUUGUUGGGCAGUAGUAUGUAAUGCUUGUAAUUCUGUUACUCCAAGAAUUUGUAUAUGUGGUCCAAUGUAGACUUUGGUUGAUCCCAUAUCUGUUGUUGGUUAAAUAAGUGUUUCUGGCCAUUUCUAGCCGUUAGAACCGGAACUAAAGGGGGCUCUUUAGUACGGGUUGAUAUUACUAACCGGGACUGAAGAGCCCCCAUUACAGUUGGUUUUUGGACGCGGAACUAACAACUCCUUUAGUCCCGAGUCCAAAAACGACUGAGAUAGAAGAUCCUUUCUCUACCGUGAAUAUUGCCAGAAAGAAUUGAAAGAGACCGCUUGCUAAAAAUAUGUCAUAGAUGUAGACCAAGCUACCAAGGAGGUAGACCAAACAUGAUACACACCAUGCGUACCUUGCUGUGCAGACUAUGCAUAGACAAGACACCCGACCACAUGUUGGCCUCGGUCACAUCAAAAGAAUCAUGUAGGCCACCAAUAAACUACUUGAAGCGUCAUUCCGUAUCGUAUAUGCAUUGCCGGUUCAUCUGCAUUACAUUACAUAAAGUAGUAUUAACUAUUUGAAUAAAAUGAACCAAUUUAAAAGUAAUGUGUUGUACUCUACUAUAGAAAGCCCUAUCACUGUCGGAUCCAGAAACAUCAUUGUUGAUGGUCGUUAAGUACCAAGACGGUCAAUAUUCUCAAGAAUAAUGGAGAAUUGGCAUUUCUUACACACAUAUUUGGUUUUGAACAAUGUAGUCCCACAUGUCCUUGGAGAUUAUUUGGGUGUGGGUGAAAUAAUACAAAAAGAAGGAGAAAACACACUCCCAUGGUGAAGAAACAAAACUCCGACCAAUGAGAGAUAGCCACAGGGGCAGCACACGGAUCCAUGGGCCCACAAACCGCAUCAAACUGUCUUACCAAGGCGGGUAGCACCCACAACCAUGAUUAGGACCCACCUGGAUGUCUACCAAGAAGAAGGUUGUGAGUGGGGCCAGGAGGGGUUCGGCUGAAUCAUCUCUAGCUCCCCUCAUCCCCAGCUGGUGCAUGGCGGUGGUUAAUGGUGUCCCUACAUCGGUUAGAGGAGAUUCCCCCAAAUAUUCCUCCUGUAAACCACCUGUAUGGACCUAUACAUAGAGGGGUGUGCUCUCCAAUCCAACACACACCACAAGUUUAAUCACUCUCUCCCUCUUUAAUUUCCAUGUUUAUGGAGUUAGCCUAGAGUAGCUCUGCUCAAGGUUCCAAGUCCACUUGGAGUUAAGCAUAUGUCUCUUGUAUCGUUAUUUCCCAGAUUGACUUUAUGCUUAGUUCUUAUAUGCAUGAGUUAGUCUAAUAGCCUUGCUCUAUUGAUAUGCUCGGCUUAUAUGCUCGUAUGCUAGUCAUAUACCCUUGCUGCCGUAGUAUAGGCUUAUAUGCUCUCAUGUGUGCCUUUAGACCUUGCUACAAUAUAUACUUGUUGUGUAUACAUACCAUGUAUAGGCUAGUCGAUCUAUACCAUGGCAUUGGUUCAAUAGCCAUGUUUUUGGUGGCUCCAACCCUAGUCAGAAUAGCUCGGGACAGCUAGAGUGUUGUUAAAAAUGCAAGAGUGAUGGUUGGGUUGUUUAGCAUCGUUGGAUAUGGGUUUUCCCCACGGGUUUCUAAGAGUAGGCGGCAGCUAGUGACAGCCCUGUCCGUCCUUCGUAAUCCCCCCACAUUCAAGUACGCCAUAGAAGUUCAUAAAUUAGCAGUAACUACACCGGCAGACCGGUAGGGUAUUGUCUCCCUAUAGUACCUUGGUGCAUAGAACUAGGUCAUAUACACUGUGUGUCUAUGUUUACGCUGAUAUGAUCUGUGCAGUAUAUAGCAUGUAUAUAUGAACCUAGAGCUAACUCCUAGUCCAUUCUCCGUAGCUUAGUUAUCUUGAGAUGAUUCUUCUGUGUGUGUAACACUACCCAUCUUAUCAUUAUCCUUAAUCCUGUCUUGUGUAAUAUAUCUACUCAUCCUAUGAUAUACUCAUAUGCAUAGUAAACUAUUUUGACCUACCCGCCUUCCUUUGGGAAAUACGAUACCCUGGAAUAAUCCUAGGUGAAAUGCUACAACGGUAUAUCCAUGUGCUUACGGAAUUAUUCCUGACCAUUAAAUAUACCAACAAUCAUCACUAUCUAUUUUGGGCAUCGUUAGUGAAGGGUCGGCAGUGAUGGGCAUCCCCUUCACCAAUGGAGCUGGAACUGGCGGUGAUGGCCAUUAAAAAAAAUGGGACCCCACCCAGCGUACCCCGCAACCCGGCCGGCUGCGCCUCCCAUCAUCCCCGCCGGUCGCCCUUCCUCUUUGCCGGCCGAGCAUGGUUCCGGCCCUCGUCCCUACCGCCUCGCCUCCAUCGCGACCCCCUGCCGAUGCCCUCAUGCCUGGCCCCCCUCGUCUGGCCGGCCACCCUCCCGAUGCAUCCACCGGGGCCCUCGCACCACCAACCACCCUAGCCUAGAGAGAGAGAGGAGGAGGGAGGUGAGGCCACGCACCUCGUCCUACAACGCCGCUGUUGCUCCUCGGCCCACCGCGCCUCACCCCACACCACAGCCGCACCUCGCCAUCUUACCGGCCGCGACGCCCCAUCUCACCGGCCACCGUUCCUCACCCCCACAUCGGUCAUCGCUGCUCCUUGCCCUACUGCUGCUCUUUGCAGCCGCGAAUGAGGGGCGAGUGGAGGGGGAGGGGCGGGGCAGGAGGAGGGCAAGAUCCGGGAGGAAGGGAGAGAUUUUGGGAGGUGGAGAUGGAAGGAUAUGGCGGAAGGUAGAGAUCUAGAGGGAGAGAGCGGGGGGGAGAGGGGGGCAUGUGGGGAGAGAGCGCAUGUGGGGUGGGGCCGGGCUGGUGGGAUGGAAGGUAGAGGGGCCGGAGGGCGCAGUGCAUUCAACUGGAUUAAGUAAAUAUUUCGGAUUCGAGACCCCAGCUUUAUUAUCACCGCUGGUCCGUAGUACCAUUCGGUGCCGGCUCAUAAUUUAAUUUGAACCGGUGGUGAUGUUUUAUUAUCACUGCUGGUUUCAAUUUUCACCAUCGGAUCAUAUAAAAAUCCGGCGGUUAAAAAUCCGCUGGUUUCGAUGAAAACCGACAGUGAUAGGACGACUGUGAUAGUCUCUUCUCUAGUAGUAGUAUAUUAGUACCGGCUGCCGGAUGGUGUUGCCGACGAGUACUUCUCCAGGGGCGAUUCAGUACUGAUGUUAGCAAAGCUUGUUCUCUAUGAAUUUGGGGAUGGAAAGCUAGUUCUCUAGUUGUGAUUUGUUACAUAUAUCUCUAUGAUAGUCUAGAAAUUGCAUGUCCUUCGUUGACAUAGUUGAAGCUGCUUCAAGAAUUUACUUCGUGCAGUCGUGCAGCAUAUUGGAUUAUCACCUAGACAGGAUACAUAGGUGAAGCAUUGCAUGUGAUUGUGGCUGAUAAUUAUGCAGGACGCUGUUGCAAUCAACCAUCAAGAAGACUGGAGCGAUGGGGUUGCCUCAUCAACAAUUUUUAUAUAUGGCUGCAGUAUUAUUAAGCCCACGUCAAUAAUUUUUUCUCCGCAGCAUAUAUAUGGUUACUCAGUUCGCUGGAGUAUCGCUGUGGAAAAACAUACGUACUGCGCCUCGGAACUAACUGGCAUUCAGGCCAUCAACGACCAGAUAUUUGGGACAACCAACAAAUAGUAGGUGGUUCCUAAGUUGUAGUCGUAUGUACUAAUGCGCCUCGAUGGGGUUUUCUUCAGAUAUUUUAUUGCCGUUCAAUGAACAAGCAGAUACAUAACCUGUGCAGAAAAUUCCAUCUCCACGCAUGCCACUGCACCAACAAGAUCCUCAGUCGACGAUGAUGGCUCAGCCUGUUCCUUCUGCCACCAAAUCCUCAAUCUUCCCUCCAGCAACGGAGAAUGCACCUUUAGUACCUUCAGUAUCAGAUGUUGCAAUCGGUACCGUGAAACCGAGACUAAAAUCCUUACUUUGCAGGGGGCAAAACAAUCUUGCAAAUAUAUAUUUUGAAUUCCAACAAAAUUUAAGAAAUGUUAAAGAUGACUAGCUGAGAGUCAACAGACAAGAUAUGAUAUUAGGAAUGUGGGAGGAUGAAUGCAUUUGUACAGGGGUCAUACUAUUUCCAGACUCUUCUAUAUUUCCAUAUGACUACCUACUUCAAUGUCACGCGAGCCAUUCAAAAAGAUACAUGGUACACUUGUAUGUCUAAUCCAUUAUUGAUUAUUUCCUCUUGUCAUCUCUUACAAGUAUUUCUCCAUACUAUAGAAACGUGCAACACAUUUUUAGGAUAUGGACACGCAUGAUUAAUAUGCUUGGACUAGUAUACAGGUCAUCUUUGGAUGAGUACAUAUGAAUGCCAGGGAGGGACUGAUGGAUAUAAGGAAAAGGGACCAUGCAUAAAUAAUGACAUAUGUAACAUGGCAAUCUUCAUUGCCAUGCAACUCCUAUCAACAAUCAUGGAAUACAUACUACUGCUCCAGAAGGGUGGUGUGCAAAUUUAUUUUACCUCGCGGUGAAAAUCUCCAGAGCAGGCCUGAAGUUAAAAUAAGAGGCAGUCACUAUCGAUCAUGACAGUCUCGAAACUGUACAGCACUAUGCUAGUCCUAGUCCUCAUGUCGUUCGUGCUGUCGUGUAGCAUGAUGGAUUAUUAACUGGGCAGGACACGGAGAUGGCUAGCGAUGACAGAGGAUGACGUACAUGAUAUUCACCUCUGAAAUGAAGCGUAGGCUAAUGAAGCACAAUUGCAUGUGAGUGUGGCAGAUAUUUAUACAGGACAGUGAUUGCAAUAAUCGACCAUCGAGAUCGAAGACAGGGGCGAUGGGGUUGCCUCAUCAAUAAUUCGCGCAACCAGACAAGCUGCAGACUCAAUAUGGUACGAAGCUAUUUGGUCAGCCCACAUGCUCUGAUAUAACAUUGGCAUCUGCUGAUCUACAGUAUAUAUGACCAGAAAUAUUGUGCCACCUCAAUAAUUUUCCGAAGUAUCGUUGGGGAAGCACCUACAUACUAUGCCUCGGAACUAACUGACAUGUUGGCCUAGGCGGUCCAGGCCGAUUGGACAGGCUCUUCCUUAUGGCUCCUCACGUCCCCUUCGUUUCCGAGUAAUCUCAGGUGUUCUGAAGUUUUCUUUUCACUUGCAUGUGGACCUUAUAUAUCAAUAGCUUCGGGAUAAGAAUGCCUCUUGAUAACCUUCCAAAUCGUCGCUUGAUUCACUUUGAUUCCAAAAUCAUCUUGCCAUAUCUUUUGAGACUUAGGCCCUAAGGCAUCAUGGAGGAUUGCUCGCCAAGAAUGAGCACCAUUGGGCUCCUGAGGACCCUAGGCCGAUCAGCCUGGGCUCUAUAGGUUGAUUGGCCCAGGCCCUCUCUGGGCCCAUUGGCCUUCAUCUUUCUCUGAGUCGACGCUUAUUGAGGGCUUUGUCCAAUUAUAGUCCAUUAUAGUCUAAUUUCCAAAAAAAUAGAAUAUCCUCCAAAAUACAAUACAUUUGUGAAAACAGCCCAAUUAUUAGGUAUGAUCAAUAGUCUAGGUAUUAAAUUAAUGUUAUUAUUUAAGAUAAAUAGGGAUAAAGGGUGUCAUUAAUAACGAGCACCAACCAGCGUACCAGCUGUUAACACUAACCGAUGCUAAUAUGUACCCUUUAGUACCGGCUAUUUCACCCGGUACUAAACGAGACAAGAGCACCCUAACAGAGGUUAAUACCAUCCAUUUCAUGAGUAAAAUACUAUGAUUCAAAAAUAAUUCAAAUCCCUUAAGACAAUACCUAUCAAAUGAGUAGAUUGUAAAUAGAGUAAAACAAUGUCCUAAUGAAACGGAACACUUCUGGUUCGUGUAGAGCACAAUAUAGAAAACAGUAGGGUAGCUGUACGAUUGACACGUGGUCCAUUAAUUAUUGAGCCAUCACUAUGGACAUGUCUUCAUGAGUAGUGUACUAGUCAUGACACAUGGUAUGUAGUAGGUGGAGGUAUUGAGUUAGCCAUGCCAUGAGCACUUAGUUACAACAAACACUUUGCCAUUAUCGAGCAUCCCAAAUCACUACAAAAUCCAUAGUUUACCAUAUACUACAAAAUCUGAGUUAAAAUAAGAGCAUACACGGAAGAGUCCGAAUGCACCGGUUUAGGACCAGGCACAUUGAAUUACUAGAAAAAGUUAUCGGACAAGGUUUUGGGUAACCGCAUGAAAAAUGUUGGAUUUUACUGAACACUUAGUUACAAUUACCAUGCCGUGAGCACUUAGUCACCACAAACAUUUAACCACUUUAGAUCAUCCUGAAUCCCUAUAAAUUCUGUACCUUACACCGUACCAUGAAAACGACAAGAACAGAGACAGAUGCAGUGAAAAUCUCCAGAGCAGGCCUGAAAUUAAAAUAAGAGGAGGCAGUCUCUAUCGAUCAGGACACGGAGAUUGCUAGCCAUGACAGAGGAAGACAUGAUAUGAUAUUCACCUCUGAAAUGCAGCGUAGACUAAUGAAGCACAAUUGCAUGUGAGUGUGGCAGAUAAUGGACCAUCGAGACCAUCGAAUGGUAUGAAGCAUGAUUAUCACCUAGACAUGAUAUCCUAGACAGGACGGUGAAUUGUAAAAAGAGUAAUCUUGAUCAAAGAAUGUCCUAAUGAAACGGAACAUUUUUGGUACGUGUAGAGCACAAUAUAGAAAACAGUAGAGUAGUUGUACGAUUGAAACUGCAUCCAUCCACGUGGUCCAUGAAUUGUUGAGCCAACACUGUGGACAUGUCUUCAUGAACACCAUCUAGUGAGGACAGGAUGCAGAAAAAUAUAAAAACAUGUCAUAGGGAGGCAGACCAAUCUUGCAAGGAGGUAAACGAAACGUGAUACACGAUCUGCCUACCUUGUCGUGGAUACCCCAAGAGAAGAUGUCAUAGAGGUGCAGACCAAGCUAGCAAGGAGGUAGAUGAAACGUGAUACACGGCCUGCCUACCUUGCCGUGGAUAUUAGCCCUGAUAUCAUUCUAUUGUUCAAGGAAUAACACUCAAUGCUGCUGCUGCUGCUGACCUGGCUCCAUAAAGUUGUAUUCCUCUAGCCGCUUGCACUAACUUUAUCUGAAGUAUUAUUCUCUCUGCCCUGAUAUCUGAAGUAUUAUUCUCUCUGCUGACUUUGCUGAAGAACCUACAUAAUAUGUCUUGGAACUAACUGACAUUGAUUCACAGACAAACUCUACAAGGUGCUGUUGUUGCCAUAUUUUAGAGCAUCCCAAAGGACUAUAAAUAAUAUAGUUUACCAUAUACCGUAUACCAUUAUAUGUUAGCUAAAAUAAGAGCAUAACAUGUCGCAGGAGUCCAAAAGCACCGGUUGAGGACCAGGUACAUUGAAUUACUAGAAAAAGACAGGGGGCAAUGUUUAGGUAGCCACAUGAAAAACAUUUGAAUUUACUGUUCCAUGAACACUUAGUUACCAUGCCGGGAGCACCUAGUUAACACUAAAAUUUAGCCACUUUAGAUCAUCCCGAAACACCCUCAAUAGCGACAAAUUUUGAUUUAAAUGCCGUCACCAAUGAUCCUCAAUAGCGACGUGUUUAGGUUUAAAUCCCGUCACUAAUAACCCUUGGUAGUGACGUGUUUUGGUUUAAAUCUCAUCCCACUGAUCCUCAAUAGUGACGUGUUUUUAGCAACACACGCUAUGAAUGACUUGUCAUUGGUGACAUGUUAAAUGCGUUAUCUCAAUGGCAAAUCAUUGGUGACGUGUUUUAAAAAAACAUGUCACUGUGAGAGUUAUUGGUGAAGGGUAAUUAAAAUGCAUCACUAAUUUUGUAGCAUUAGUUAUGAUAUAAUUUAGUAACGCAAAAAUCUACCAUCAGUAAUGAGGUUUAGAGCCGUCGCUAAUGUGGGUUUCUUACGAGUGAUGCAAGCUCUACAAGGUGCUGUUGUUGCCAUUUUAAAGCAUCCCAAGUGACUACAAGUUAAUAGCAUAGUUUACCAUAUACCAUAAAAAUAUUAGUUACAAUAAGCACAUCCGCAUGUGGAAGAGUCCGAAUGCACCAGUUGAGGACUAAACACAUUGAAUUACUAGAACCAAAUGUAAGACAAAGAAAGGGGUCAAGGUUUGGGUAACCGCAUUAAAAACAUUGGAUUUUACUGUACCAUGAACACUUAGUUACCAUUACCAUACCUUGAGCAUCUAGUUACCACAAACAAUAAUUUAGCCACUUUAGAGGUUCCAGAAUCACUAUAAAUAAUAUACCAACACCGUACCAUGAAAACAUCAAGAAGAGAGACGGGUACAUGGACCACCAUCAAGUGAGUAGUGACAGCACGCACAAGAAUACCCGGAACCUGUUAGCUUGUCUGUAGUGAUCUGUUUUCUUCCCCAUAAAAUCCAUGAGUAUUGCCACAAAUAAUGAAAGAGGCUGACCAAGCUAACAAGGAGGUAGAGAAAACGUGAUACACGUAGGUUUCAUUCAAGACAUCCAUGUAAGAUUCAUUCAAAACAUUCAUGGAAAUUUCUUGUAAGUUUUCAUGUAAAUUUCAUUCAAGACAUUUGUUAGAGGUGUUGUAUAUAUAUACCUUAACGUACAUAUAUCUAUGAUUUCAUGGUUGUUAGUGAUGGCAGAUGAGGAGCAUGCAAGGUAUUUAAUGGAGCAGAUUAUUGCUAGUGGUAGUGGCUCCAACCUGCCCGUAACGUACACCAACGAAGAGAGCAGCCAGGCGGACAUGUUCCUCAACAUAUCCGGUGAUGGCAAUGAAGAGCCCGAGCAAAACCUUGCCGUGACGGAAGGUUCCAGUGAGGUAUAUAUCAUUUCCAUUGUUUUACCCCAUCUAUAAUUUCAUAUUCAUUAUUACUAUGUACUAAUUAAUGGAUCUUGAACCAUUAGCCCUCUAGAUCAACGAACCGAAAUAAGCCCCGAGGUCUUACAAAGAUAAUGCAGGGAAGGCAUCACAUCACGGAAGUCACAGAAGAGGGCACAUCAGUUGCUCCCGAACAUGUGGCAAGAAAGUACGUGAGUCAAACCGGGCAAUGUGCCCAUCAGCAUUAGGGAAUGAAAGGGCAAUAGAAAUGAUCUAUACACGCCCCCGGAUACACAAAAGGAUAUGCUGUGGGCAAAUAUCAAGAAACACUUCACAUUUCCCAAAGGAUAUGUUGAAAAAGAUGUGAAAGCGUGGAUGCUGAAGAAGAUGGUCACCGAAUUCCAGACAUUCAAGAAGAUGUUGGAUGUCAACUUCAUCAAGAAGGGUCGAACUCCGGGUUUCGAUGAGUGGCCAAAGUUAAGGGACCACUGGGAGUCAUUUGUCAAAUACAAGACGAGUGAAGGUGGUGCGAGUAAGGUUCGCAUCAAUGUUGCCAAUGCUAGCAAGGAGUACCAUCAUCAUCUAGGGCGACGUGGUUACAGCACUGCAAUUCCCAGAUGGCGCAAGAUGGAACAAGACCUGAUCGAUCGGGGUAUCGUACCAGCAACUCCUGACUGGCCUGAUCGAUUGAAAAAUUGGUAUUAUGCUCAUGAAGGCAAUCUGAGCCAACAGGAUGCGACAUUGGUCUUCAAUAAAACAAUACGUCAGAAGGCCGGAAGGCUUAUUAGGAACAUUGAAAAUGCUAAAUCUGGGAGGUUCAAGGUGGAUAGAGAGAAUGAUGAGCUCACAUUGGCCCUUGGGACUAUCAUCUCUAGCAUUUCCAGCUCCAGGACUGUCGUCACCACCGGGACCGUCGCUUCUUGCUCGAUCACAGUCUCCAUCUCCAGCACAUCCUGGUGGUGCGAACGAUGACGACAACAACACCCCUCCCUGCCCACCAUCGCCGGGACUAAGACCCGCAUCGAGUAAGGAACCUGCAGCACCACUGAAGAAGUCGCGACCACCGCCUUCCAAGCCAAGUCAGCAAAAGAAGAAAGCAGAGAAGCCUAAGCCCACUGAGAAGCCAACAACCGAUAUGACCGAUGCGGAAAGAUGGAAGGCACUCAAAGAAGAAUGCAGGGAGUGGUUCUGUAAAAAGAACCAAAGAAAGAAAAGGAAAGCAGAUGGAGCCACCGCCAGUAGAUCCAAGAAAAUUAUAAUUUUUUAUUAAGAUGUCAAAAGGAGCCAAGAAGAUGAUUCCACAACUAUCAAACUACGACCGGGCGUUAGUCAAGGCUGAUGAGAGUUAAAAAAGGAAAGGAAAGUCAUCUUCAAGUGGUACUGUCCCCCACCUCGAGGAUCUACCAGAAAAAGACGCUAAAAAGAUAGUAGCAAUGCUCUUGGAUCAACAAACACAUAUAUCAUGAGAUUCAUGCAAGAAACAGGUAUGUGCCUUGCUGAAUGUCUAGGGCAAGUUGAUAUGCUAGCUCUAGAGCCAUUUGUACCGAAAUGGACCUUUGAGCUAGGCAAGCCUCUAGUAAGGCCUGAGCUGGUACAGAAGCUAUCCACAUAGCUAUAUGAAUACCAUGAAUGGUACAUGAAGCAGUCUGCCAAUGAGAGGAAAAUGUUCGGUCUCAGGGAAAAACUGAUAUUUUUUUUCGGCGAAGGCGAGAAAGUCUUGUGAUGGAAUUCAAGGAUAUAUAUGAAGUGUACCAUCAGGAUGCCCUUGAUGUCUCUCUCAUCAGCGCCUAGGUUAUGUAAGUGUAUGUUUAUCUAUACGUAAUUUUUGUCUCAUAUCAUUAUUUCUUUUGCGUGCGUCACCCUACUAACUUCGUCUUCCAUUUUAUGUAGGAUGCUAAUUCAGAUGUGCCGCAUAGAAGCGCACUUCCAUGUUGGCUUCAUGGAUCCAUCCCUAGUUAACCAAAAGCAGAUACGGAAGUAGCUAGAGAAAAUGUUGGAGGUGGUAUACAACUUCCUGGACAAACAAAACUAUAGAAUAGGGGCAAUAUGUGAAGGUCUUGUAGGAUUCCUAGUGGACAAGGUGAUAAAUCCAUAAGGAGAAUAUCAUUACAACGGACGAGCAUUAGACACACUGAGCAACACCUAGACGGGAGGAUCCUAGGAAUGACCUAGACAGAUUUUGGUAUAAAUAGUAAUUGUGUAAAUACUAGUUUGAUUUGUAUAGGAAUAUACUAAGAAUUGUAUAUAUAGUAAUUGUACAAAUACUAGUUUGAUUUGUAUAAAUACUAGAUUGAUUUUAUUAUAAAAAAGUUUUAAGUCGUACGUGCAUGCGCCUACAAAGGCGCGUAUGCCCUUUAAUCCCGGUUGGAAAAACAAACCGGUACUAAAGGGGCUCGUGCCGCACCUGGCAUGACCGCCCCUUUAGUCCCGGUUGAACGACCCAGGACCAAAGAUCUGCCCCGUCUCAUAAAUUUUAUCCUGGAUGCUUUUUAGAGAGAUUUGAGGCCUAUCAACCAAGACUAAUAUCGAGUUUUCUACCAGUGGAACUAACUAACGUUCACAUGCUUCUGACAUUCACCUGCCAUUUGGUGUAGACAAGGGCACCCUAACAUAUGGUUAAUAUUAUUCAUGAAAGAAAAUCCUUUGAUUCAAAAAUACUUCAAACCUAAUAAUACAAUACUUCUCACAUCUGAAAAAUAUGAGAUGGCCCGACAGUAUUCUAACCGACGCAAUAAUAUUUUGAGGGCAGCACUACUACAGCGACCCUCAUUCGUGCCGGUGCUGGAACCCCUAUCACGACCCUGAUACAAAUGAGGGUACAUUAUUGUUGCCAGUGCUAGAAUAGCCACGAAUAACUUGCUAAACAUGCUGUUACACUCACUACUAGAAAAAUAACCUCUCGUCCUGAGGCUUAGUACCGGUCACUUUUUUGCCCAGUACUAAUGUUAGUAUUAGUACCGGAUCCAAAUUUGGGAUCCCCCAGAGACCCUUUAGUACCAGGUGGAGUCUCCACCCGAUACUAAAGGCUUUGUUACCGGGUGAAGGAUCCUCCCGGUACUAAUGGGGGAUUUUUAGUACCGGGUGGGAACCCCACCCGAAACUAAAAUCUCCCAUGCGGACCCCUCCCCCCCCCACGCGUUGCCUCUGUCCUCCCUCCUCCUCCUCUGAGUAGUUAUCCCUUCCUCAUCCCUCCUCCUCCUCCCACACGUGGGGUGAGGUGAGGUGGCAGUAGCAACGACAGGUGGUGUGGCGGGUCACGGCGGGCCGGAUGCGGAGCCGCAACGGUGGUCGGCGGGAUGGGGUGGGGCAGAGCGGCAUGGCAGGGCGGAGCGGUGGGACGGGGCCGAGGUGGAGGUGCCGGGCGGAGGUGGAGUGGCAGGACAGAGGCGGAGGCGGAGCGGCGGGUCGGCGAGCGGGUGGAGGGUGGCGACGAUGGGGCGGGCAGAGGCAGAGGGGUGGGUGGAGGGGCGGCGUGGUCCACCGGCGGGGGGGGGGGGGGGAGAGGGAGGCGUGGGGGGUGCGGUUGGUGAUUUCAAUUUUCUUUUAAUUUUUUAACACCCUUCAGUACCAGUUAUUUUAACCGGGUCUAAAGGGAUCCCCUCUUGUACCGAAUUGCUAGUACAGGAUGCACAACCGGUACUAGAGGGAGGUUCCCAACCGGUACUAGAGCCACUUUCCCCGGUAGUGACUUUUUCACCGAUUAGAAUAUGUUAUUAUUCUAAUCAGCUUUUGUUGAUCUCCUGUAUAAUUUAGUACCUAAUUCUACUAGCAAUUGUUAACGCCGACACGUAUUGGGUAUAGUCCUAACAGUGUCUAACUAGGGCACUACAUUUGUUAACCUAUAACUACUGGUAUCGAUUAGCCCUGGUUAGAAUACUGUCAAGGCAGCCAGAAAAAAUUGUUUGCCAAUUCUGCUAUCCAUCAGAACCAUGACUAGUACCGUAUUGUAAUAAACGAAUUACACAAAUAACUGAUGCACACAAAGGAAUAUGCACUCGCAUGUGCUAGACGUUCGUAGCAACAACAAAUUACUCUCAUCAUCAAUUAAACAUAAUAGAUUAAACAUUAACUGAACAUAGUUCAACACGUACAUCAACAAGACAAAGCAGUUUAAACAUCAACUGAACAGAACUGAAAACAUACAUCAACUGAUGAUAAACUUCGACAUGAACACAACACAUAAACAUCAACUUCAAUAGAACUUAAUAGAGCAUAUUAAACAACAACAUCGACAAAACAUAUAAACCCAGCUCAGUAGCUCAAGCAUCAACUAAAACUGCUGAAUUAAAAUAACAUAACAUAGUGUAGUUCAUCAUGAUGAUAACUAACAGAACCGAAAAGCCUAACUGGGUAAAAGAGCAAUUCAUUCAUAAUGCUUCAGCACUUACAUCACCGGAGUAUGCAACUGGCGGCGUCGCUUACGUCACUAUCACCGCGCUUGGCGAGUAAAGGAGGAGGAGGUGGCAUAGUAAUCGAAGAGGAGGCCGCUGUCGGCGGGUUUAGACUACGUGGAGGUGUGGGUAGGGUUAAGGUGGCUCUGUGGACGAGUAUAUAUAAGAGGUCUGGGCUUGUUAGAAUAAGAUAACAUUCUAACUGGCCAAAUUCGGAUCCGGUUAGAAUAAAUUGUUCUAACCAGCCUUAAUUCGAGGUGGUAAGGAUAAGUUAACAUUCUAAUCAGCUCUAUUUGGAGCCCGAUUGAAUGUUCUUGUUAUUCAAAAAAAGAUCAAGUUCAUCAAUUUUUUUCUAGAAAAACAUCAAGAUAAUUUAAACACGAUAUAUAACAAGAUUAAUACAUUUAAAAAUUGUUUUCUCCAAUAAUUAACGAUAUUUAACAAAUUCAAAAAAAAUCCAAAUUAACAGAACAUAAUAACCAAUUGUUCGAAAAAAUCAAAAUAGUCCACACAGUAUCAUAUUACAAAUUCAGAAAAAUAUCAAAAUAAUCCCUGAUCCACUCGAUACCGUCGUAGAACUUUGAAAUACUGAGCUUCUUGAUUCAUCUGAGGUCCACGUACUCGUCUCAGUAACACUAGUGGUGGCCAUGCAUCUUGUAGAUGUCUUCUAAUGAAUUAAGCUUGACAUACAAGGUCGUGCCUUCCACUCCUUGAGGAUUGCUUAUGACGUUUCUGCAAAUAACGAAGCAUUGCUUUCUCCAACAUGAUUAUUUUCUUCGGCUUAUCCCAAGGGACAACUAUGGUUUUCCCCUUGCCGGAAGAGGAACGAUGAUCGCCCCCACCAUCGCCACUUCCUCCAGUAGCAGAAGCCAUCUAUGUACAAAAAUUCAUACCUUAGCACUACAGAACUUGUUGAACUUGAAGACUGUGAUCAUUAGGCGAGCAUGUUCUCAACUAGGUGGCACCGCACUUCGUCAUGGAAGAGCUUCGAUUUUACAAAAAAGGGGACAUGAUCUUCCAUGAUGUCCGUAUCCGCUCUUUCUCGUAGAAUCAGAGCUCCUCCUUGAUAUACGAUGCUGCUCGGCGGAGAACAUGCUCACCGAGAUGAACACGGUAUGCAAGUUCAACAAGUAUGGAUUUGAAAAACCAUAUUGAAUUUGACAAGACAAACUAUCUAGAUAAGCGUAGCAUCAUUCUUAAACCACUGCAAGGAUACGUACUAUAUAUGACACAUCAAUCUCCCUCACAUUCUAGCUCAAAAUACCUCUCCAUUUUCUACUUCACAUUCUAGCAAAUAAACUAUCUAUCUCCAUUCUACACAUCAAGUUGUUUUAACUAAUACAAAUCGUAUAUAACAAGCAAAAUAUCCAUCACAUUCUAGCUCAAAAACAUGUAUAAAUACAAAUCCUCUUCAUUCUCCCUUUUUCUAACAAACAAACUCAUUUUUCUCCCUCUCCAAAGCAUAAAUUAAAGCGUAACAUGAGGAUGAGGUAGCAAACCUUCACAACACAUUGGAUGAGUGAAAUUCCCACGAAAAUGAGGGAAAAAAAUUCGGGCAGCACCUCCCUUGCUUCGGCACCUCUAGAGAGUAGGUGAAGCUCAGUUCUCUAUUUUUGUGGUGGACUAGCUUGGGCUGGAGGAGGAAGAAAGGCCUCUGUCUUGGUAUAUAAUGGGGGAUGAGUUUUUAUCCCAGUUAAAAGCUCCAACUGAGACAAAACGGCCAAUCUUUUGUCCCGGUUGGAGCCUCCAACCGGGACAAAAGGGGCACGCCAUCGACGCACGGGAGCUAGCCGUUACAACCGGGACUAAAGGGGGGCCUUUAGUCCCGGUUGCAAAUACCAACUGGGAUUAAAUCUCCCCUCCAUUUUUGCCUACCGUGGUGCGCCCCCUUUUAUCCCGGGUCAACUUUAAACCGGGACAAAAGGGGGCGUCGAAGAUCAGUUCUCUACUAGUGACCCCUCCCCACCUAUCUCUCUCCCUCCAUGCUCCUCGAUCUGUGCCUCCCCUCCCCUCCCCUUCCACUCGCCCCUCACCGACGGUAAGGAGCAGCGGCGGGGCGAGGUGAGGUGGCAGCAGCAAUGGCAGGUGGUGGGUCGCAGCGGAGCGGCUACGGUAGGCAGCCGGACGGGGCAGAGCGGCGGGGCGGGGUGGAGGCGGAGGUGGCGGGUAGAGGCGGAGCGGCGAGGCGGAGGCGGAGGUGGAGGCGGAGUGGUGGGACGGCAGGGCCGGGCGACUAGUAUAGGUGGGCGGGCGGAGGGCGGCGACGGCGGAGCGGGCGGAGGCAGAGGGGCAGCGGGGGCCGCCGGCGGGGGGUGUGAUCGGGGAUUUCAAUUUUUUUUAAAUUUUUUAACACCUUUUAGUCCAACUGGUUCUAAAGGGACCCCUCUAGUAUCAAAAUUGCUAGUACCGGUUGCACAACCGGUACCAGAAGUGGUUCCUAACUGGUACUAGAGCCACUUUCCCUGGUAGAGACUUUUUUACCAGUUAGAAUAUGUUAUUAUUUUAAUCAGCUUUCGCUGAUCGCCAGUAUGAUUUAGUACCUAAUUUUACUGGCGAUUGUUACCGCUGACACGGAUUGGGUAUAGUCCUAACAGUGUAUAACUACGGCACUACAUUUGUUAACCUAUAACUACUUGUAUCGAUUAGCCCUGGUUAGAAUACUGUCAAGGCAGCCAGAAUUUUUUUUUUUUGCCAAUUCUGCUAUCCAUGAGAUCCAUGACUAGUACCGCAAUGUAAUGAAUGAACUGCACAAAUAACUGAUGCACACAAAAGAAUAUGCACUUGCACGCUAGACGUUCGUAACAACAAAUUACUCUCAUCACCAAUUGAACAUAAUAGAUUAAACAUUAACUGAACAGAAUUCAACACGUACAUCAACACGACAAAGCAGUUUAAACAUCAACUGAACUGAACUGAACACAUACAUCAACUGAUGAUAAUUAUCGACAUCAACAGAACACAUGAACAUCAACAUCAAUAGAACUUAAUAGAGCAUAUUAAACAACAACAUCGACAAAACAUAUAAACCCAGCUUAGUAGCUCAGGCAUCAACUAAAAUUGCUGAAUUAAAACAACACAACGUAGUGUAGUUCAUAAUGCUUCGGCGCUUACACCACUGGCGGGUCGCUUACGUCGGCAUCACCGCGCUGGCUGAACCUCCGACACCCCCACCACGGCAAACGGAGGUGAUGGCGGAAGGUGAGGCAACGACAGUAGCUGGUGAGCUCCCGCUCCAAUGUCUCGCGAGUAAAGGAGGAGGAGGUGGCAUGGGAAUCGAAGAGGACACUAGUAGAGAAACGACUUUCCAUCCACCCCCUUUUGUCCCGGUUUAAAGUUGGCCCGGGACAAAAGGUUCACCAACCGGGAUUAAAACUCGGUCACUGGUGGGGGGCUCACCAACCGGGACCUUUUAUCCCGGUUGCAAAGGCUAGUGGGAAAAAAUUACUCUGAGAGGCCUUUUAUCCCGGUUUGAAACACCAACCGGGAUAAAAGACCCCCCCUUUUAUCCCGGUUGGUAACACCAACCGAGAUAAAAGGGUCAAGAGCCUUUUAUCCCGGUUGGAAACACCAACCGGGAUAAAAGGGGGUCUUUUAUCCCGGUUGGUGUUUCCAACCGGGAUAAAAGGGUCCCCCACGAGUUAAUACAAAAGGAUAGUAUCCCCUACAUAGUCAGAUGUGGUGUGUAGGUGGGAUGGUAAGGAAGCUACGCGCGAGGCUGGAGGUUGUGGGUUCGAAUCCCACGAACCGCGCACGCGCAUAUUUCGCGUGAAAAAUCGCGUGACUUGCGACUUGCGCGUGUGGGGGGGCCUCCUGGGAGCUCGGGAAUUUUUUUUUUUUGCAGCGCCGGCCGUGGGUGAACCCUUUUAUCCCGGUUGGUAUUACCAACCGGGAUAAAAGGGGGUCUUUUGUCCCGGUUGAGUGACCCGGGAUAAAAGACCCCCCCUUUUGUCCCGGUUGGUUUAUCCCGGAUGCAUUUUCGAGAUCUUUGCACCCUACCAACCGGGAUAAUAGGUGAGUUCUCCACCAGUGGGAGGCCGCCGCUGGCGGGUUUAGACUACGUGGAUGUGUGGGUAGGGUUAAGGUGACGGUGUGGACUAGUAUAUAUAAGAUGUCUGGGCUUGUUAGAAUAAGAUAACAUUCUAACCGGCCAAAUUCGGACCCGGUUAGAUUAAAUUGAUAUUCUAACCGGUCCUAUUUCUAGGUGGUAAGAAUAAGUUAACAUUGUAAUUGGCUUUAUUUGGAACCCGAUUGAAUCUUCUUGUUAUUCAAAAAAACAUCAAGUUCAUCAAUUUUAAUCCAGGAAAACAUCAAGAUAAUUUAAGCACGAUAUAUAACAAGAUUAAUACAUUUAAAAAUUGUUUGAUUCACAAAUUAACGAUAUUUAACAAAUUCAAAAAAUCCAAAUUAACAGAACACAAUAACCAAUUGUUCGAAAAAAUCAAAAUAAUCCACACACAUUAAUAUAUUACAAAUUCAGAAAUAUAUCAAAAUAAUCCCCGAUCCACUCGAUACCGUCAUAGGACUUUUAAAUACUGAGCUUCUUGAUUCGUCUGAGGUCCACCUACUCGUCUCAGUAACACUAGUGAUGGCCAUGCAUCUUGUAGAUGUCUUCUAACGAAUCAAGCUUGACGUACAAGGUCAUGCCUUCCGCUCCUUGAGGAUAACCAUCUUUGGUGAUCUUGAAAUGGCAGACGGUGGAUGUGCCAAAGGUACGUGACGAUCCUUCUAAAUGUAUGCCACCACAACUUCCGUCUGAUCGCCAUGGGUGACACCAAGAAGAGCUACCAUGCGGCAAGGGACGAACAAUUUAUCAAUUAGUGCCGCUGUCCAUCGCCAUCAUCUAAUCCAGCCAUAUCUUGUUGUAUAUUUAAGUAUAGAAAUUAAGAUUUAAAAAUAAACAGAAUAAAUUGAGAUCGAUUAUGUAUGUAUAUCAGAACAUUAGCUUUUGGAAAAAGGGCUUCGAUGGAAGAGAGGCACGGGGCAUAGAGACAACAACGAGUGACAAUAUGUCAGAAGAAUACCCGAUCACAAUUAUUGGCACACACAGCCGAUAUUUACAGUAGUCAAUACCCCUGGUAAAUAACCACACCAUCAAGAGUAAAUAGUGACAAUAUGCAGUAUAUACACGACAUAGCCUUGGCUGCCGUGGAAGCACCAGAAGGGAGACAAAUAACAGGGACCACUACAUCAAGUAGAUAGUGACAAUAUGCAAAAGAAUACCCGCGCCUGUUAGCAUGUGUGAACUGACCACACCACGAAACGUGAUACACGGCAAGCGUACCAAGGCCUUGCUGUGCAGACUAUGCAUGGACAACACAUGGUACCUGACCGCUUUUGGCCUCAGACACAUCAAAAACUGCAUCGUUCCACGUUGUACAUCCAUUGCUAGUUUAUCUAUAUUACAUAAUAUAUUAUUAGCUAUUUGAAUAGAAUGAACCAAUUAAAAAAUUACGUUGUAUUUUAGUACCGGCUGCAGGAUGGUGUUACCAACCAGUACUAAUUGGCCUGUAGGAGUGAUGGUUAUUAGACUUGGUACUGUUGUUAGCAUCAUUAACCUAAUUGUGCGCCGUAUGAAUUUGGGGAUGCAAAGCUAGCUCUCUAUGAAUGUGAGGGAUGGAAAGCUAGUUCUCUAGUAGUAAUUAUAUAUAUGACAGUCAGGAAAUCGAACACUAUGCUGCUACGAGUCACCAUCAUUUCCUUCAUUGACAAUCUGACAUAGGUGAAGCUGCUUCAAUAAUUUCCUUCGCGCAGUCGUGGAGCUUAUUGGAUUAUCACCAGGACGGGACACGGAAAUGGCCAGCAAUGAAGCUGAUUGCCGUCUGAGGAAGACUACAUACUUACCUAUGAAAUGAAGCGAUUGCAUAGACUAAUGAAGCAUUGCAUAUUUGCAUGUGAGUGUGGCAGAUAAUUCUGCAGGACAUGAUUGCAAUCCACGCACCAUCGAGAAGACUGGGGCGAUGGGGUUGCCUCAUCAAUAAUCACGUGGAUGCAUGCAUGCAUGUUCCCUCAACCGGACAAGGGUCUGAUAUAUGGCUAUAGUAUUACUGAGCCCACAUCAAUAAUUUCCGCUGGUGUAUCGUGUGGGAAGAAUCAACAUACUACACCUCUGAGUUCUUGGAACUAACUGACGUUCACAUGCAACCUCCACAAGGUGCUGUAUGCUUUUGACAUUCACCUGCCAGUUCGUGUAGAGGACACCCUAACGUAUGGUUAAUAUUAUCCAUUUCAUGAGUAAAAUACUGUGAUUCAAAAAUACUUCAAAUCCCUUGAGACAAUACUUCUCACUUGACUAACCACUAACCAACCCCGAAACCCUAACUCAACUCCGAACCCUAACCCCUAACGGCAUAACCACUCCGUUUUGCCGGCGAGAUGGAGGAACUGGCUGGAAGGUAGAGAGGGCAGCGGUCCAGGGUUGAAAACGACGGGCGAGCGCAGUAACAUGUGGAGGAGGAAGUGCCACGUAUUCGUUCACCGCUAUUGGGCAGCGACACACGACACGCCCAAUAAGAUCUUCGCACGGUAGAAGGACGUCAUGUAUUCAAUAAUGUUAUUGGUCCCCCAUGUGCAGAAGGGCGCGCGCGUAUGGAAUAACAAGUAGGGACACUGCAACUAAUCUACUCUGCUCGUCCAGUCCCUAGCCUAUAAAUAGAUGCCAUGCUAGCUCUUGUUGUGCUCACAAUUAAUCCGAUUACACACGAGCUUCUCUCCCUGGCCAAGACACAACCAUAGUAUGAUGAAGAACAUGGCACUAGCCGGCAAUGGUAUGAAGAAGUUAAUCCUCGCUGUUCUCUUACUGUGUCUAGUUAUAGGGCAGAUACAAGUGGAAGCUAAGAGCUGCUGCCCAUCCACCACUGCAAGAAAUGUCUACAAUACCUGCCGUUUCACGGGUACAUCCCGUCCAACGUGUGCAAAACUGUCAGGCUGCAAAAUUAUCAGCGGGAACAAAUGCAAGCCCCCUAACGACCACCUCACCCUUGACCCGGACACUGGUAAAUAAUAAAUUUAUCUCACUUGAUUUCUUCGUGAUUUGAGUCGUUAAUGUAUUUUCCAUCUGAUGAAACGUAUUGGUUUUGCAUUGAAGAGGAAGUUAAUGUGCUUAACUUCUGCAAGUUGGGGUGUGCGUCGUCUGUGUGCAACAACAUCAACGCUGGUAAGCAACUUUUGCUCAGACAGAGAAAACAAUAAUCAUUAAUUAGCGGCAGCUAGAAUCCUAUAAUCUAAUAUAUAUAUAUAUAUAUAAUUUUAUCAGCUCUGGGAAAUGAAGAGGCGAACGAUGCCGUUGAGAGUUGCGACCAAGCCUGCUCUAGCUUCUGCAGCGUGCAUGUUGGCAGCGCCACCGUGGUUGCUUAAGCAAAUGCAUCCAACUAGAUCGUCCUUGUGCUGAAUAAUUGGAUAUCGUAUCCACUUAAAGCUGCCUUGUGUAGUACGUCUUUGUGUCUCUCUUUAUAUUCCAAUAAGGUCGGUGAUCUUGAUGCCACACACUCAGAUGUGUGUUCAUCUCCAGAUACUACUCCAUGCUACCUGCCCUUUGUGUUUUGUUCAAUAACUGGGUAUCAUAUCCCAGCCAGUAUGCCGUCUGUUUUGUGUUUGUUUCCUUCUAGUUCCAAAGGGGUCAUCAUGAUGUUACCUUCUUUCAAUAUGGUGCUUUGCAUGACUACUGUUGUAUGGUACCAUCUUGUGGCCAAUAAGUACAUCUUAUCCUAUGACCUUUGCUAUGACCCUUUGCAAAUAAGUAGAAGAUUGUUAUAAGCGUCAAUACUCCGUAUAAAUUGAUCGCUGCUGUGAGUUCCCUUUCAGCUUAUCGUAGGCAUACAUUAUUGCUAGCACGGUAAAGCCAACCAACACGAAUGAUGAAGUAAACGUAGCGGUACUUCUGUAUACCAACACCCUUACUUAAAUGUACCGGUGUCAUUCCCUACUGGCACAUAUAUUCUUAUAUGCUAGCCAGCUUGUAAAAUUAACCAAUUAAAAUAAUUAUUUCAAGAUAGAAAUAACUUAUCGGUUUCUGGAAGCAUGUGUAAUGUGAAUUCAAGGACUCGACGGAAGUUGAAUCACUUCAUCUAUAUUGCUUUCAGUAUUUUGGGUAACUAAAUUUAACAUUUGCACAUACAAAUGUUAAAGUACAAAUGUUAAAUCUAGUUACCCAAGCAGAAUAUGAAGAUAGUUUAUAGUAUAUAUAUACUAUAUAAAUCUAGUUAACAUUUAGUCUAAAUGUUAAAUCUAGUUACCUAAAAUCCUGAAAGCAAAAUGUAUAAAUAUAUAUCUUUUAAGGCAGUAUAAGCUUCGAUUCCUAUUGCUGCUCUGUUAAAUCUCAUCUUUCGUUGUGGCCCAACACUCUAGUAUGCAUGUUGCACCAAGCUUCUUUGAGCCGCUCUGCCCUCUGAUUUUGCUGCGUAGGGGAAUCUUUAUCAGGUUGGGCUACUUCCAGUUGUGCGAUGUAAAGAUUCGUAUUUUCUAGAAGGUAGACAAAAAACUCGCGUUCUCUUAAGGCAACAACCGGAAGAUUCUGCAGCGCACAGGGCAUACCAUUAUUGUAGAAACGACCUUUAGUACCGAUCUCCAACCCCCUUUAAAACUGGUUUUGCAACCGGUACCGUUAUGUCGGUCCUUUAGUACCAGAUCAAAUAAGUACCGGUUGGUAACCAGUAUCAACUUGUUUUGCGGCCAAAAAAAUAAAGAAAAAAACAGUCAGAAGGCUCGCGCACACGCGCAUCACAUGAAAUAUGCGUGUGCGGGGUCCAUGGGAUUCGAACCCAUGAAAUCAAGCUGCGCGCGACCCUUCGUUACCAUCUCACCUACAUAGCGCAUAUGCUUUCCUGAAGUAACCCGUGGAGGAGGCUUUAGUACCGGGUCAUAACACCACCCGGUACUAAAAAUGACUCUUCAGUACCGGGUCAUAACACCACCCGAUACUAGUAUCGGAUGGUGUAAUGACCCGAUACUAAAAGGCCUCUAGGGACCCUCAAAUUUGAACCCGGUACUAAUGCUAAUAUUAGUAGCGGGUCAAAGUGCAGCCAGAACUAAAGCAUGGGAUGAAAGGUCAUAUUUCUAGUAGUGUAUAGUUGUUGUGAAGGACUGACUUGGCUGUCCUCUCUCUUCUCCAUCCCCUUGGUCUUACGCCGCCGCUCGCACGCGAGCCGGUGCCCAACCAGAGGAGUGAGAGCUAGGGGCAGGUUGGGAGGUGGGGAUAGUGACUGGUGGCCAGGGUGAUGGUUGAUCCUGGUGGGGUUAGGGUUUUAGGGUUUUCGAGCUUCCUAUGGUCGGCGAACCUAGAGGAGGAGCUCAACAUCAGCUGCAACCCGCGAUGGUGGUGGUUUGGCCGGCGCCCGAGGCGAGGCAGCGCGGGAGUGCUGCCGGUGGGUUGGUGUUGGCACUCAUUAUUGACAACUAUUUUGUUCAUAAAAUAACACUCAAACUUGCUGCUGCUGCUGCUGCUGCCAUCGCCACCCUAGCCAUAAUAUAAAGGCAAAAUUUGCUAAAGGACAUGCAAAAUGAUGCUAGUUUGCUGGCGGGCAUCGUUGACCUUGUAAUAUGCUACAAGACACUCUAGUUGUGUAUCAAUUUGCUGAAAGACAUUGCUAUGACUAAAAUAAUGUUUCUGGACUGAGUUGGAGAGAGAGAUGGAGUGAAAUGUCUGUUUUGCCCAUGACCCCACUGGUCAGAUCCUUCUUCUUCCACCCUCCUUUGUUCUUUCUUCAACCAUUACCCAGCUCCAGCGUGUUGCAGAUCUACGAGGGUGGCGGCCUGGGGCGAGGGGCAUCGCUCGCCCUUGGAGGAGCGCUGCGAGCGACGGCGCGGGGGCGGCAACAGCGCGUCAGAACCUGACUGUUCGUUAGCUCCUCUCGCUGCUGGGGAAGGAGGGGGAUGGGCCAUGGACGGGGUUCCCUUGAAAACCUCAGCGUCGAGCUCGGGCGGCUACGCGCAGGCAGCACUAGGCUGCUUCACGGGGAGGGGGCGCGGCCAAUCAUUGGCACCCCACUGGUCCAAUGCUGAUGAAGAUGGUGCCAGCGUCGUGUGAGGACAUCUCAUCUCCUCGAGUUCCAUGGCCAGCACAGGUGAGCUGCCGCUACCACAAAACAGAGGUUUCGUGAGAGUCAAAAAACCUUAUGAAAAUAGCUAAAACCAUCAUGAAAAUAAUCCGUGACAUGACACUCUCACGAAAAUCCUCUCACAAAUAUGGUGCCAUGAAAAUACCAUUUUCAUGAGAGUGAACUGUCAUGAUUUUAUUUCGUGAGAGUAUUUCCUAUCAAUGACCUCCACGAAAUACUUUGUGCCACCAGGUCUUCAAGAUCAUUUUCAUGAGAGCUGAACAUCAGGAAAAGUCCGCCACAAAUGUUUUUCUUGGAGCCCCUAACUCUCAUGAAAAUCAUGCGGGCCGCCACGAAAAACAGCAUGACCAAAUGACAAAUUUCAUUUUCAUGUGUUCAUACCGCCAUGAAAAUGGUCAUUUUCAUGAGAGUUGAUGAAACAAAAAAUAGUGCCAUUUUCAUGAGAGUUCAAGCAACCAGGAAAAGACACUAAUAAACAUCCAGAUCCCAUCCAGCACACAUCCAUGCACAUAUAUAACCCACAUAUUGCUCCAGCACACAUCCAUGCAUAUACAAGAUCCAAAUGUUAAUAUAGUAGACAUCCAUGCCUGAACUAGUCUGCCACACAAGUCAUUGAUGCUACAAAUCCUACAAUCGCAGCAUGUGCAUACAAGUCACAGAAUGAGACAAUGUACCCAAAACUAAAAGGUUAGCAUCAACUGUGCUUCAACCAAAGUUGUCAUCCCAACUCUCCUCUUCAUCCAUGCCAUUCUUGUCGUGGCCGUCACUGUCAGUCCCCAUGGCAUUGCCAAUGCUGUGCAUGUCUUGGUAGGAACCUACAUGUGAUGAACUAGUAACCUGCAAAAAGAGCUCAAAGGAUCUUGUUCUCAUAUUGUAGCUGUGAAAUUCUUACAAGUAGUGUUGCAAUCAGUUCACUUUGAACCAAAAGAGCUCAAAGGAUCUUGUCCUAAAAGUUCCUCAUAAAGCUUAUGGGUUUGCUGGUGGAACUGGAAGGGCUUGAUGCAGCAGAUGCCAUUCUGCAAUAGAGAAAAAUUUAGAGAGCAGUACUAGUUAAAAUUGGAUGCAGAAGAUACACAUGAAACUAGUAUUUAUACAAGUCUAUACAAUUAAAAUCUAAGGAGACUUAUCAUCGUUUUCAUGUGUUGUGAAUUAAAAUAAUGAAGGAUACACUGUUAGGUGAAAAUUCAAGAAACAAAAUUUUGCAUAGAGAUAAAGGUCCAACAUUAUUACAAGUUAAGGUAGUUUUAAAUAUCCUUGUAAUCUUCCUUUGGUUUCCUCAACGAUUCGAAGACAAUAACCUUGCUUCUAUCAAUGAUAAUUAUAAGGAGAAUCCAGUGGAAACUGUGUAUUCGUAUUAGAACUACCUAAGGUUAAUUAGGUUAGGAAAGGAAAUUGAAAAUAGAUGGUACCCACACUUACUUAAAGUUGUCGGGCAAUAGUAUGUAAUGCUUGUAAUUCCGUUGCUCCAAGAAUUUGUAUAUGUGGUCCAAUGUAGACUUUGGUUGAUCCCGUAUCUGCUGUUGGUUAAAUAAGUGUUUCUAGCCAUUUCUAGCCAUUAGAACCGGGACUAAAGGGGGCUCUUUAGUACGGGUUGAUAUUACUAACCGGGAUUAAAGAGCCCCCAUUAGAGUUGGUUUUUGGAUGCGGAACUAACAACUCCUUUAGUCCUGAGUACGAAAACAACUGACAUAUUUGUUGCUGGAUGGAAGGUCCUUUCUCUACCGUGAAUAUUGCCAGAAAGAAUUGAAAGAGACUGCUUGCUAAAAAUAUGUCAUAGAUGUAGACCAAGCUACCAAGGAGGUAGACCAAACAUGAUACACACCAUGCGUACCUUGCUGUGCAGACUAUGCAUUGACAAGAUACCCGACCACAUGUUGGCCUCGGUCACAUCAAAAGAAUCAUGUAGGCCACCAAUAAACUACUUGAAGCGGCAUUCCGUAUCGUAUAUGCAUUGCCGGUUCAUCUGCAUUACAUUACAUAAAGCACUAUUAACUAUUUGAAUAAAAUGAACCAAUUUAAAAGUAAUGUGUUGUACUCUACUAUAGAAAGCCCUAUCACUGCCGGAUCCAAAAACAUCAUUGUUAAUGGUGGUUAAGUACCAAAUAUGACGGUCAAUAUUCUCAAGAAUAAUGGAGAAUUAGCAUUUCUUAGACACAUAUUUGGUUUUGAACAAUGUAGUUCCACAUGUCUUUGGAGAUUAUUUGGGUGUGGGUGAAAUAAUACAAAAAUAAGGAGAAAACACACUCCCAUGGCGAAGAAACACAACUCCAACCAAUGAGAGAUAGCCACAGGGGCAGCACACGGAUCCAUGGGCCCACUAACCGCAUCAAACCAUCUUACCAAGGCAGGUAGCACCCACAACCGUCAUUAGGACCCACCUGGAAGUCUACCAAGAAGAAGGUUGCGAGUGGGGCCAGGAGGGGUUCGGUUGAAUCAUCUCUAGCUAGCUCCCCUCAUCCCCAGCUGGUGGGUGGUGGUGGUUGAUGGUGUCCCUACAUCAGUUAGAGGAGAUUCCCCCAAAUAUUCCUCCUGUAAACCACCUCUAUGGACCUAUACAUAGAGGGGUGUGCUCUCCAUUCCAACACACACCACAAGUUGAAUCACUCUCUCCCUCUUUAGUUUCCAAGUUUAUGGAGUUAGGCUAGAGUAGCUCUGCUCAAGGUUCCAAGUCCACUUGGAGUUAAGCAUAUGUCUCUUGUAUCGUUAUUUCCUAAAUUGACUUUAUGCUUAGUUCUUAUAUGCAUGAGUUAGUCUAAUACCCUUGCUAUAUUGAUAUGCUCGGCUUAUAUGCUCGUAUGCUAGUCAUAUACCCUUGCUGUCGUAGUAUAGGCUUAUAUGCUCUCAUGUGUGCCUGUAGACCUUGCUAUAGUAUAUACUUGUUGUGCAUACAUACCAUGUAUAGGCUAGUCGAUCUAUACCAUGGCAUUGGUUCAAUAGCCAUGUUUUUGGUGGCUCCAACCCUAGUCACAAUAGCUCGGGACAGCUGGAGUGUUGUUAAAAAUGCAAGAGUGGUGCUUGGGUUGUUUAGCAUCGUUGGAUAUGGGUUUGCCCCACGGGUUUCUAACGGUAGGCGGCAGCUAGUGACAUCCCUGUCCGUCCUUCGUAAUCCCCCCACAUUCAGGUACGCCAUAAAUGUUCGUAAAUUAGCAGUAACUACGCCGGUACACCUGUAGGGUAUUGUCUCCCUGUAGUACCUUGGUGCAUAGAACUAAGUCCUAUACACUGUGUGUGUAUGUUUACGCUGAUAUGAUCUGUGCAGUAUAUAGGAUGUAUAUAUGAACCUAGAGCUAACUCCUAGUCCGUUCUCCAUAGCUUAGUUAUCUUGAGAUGAUUCUUCUGUAUGUGUAACACUACCCAUCUUAUCAUUAUCCUUGAUCCUGUCUUGUGUAAUAUAUCUACUCAUCCUAUGAUAUACUCAUAUGCAUAGUAAACUAUUUUGACCUACCCGCCUUCCUUUGGGAAAUAUGAUACCUUGGAAUAAUCCUAGGUGAAAUCCUACAACGGUAUAUCCAUGUAAAUGCGGAUUUAUUCAUGACCAUUAAAUAUACCAACAAUCAUCACUGUGAGUUUUGGGCGUCGUUAGUGAAGGGUUGGUAGUGAUGGGCAUCCCCUUCACCAAUGGACCUGGAACCGGCGGUGAUGGCUAUUAUAAAAAAGGGGACACCACCCAGCGUACCCCACGACCCGGCCGGCCGCACCUCCCAUCAUCCCCGCCAGCCGCCCUUCCUUUUCGCCGGCCGAGCAUGGUCCCGGCCUUUGUCCCUACCACCUCGCCUCCACCGCGACCCCCCGCCGAUGCCCUCGUGCCUGGCCCCCCUCAUCUUGCCGGCCACCCUCCCGAUGCGUCCACUGGGGCCCUCGCACCACCAACCGCCCUUGCUUAGAGAGGGAGAGAGAGGAGGGAGGUGAGGCCACGCACCUCGUCCUACACCGCCGCUGUUUCUCCUCGGCCCACCGCGCCUCACCCCACACCACAGCCGCGCCUUGCCAUCUUACCGGCUGUGACGCCUCAUCUCACCGGCCACCGUUCCUCACCCCCACUUCGGUCGUCGCCGCUCCUUGCCCUACCGCUGCUCUUUGCCGCUGCGAAUGAGCGCCGAGUGGAGGAGGAGGGAUGGGGCAGGAGGAGGGCAAGAUCCGGGAGGAAGGGAGAGAUCUCGGGAGGUGGAGAUGGAAGGAUAUGGCGGAAGGGAGAGAUCCAGAGGGAGAGAGCAGGGGAGAGAGGGGGGCGUGUGGGGAGAGAGCGCGUGUGGGGUGGGGCCGGGCUGGUGGGAUGGAAGGGAGAGGGGCUAGACGGGCGCAGUGCAUUCAACUGGAUGAAGUAAAUAUUUUGGAUUCGAGACCCCAGCUUUAUUAUCACCGCUGGUCCGUAGUACCAUCCGGUGCCUGCUCGUAAUUUAAUUUGAAUCUGCGGUGAUGUUUUAUUAUCACCAUCGGAUCAUAUAAAAAUCCGGCGGUUAAAAAUCCGCUGGUUUCGAUGAAAACCGACGGUGAUAGGAUGACUGUGAUAGUCUCUUCUCUAGUAGUGGUAUAUUAGUACCGGCUGCCGGAUGGUGUUGCCGACCAGUACUUCUCCGGGGGCGAUUCAGUACUGCUGUUAGCAAAGCUUGUUCUCUAUGAAUUUGGGGAUGGAAAGCUAGUUCUCUAGUUGUGAUUUGUUACAUAUAUAUCUAUGAUAGUCUAGAAAUUGCAUGUCCUUCGUUGACAUAGUUGAAGCUGCUUCAAGAAUUUACUUCGUGCAGUCGUGCAGCAUAUUGGAUUAUCACCUAGACAGGAUACAUAGGUGAAGCAUUGGAUGUGAUUGUGGCCGAUAAUUAUGCAGGACGCUGUUGCAAUCAACCACCAAGAAGUCUGGAGUGAUGGGGUUGCCUCAUCAAUAAUUUUUAUAUAUGGCUGCAGUAUUAUUAAGCCCACGUCAAUAAUUUUUUGUCCGCACCAUAUAUCGAUGGGGUUGCCUCAUCAAUAAUUCGCGCAACCAGACAAGCUGCAGACUCAAUAUGGUACGAAGCUAGUUGCUCAGCCCACAUGCUCUGAUAUAACAUUGACAUCUGCUGAUCUACAGUAUAUAUGACCAGAAAUAUUGUGCCCACCUCAAUAACUUUCUGAAGUAUCGUGGGGAAGAACCUACGCGUACUAUGCCUCGGAACUAACUGACAUAUCGGCCCAGGCGGUCUAGGCCGAUUGGACUGGCUCUUCCUUGUGGCUUCUCACAUCCCCUUCGUCCCCAAGUAAUUUCAGGUGUUCUGUAGUUUUCUUUUCACUUGCAUCUGAGCCUCCUAUAUCAAUAGCUUCGGGAUAAGAAUGCCUCUUGAUAACCUUCCAAAUCCUCGCUUGAUUCACAUUGAUUCCGAAAUCAUCUUGCCAUAUCUUCAGAGACUUAGGUCCUAAGGCAUCAUGGAGGAUUGCUCGCCAAGAAUGAGCACCAUUGGGCUCCUGAGGACCCUAGGCCGAUCAGCCCGGGCUCUAUAGGUCGAUUGGCCCAGGCCCUCUCUGGGCCUGUUGGCCUUCAUCUUUCUUUGAGUCGACGCUUAUUCAGGGCUUUGUCCAAUUAUAGUCCAUUAUAGUCUAAUUUCCUAAAAAACAGAAUGUCCUCCAAAAUACAAUGCAUAUGUGAAAACAACCCAAUUAUUAGGUAUGAUCAAUAGUUUAGGUAUUAAAUUAAUAUUAUUAUUUAAGAUAAACAGGGGUAAAGGGUGUCAUUAAUAACAAGCGCCAACAAGCGUCCUAGCUGUUCAAUAAAUUUUUUCUAGUACCGAUUGGUAACACUAACCGGUGCUAAUAUGUACCCUUUAUUACCGGUUAUUUUACCAGGUACUAAAGGAGACAAGAGCAUCCUAACAUAAGGUUAAUAUCAUCCAUUUCAUGAGUAAAAUACUAUGAUUCAAAAAUAAUUCAAAUCCCUUAAGACAAUACCUAUCAAAUGAGUAAAUUGUAAAUAGAGUAAUCUUGAUCAAACAAUGUCCUAAUGAAACGGAACACUUCUGGUUCGUGUAGAGCACAAUAUAGAAAACAGUAGGGUAGCUGUAUGAUUGACACGUGGUCCAUUAAUUAUUGAGCCAACACUAUGGACAUGUCUUCAUGAGUAGUGUACUAGUCAUAAUACAUGGUAUGCAGUAGGUGGAGGUAUUGACUUAGCCAUGCUAUGAGCACUUAGUUACAACAAACACUUUGCCAUUAUCGAGCAUCCCAAAUCACUACAAAAUCCAUAGUUUACCAUAUACUACAAAAUCUGAGUUAAAAUAAGAGCAUACACGGAAGAGUCCGAAUGCACGGCACAUUGAAUUACUAGACAAAAUUUAUGGGACAAGGUUUUGGGUAACCGCAUGAAAAAUAUUGGAUUUUACUGAACACUUAGUUACAAUUACCAUGCCCGUGAGCACUUAGUCACCACAAACAUUUAACCACUUUAGAUCAUCCUGAAUCCCUAUAAAUUCUAUACCUUACACCGUACCAUGAAAACGACAAGAACAGAGACAGAUGCGGUGAAAAUCUCCAGAGCAAGCCUGAAAUUAAAAUAAGAGGAGGCAGUCACUAUCGACAGGACACGGAGAUUGCUAGCCAUGACAGAGGAAGACAUGAUAUGAUAUUCACCUCUGAAAUGCAGCGUAGACUAAAUGAAGCACAAUUGCAAGUGAGUGUGGCAGAUAAUGGACCAUCGAGACCAUCGAAUGGUAUGAAGCAUGAUUAUCACCUAGACAUGAUAUCCUAGACAGGACGGUGAAUUGUAAAAAGAGUAAUCUUGAUCAAAGAAUGUCCUAAUGAAACGGAACAUUUUUGGUACGUGUAGAGCAAAAUAUAGAAAACAGUAGAGUAGUUGUACGAUUGAAACUGCAUCCAUCGACGUGGUGCAUGAAUUGUUGAGCCAACACUGUGGACAUGUCUUCAUGAACACCAUCUAGUGAGGACAGCAUGCAGAAAAAUAUAAAAACAUGUCAUAGGGAGGCAGACCAAUCUUGCGAGGUAGACGAAACGUGAUACACGAUCUGCCUACCUUGUCGUGUGGAUACCCCAAGUGAAGAUGUCAUAGAGGUGCAGACCAAGCUAGCAAGGAGGUAGAUGAAACGUGAUACACGGCCUGCCUACCUUGCCGUGGAUAUUAGUCCUGAUAUCAUUCUAUUGUUCAAGGAAUAACACUCAAUGCUGCUGCUGCUGCUGACCUGGCUCCAUAAAGUUAUAUUCCUCUAGCCGCUUGCACUAACUUUAUCUGAAGUAUUAUUCUCUCUGCACUGUAUAUAUGGUUACGGAGUUUGCUGGAGUAUCCGGGGGGAAGAACCUACAUAAUAUGUCUUGGAACUAACUGACAUUGAUUCACAGACAAGGUGCUGUUGUUGACAUGGUACAGUAAAUAAUAUAGUUUACCAUAUACCGUAUACCAUUAUAUGUUAGCUAAAAUAAGAGCAUAACAUGUCGCAGGAGUCCAAAAGCACCGGUUGAGGACCAGGUACAUUAAAUUACUAGAAAACAAAAGGGGACAAGGUUUAGGUAGCCACAUGAAAAACAUUUGAAUUUACUGUACCAUGAACACUUAGUUACCAUGCCGGGAGCACCUAGUUAACACUAACAUUUAGCCACUUUAGAUCAUCCCGAAACACCAAUGACCCUCAAUAGCGACAAAUUUUGGUUUAAAUGCCGUCACCAAUGAUCCUCAAUAGUGACGUGUUUAGGUUUAAAUCCCAUCACUAAUAACCCUUGGUAGUGACGUGUUUUGGUUUAAAUCUCAUCACCACUGAUCCUCACUAGUGACGUGUUUUUAGCAACACACGUUAUGAAUGACUUGUCAUUGGUGACAUGUUAAACGCGUUAUCUCAAUGGCAAAUCAAUGGUGACGUGUUUAAAAAAACAUGUCACUGUGAGAGUUAUUGGUGAAGGGUAAUUAAAAUGCAUCACUAAUUUUGUAGCAUUAGUUAUGAUAUAAUUUUGUAACGCAAAAAUCUACCAUAGUAAUGAGGUUUAGAGCCAUCACUAAUGUGGGUUUCUUAUCGUAGUGAUGCAAGCUCUACAAGGUGCUGUUGUUGCCAUUUUAAAGCAUCCCAAAUGACUACAAGAGUCCGGUUGAGGACUAAACAAAUUGAAUUACUAGAACCAAAUGUAUGUCCAGAACAAAGAAAGGGGUCAAGGUUUGGGUAACCGCAUUAAAAACAUUGAAUUUUACUGUACCAUGAACACUUAGUUACCAUUACCAUGCCUUGAGCACCUAGUUACCACAAACAUUAAUUUAGCCACUUUAGAGGUUCCACAAUCACUAUAAAUAAUAUACCAACACCGUACCAUGAAAACAUCAAGAAGAGAGACGGGUACAUGGACCACCAUCAAGUGAGUAGUGACAGCACGCACAAGAAUACCCGGAACCUUUUAGCUUGUCUGUAGUGAUCUGUUUUCUUCGCCACAAAUAAUGAAAGAGGCUGACCAAGCUAGCAACGAGGUAGAGCAAACGUGAUACACGUAGGUUUCAUUCAAGACAUCCAUGUAAGAUUCAUUCAAAACAUUCAUGGAAAUUUCUUGUAAGUUUUCAUGUAAAUUUCAUUCAAGACAUUUGUUAGAGGUGUUGUAUAUACACUUAACGUACAUAUAUCUAUGAUUUCAUGGUUGUUAGUGAUGGCAGAUGAGGAGCAUGCAAGGUGUUUAAUGGAGCAGAUUAUUGCUAGUGGUAGUGGCUCCAACCUGCCCGUAACGUACACCGACGAAGAGGGCAGCCAGGCGGACAUGUUCCUCAACAUGUCCGGUGAUGGCAAUGAAGAGCCCGAGCAAAACCUUGCCGUGACGGAAGGUUCCAUCGAGGUAUAUAUCAUUUCCAUUAUUUUACCCCAUCUAUAAUUUCAUAUUCAUUAUUACUAUGUGCUAAUUAAUGAAUCUUGAACCGUUAGUCCUCUAGAUCAACGAACCGAAAUAAGCCCCGAGGUCUUACAAAGAUAAUGCAGGGAAGGCUUCACAUCAUGGAAGUCACAGAAGAGGGCACAUCGGUUGCUCCCGAACAUGUGGCAAGAAAGUACGUGAGUCAAACCGGGGCAAUCGUAAGGGACAACAUGCCCAUCAGCAUCAGGGAAUGAAAGAGCAAUAGAAAUGAUCUAUACGCACCCCCGGAUACACAAAAGGAUAUGUUGUGGGCAAAUAUCAAGAAACACUUCACAUUUCCCAAAGGAUAUGUUGAAAAAUAUGUGAAAGCGUGGAUGUUGAAGAAGAUGGCCACCCAAUUCCAGACAUUCAAGAAGAUGUUGGAUGCCAACUUCAUCAAGAAGGGUCGAACUCCGGGUUUCAAUGAGUGGCCAAAGUUAAGGGACCACUGGGAGUCGUUUGUCGAAUACAAGACGAGCGAAGGUGGUGCGAGUAAGGUUCACAUCAAUGUUGCCAAUGCUAGCAAGGAGUACCAUCAUCAUCUAGGGCGACGUGGUUACAGCUCUGCAAUUCCCAGAUGGCGCAAGAUGGAACAAGACCUGAUCGAUCGGGGUAUCGUACCAGCAACUCUUGACUGGAUCGAUUGAAAAAUUGGUAUUAUGCUCAUGAAGGCAAUCUGAGCCAAGAGGAUCCGACAUUGGUCUUCAAUAAAACAAUACGUCAGAAGGUCGGAAGGCUUAUUAGGAACAUUGAAGAUGCUAAAGCUGGGAGGUUCAAGGUGGAUAGAGAGAAUGAUGAACUCACAUUGGCCCUCGGGACUGUCAUCUCUAGCACUUCCAGCUCCAGGACUAUCGUCACCACCGGGACCGUCGCUUCCUGCUCGAUCACAGUCUCCAUCUCCAGCACAUCCUGGUGGUGCGAGCGACGACGACAACAACACCCCUCCCUGCCCACCAUUGCCGGGACUAAGACCCGCAUUGAGUAAGGAACCUGCAACACCACUGAAGAAGUCGCGACCACCACCUUCAAGGCAAGUCAGCAAAAGAAGAAAGCAGAGAAGCCUAAACCCACUGAGAAGCCAGCGACUGAUAUGACCGAUGCGGAAAGAUGGAAGGCACUCAAAGAAGAAUGCAGGGAGUGGUUCAGCGAAGGCGAAGGUGAGAAAGUCGUAUGAAUCGAAUUCAAGGAUAUAUAUGAAGUGAACCAUCAGGAUGCCCUUGAUGUCUCUCUCAUCAGCGCCUAGGUUCUGUAAGUGUAUGUUUAUCUAUAAGUAAAUUUUGGCUCAUAUCAUUAUUUUUUUUGCGUGCGUCACCCUACUAACUUCGUCUUCCAUUUUAUGUAGGAUGCUAAUUCAGACGUGCCGCAUAGAAGCGUACUUCCAUGUUGGAUUCAUGGAUCCAUCCCUAGUUAACCAAAAGCCGAUACGGAAGUAGCUAGAGAAAACGUUGGAGGUGGUGUACAACCUCCUGGACAAACUAAACUACAGAAUAGGGGCAAUAUGUGAGGGUCUUGUAGGAUUCCUAGUGGACGAGGUGAUAAAUCCAUAAGGAGAAUAUCAUUCCAACGGACGAGCAUUAGACACACUGAGCAACACCUAGAUGGGAGGAUCCUAGGAAUGACCUCGACAGAUUUUGGUAUAAAUAGUAAUUGUGUAAAUACUAGUUUGAUUUGUAUAGGAAUAUACUAAGAAUUGUAUAUAUAGUAAUUGUACAAAUACUAGUUUGAUUUGUAUGAAUACUAGAUUGAUUUUAUUAUAAAAAAGUUUUAAGUCGUACGUGCAUGCGCCUACAAAGGCGCGGAUGCCUUUUAAUCCCAGUCGGAAAAACAAACUGGUACUAAAGGGGCUCGUGCCGCACCUGGCAUGACCACCCCUUUAGUCCCGGUUGAACGACCCAGGACUAAAGAUCUCCGCGUCUCAAAAAUUUUAUCUCGGAUGCUUUUUAGAGAGAUUUGAGGCCUAUCAACCAAGACUAAUAUCGAGUUUUCUACCAGUGAAACUAACUAACGUUCACAUGGUUUUGACAUUCACCUGCCAUUUGGUGUAGACAAGGGCACCCUAACAUAUGGUUAAUAUUAUUCUUGAAAGAAAAUCCUUUGAUUCAAAAUACUUCAAACCUAAUAAUACAAUACUUCUCACAUCUGAAAAAUAUGAGACGGCCCGACAGUAUUCUAAUCGACGCAAUAAUAUUUUGAGGGCAGCACUACUACAGCGACCCUCAUUCGUGCCGGUGCUGGGACUCCUAUCACGACCCUGAUACAAAUGAGGGUACAUUAUUGGUGCCAGUGCUAGAACAGCCACGAAUAACUUGCUAAACGUGCUGUUACACUCACUACAGGGACCAAGAAGGUAGAUAAAUUACACGACAUAGCCUUGGUUGCCGUGGAAGCGCCAAGAAGGGAGACAAAUUACAGGGACCACACCAUCAAGUAGAUAGUGACAAUAUGCAAAAGAAUACCCGCGCCUGUUAGCAUGUGAACUGACCACACCACGAAACGUGAUACACGGCAAGCGUACCAAGGCCUUGCUGUGCAGACUAUGCAUGGACAACACAUGGUACCUGACCGCUUUUGGCCUCAGACACAUCGAAAAACUGCAUCGUUCCACGUUGUACAUCCAUUGCUAGUUUAUCUAUAUUACAUAAUAUAUUAUUAGCUAUUUGAAUAGAAUGAACCAAUUAAAAAAUUGCGUUGUAUUUUUAGUACCGGCUGCAGGAUGGUGUUACCAACCAGUACUAAUUGGCCUGUAGGAGUGAUGGUUAUUAGACUUGGUACUGUUGUUAGCAUCAUUAACCUAAUUGUGCGCCGUAUGAAUUUGGGGAUGCAAAGCUAGCUCUCUAUGAAUGUGAGGGAUGGAAAGCUAGUUCUCUAGUAGUAAUUAUAUAUAUGACAGUCAAGAAAUCGAACACUAUGCUGCUACGAGUCACCAUCAUUUCCUUCAUUGACAAUCUGACAUAGGUGAAGCUGCUUCAAUAAUUUCCUUCGCGCAGUCGUGGAGCUUAUUGGAUUAUCACCAGGACGGGACACGGAAAUGGCCAGCAAUGAAGCUGAUUGCCGUCUGAGGAAGACUACAUACUUACCUAUGAAAUGAAGCGAUUGCAUAGACUAAUGAAGCAUUGCAUAUUUGCAUGUGAGUGUGGCAGAUAAUUCUGCAGGACAUGAUUGCAAUCCACGCACCAUCGAGAAGACUGGGGCGAUGGGGUUGCCUCAUCAAUAAUCACGUGGAUGCAUGCAUGCAUGUUCCCGCAACCGGACAAGGGUCUGAUAUAUGGCUAUAGUAUUACUGAGCCCACAUCAAUAAUUUCCACUGGUGUAUCGUGUGGGAAGAAUCAACAUACUACACCUCGAGUUCUUGGAACUAACUGACGUUCACAUGCAACCUCCACAAGGUGCUGUAUGCUUUUGACAUUCACCUGCCAGUUCGUGUAGAGAAGGACACCCUAACGUAUAGUUAAUAUUAUCCAUUUCAUGAGUAAAAUACUGUGAUUCAAAAAUACUUCAAAUCCCUUGAGACAAUACUUCUCACUUGACUAACCACUAACCAACCCCGAAACCCUAACUCAACUCCGAACCCUAACCCCUAACGGCAUAACCACUCCGUUUUGCCGGCGAGAUGGAGGAACUGGCUGGAAGGUAGAGAGGGCAGCGGUCCAGGGUUGAAAACGACGGGCGAGCGCAGUAACAUGUGGAGGAGGAAGUGCCACGUAUUCGUUCACCGCUAUUGGGCAGCGACACACGACACGCCCAAUAAGAUCUUCGCACGGUAGAAGGACGUCAUGUAUUCAAUAAUGUUAUUGGUCCCCCAUGUGCAGAAGGGCGCGCGCGUAUGGAAUAACAAGUAGGGACACUGCAACUAAUCUACUCUGCUCGUCCAGUCCCUAGCCUAUAAAUAGAUGCCAUGCUAGCUCUUGUUGUGCUCACAAUUAAUCCGAUUACACACGAGCUUCUCUCCCUGGCCAAGACACAACCAUAGUAUGAUGAAGAACAUGGCACUAGCCGGCAAUGGUAUGAAGAAGUUAAUCCUCGCUGUUCUCUUACUGUGUCUAGUUAUAGGGCAGAUACAAGUGGAAGCUAAGAGCUGCUGCCCAUCCACCACUGCAAGAAAUGUCUACAAUACCUGCCGUUUCACGGGUACAUCCCGUCCAACGUGUGCAAAACUGUCAGGCUGCAAAAUUAUCAGCGGGAACAAAUGCAAGCCCCCUAACGACCACCUCACCCUUGACCCGGACACUGGUAAAUAAUAAAUUUAUCUCACUUGAUUUCUUCGUGAUUUGAGUCGUUAAUGUAUUUUCCAUCUGAUGAAACGUAUUGGUUUUGCAUUGAAGAGGAAGUUAAUGUGCUUAACUUCUGCAAGUUGGGGUGUGCGUCGUCUGUGUGCAACAACAUCAACGCUGGUAAGCAACUUUUGCUCAGACAGAGAAAACAAUAAUCAUUAAUUAGCGGCAGCUAGAAUCCUAUAAUCUAAUAUAUAUAUAUAUAUAUAAUUUUAUCAGCUCUGGGAAAUGAAGAGGCGAACGAUGCCGUUGAGAGUUGCGACCAAGCCUGCUCUAGCUUCUGCAGCGUGCAUGUUGGCAGCGCCACCGUGGUUGCUUAAGCAAAUGCAUCCAACUAGAUCGUCCUUGUGCUGAAUAAUUGGAUAUCGUAUCCACUUAAAGCUGCCUUGUGUAGUACGUCUUUGUGUCUCUCUUUAUAUUCCAAUAAGGUCGGUGAUCUUGAUGCCACACACUCAGAUGUGUGUUCAUCUCCAGAUACUACUCCAUGCUACCUGCCCUUUGUGUUUUGUUCAAUAACUGGGUAUCAUAUCCCAGCCAGUAUGCCGUCUGUUUUGUGUUUGUUUCCUUCUAGUUCCAAAGGGGUCAUCAUGAUGUUACCUUCUUUCAAUAUGGUGCUUUGCAUGACUACUGUUGUAUGGUACCAUCUUGUGGCCAAUAAGUACAUCUUAUCCUAUGACCUUUGCUAUGACCCUUUGCAAAUAAGUAGAAGAUUGUUAUAAGCGUCAAUACUCCGUAUAAAUUGAUCGCUGCUGUGAGUUCCCUUUCAGCUUAUCGUAGGCAUACAUUAUUGCUAGCACGGUAAAGCCAACCAACACGAAUGAUGAAGUAAACGUAGCGGUACUUCUGUAUACCAACACCCUUACUUAAAUGUACCGGUGUCAUUCCCUACUGGCACAUAUAUUCUUAUAUGCUAGCCAGCUUGUAAAAUUAACCAAUUAAAAUAAUUAUUUCAAGAUAGAAAUAACUUAUCGGUUUCUGGAAGCAUGUGUAAUGUGAAUUCAAGGACUCGACGGAAGUUGAAUCACUUCAUCUAUAUUGCUUUCAGUAUUUUGGGUAACUAAAUUUAACAUUUGCACAUACAAAUGUUAAAGUACAAAUGUUAAAUCUAGUUACCCAAGCAGAAUAUGAAGAUAGUUUAUAGUAUAUAUAUACUAUAUAAAUCUAGUUAACAUUUAGUCUAAAUGUUAAAUCUAGUUACCUAAAAUCCUGAAAGCAAAAUGUAUAAAUAUAUAUCUUUUAAGGCAGUAUAAGCUUCGAUUCCUAUUGCUGCUCUGUUAAAUCUCAUCUUUCGUUGUGGCCCAACACUCUAGUAUGCAUGUUGCACCAAGCUUCUUUGAGCCGCUCUGCCCUCUGAUUUUGCUGCGUAGGGGAAUCUUUAUCAGGUUGGGCUACUUCCAGUUGUGCGAUGUAAAGAUUCGUAUUUUCUAGAAGGUAGACAAAAAACUCGCGUUCUCUUAAGGCAACAACCGGAAGAUUCUGCAGCGCACAGGGCAUACCAUUAUUGUAGAAACGACCUUUAGUACCGAUCUCCAACCCCCUUUAAAACUGGUUUUGCAACCGGUACCGUUAUGUCGGUCCUUUAGUACCAGAUCAAAUAAGUACCGGUUGGUAACCAGUAUCAACUUGUUUUGCGGCCAAAAAAAUAAAGAAAAAAACAGUCAGAAGGCUCGCACACACGCGCAUCACAUGAAAUAUGCGUGUGCGGGGUCCAUGGGAUUCGAACCCAUGAAAUCAAGCUGCACGCGACCCUUCGUUACCAUCUCACCUACAUAGCGCAUAUGCUUUCCUGAAGUAACCCGUGGAGGAGGCUUUAGUACCGGGUCAUAACACCACCCGGUACUAAAAAUGACUCUUCAGUACCGGGUCAUAACACCACCUGAUACUAGUAUCGGAUGGUGUAAUGACCCGAUACUAAAAGGCCUCUAGGGACCCUCAAAUUUGAACCCGGUACUAAUGCUAAUAUUAGUAGCGGGUCAAAGUGCAGCCAGAACUAAAGCAUGGGAUGAAAGGUCAUAUUUCUAGUAGUGUAUAGUUGUUGUGAAGGACUGACUUGGCUGUCCUCUCUCUUCUCCAUCCCCUUGGUCUUACGCCGCCGCUCGCACGCGAGCCGGUGCCCAACCAGAGGAGUGAGAGCUAGGGGCAGGUUGGGAGGUGGGGAUAGUGACUGGUGGCCAGGGUGAUGGUUGAUCCUGGUGGGGUUAGGGUUUCAGGGUUUUCGAGCUUCCUAUGGUCGGCGAACCUAGAGGAGAAGCUCAACAUCAGCUGCAACCCGCGAUGGUGGUGGUUUGGCCGGCGCCCGAGGCGAGGCAGCGCGGGAGUGCUGCCGGUGGGUUGGUGUUGGCACUCAUUAUUGACAACUAUUUUGUUCAUAAAAUAACACUCAAACUUGCUGCUGCUGCUGCUGCCAUCGCCACCCUAGCCAUAAUAUAAAGGCAAAAUUUGCUAAAGGACAUGCAAAAUGAUGCUAGUUUGCUGGCGGGCAUCGUUGACCUUGUAAUAUGCUACAAGACACUCUAGUUGUGUAUCAAUUUGCUGAAAGACAUUGCUAUGACUAAAAUAAUGUUUCUGGACUGAGUUGGAGAGAGAGAUGGAGUGAAAUGUCUGUUUUGCCCAUGACCCCACUGGUCAGAUCCUUCUUCUUCCACCCUCCUUUGUUCUUUCUUCAACCAUUACCCAGCUCCAGCGUGUUGCAGAUCUACGAGGGUGGCGGCCUGGGGCGAGGGGCAUCGCUCGCCCUUGGAGGAGCGCUGCGAGCGACGGCGCGGGGGCGGCAACAGCGCGUCAGAACCUGACUGUUCGUUAGCUCCUCUCGCUGCUGGGGAAGAAGGAGGGGGAUGGGCCAUGGACGGGGUUCCCUUGAAAACCUCAGCGUCGAGCUCGGGCGGCUACGCGCAGGCAGCACUAGGCUGCUUCACGGGGAGGGGGCGCGGCCAAUCAUUGGCACCCCACUGGUCCAAUGCUGAUGAAGAUGGUGCCAGCGUCGUGUGAGGACAUCUCAUCUCCUCGAGUUCCAUGGCCAGCACAGGUGAGCUGCCGCUACCACAAAACAGAGGUUUCGUGAGAGUCAAAAAACCUUAUGAAAAUAGCUAAAACCAUCAUGAAAAUAAUCCGUGACAUGACACUCUCACGAAAAUCCUCUCACAAAUAUGGUGCCAUGAAAAUACCAUUUUCAUGAGAGUGAACUGUCAUGAUUUUAUAAGCGUCAAUACUCGGUAUAAAUUGACUACUGCUGUGAGUUCCCUUUCAGCUUAUCGUAGGCAUACAUUAUUGCUAGCACGGUAAAGAGAACCAACACGAAUGAUGAAGUAAACGUAGCGGAACUUUUGUAUACCAACACCCUUACGUACCGGUGUCAUUCCCCACUGCCACAUAUAUUCUUAUAUGCUAACCAGCUUUGAAAAUUAAGCGAUUAAAAUAAUUAUUUCAAGAUAGAAAUAACUUAUCGGCUUCUCGAAGCUUGUGUAAUGUGAAUUCAAGGACUCGAUGGAAGUUGAAUCGCUUCAUCUAGAUUGCUUUCAGGAUUUUGGGUAACUAAAUUUAACAUUUGCACACACAAAUGUUAAUGUACAAAUGUUAAAUCUAGUUACCCAAGCAGAAUAUGAAGAUACUCUAUAGUAUAUAUGUACUAUAUAAAUCUAGUAAACAUUUAGUCUAAAUGUUAAAUCUAGUUACCUAAAAUCCUAAAAGCAAAAUGUAUAAAUAUAUAUCUUUUAAGGCAGUAUAAGCUUCAAUUCUCUGUUAAAUCUCAUCUUUCGUUGUGGCCCAACACUCUAGUAUGCAUGUUGCACCAAGCUUCUUUGAGCCGCUCUGCCCUCUGAUUUUGCUGCGUAGGGGAAUCUUUAUCAGGUUGGGCUACUUCCAGUUGUGCGAUGUAAAGCUUCGUAUCUUUUAGAAGGUAGACAAAAUACCCGCGUUCUGGAAGAUUCUGCAACGUGCACGUUGGCGCUGCCACCGUGGUUGCUUAAGCAAAUGCAUCCAACUGAAUCGUCCUUAAGCUGAAUAAUUGGAUAUGGUAUCCACUGCUUAAAGCUGCCAUGUUUAGUACGUCUUUGUUUUUCUCUCUUUAUAUUCCAAUAAGGUCGGUGAUCUUGAUGCCACACACUCAGAUGUGUGUUUAUCUCCAGAUACUACUCCAUGCUACCUACCCUUUGUGUUUUGUUCAAUAACUGGGUAUCAUAUCCUAGCCAGUGUGCCAUCUGUUUUGUGUUUGUUUCCUUCUAGUUCCAAAGGGGUCAUCAUGAUGUUACCUUCUUUUGAGGUGUCUAUGAUGACUUCGUUAAUAUCAAUAUUAACCAAUUCAAUCUGUCUUAACUAUUUGUAAGGGGUAUGAUGUAUGCAUGAUUAUAACAAUGAUUGCGCAUACAAUCGCCGCCAAAGAAACGGUCAAUACCAUUAAGACAUAUUACAGACAAUUCUCAUAAUCUAUAAUGAAUAUACAUAUUCACUACUGCAGAAGACUGUCAUUUGUAUCGGCUCAUACGUGCCAGGGCAAAGGUCACCCUUGCAUUAAGUACAUUUGCACGGUAAAGACAACCAACACGAAUAAUGAAGUAAACAUGCCGGUGCUUUUGUACACCAACACGCUUACUUAAAUGUACUGGUGUCAUUCCUCACCGGUAGCCGGCUUGAAAAUUAACCAAUUAGAACAAUUAUUUAUUGUAUCGGUGUGAUUUUUGACCUAUUGGAAUAUGAAUUUGACCGUUACUGCAUUCGUCAAGACUCAAGAGAGAAAUAACUGAUCGGCUUCUUAGAGCGUGUGCAAUGUGAAAUCAAGGACUGGAUGGAAGUUGAAGCGCUAGCACUAGUAGAGAAACGACUUUCCAUCCACCCCCUUUUGUCCCGGUUUAAAGUUGGCUCGGGAUAAAAGGUUCACCAACCGGGACUAAAACUCAGUCACUGGUGGGAGGCUCACCAACCGGAACCUUUUAUCCCGGUUGCAAAGGCUAAUGGGAAAAAAAGACUCUGAGAGGCCUUUUAUCCCGGUUUGAAACACCAACCGGGAUAAAAGACCCCCCUUUUAUCCCGGUUGGUAACACCAACCGAGAUAAAAGGGUCAAGAGCCUUUUAUCCCGGUUGGAAACACCAACCGGGAUAAAAGACCCCCUUUUAUCCCGGUUGGUGUUUCAAACCGGGAUAAAAGGGCCCCCACGAGGUGACUGGAAGGUGACUGGAAGGGGAUUAAAUCGUGGGGGACCCUUUUAUCCCGGUUGGAAACACCAACCGGGAUAAAAGGGGGUCUUUUAUCCCGGUUGGUGUUUCCAACCGGGAUAAAAGGGUCCCCCACGAGUUAAUACAAAAGGAUAGUAUCCCCUACAUAGUCAGAUGUGGUGUGUAGGUGGGAUGGUAAGGAAGCUACGCGCGAGCUCCGGAAUUUUUUUUUUUUUUUUUUGCAGCGUCGGCGCUCUCUACCCUUUUAUCCCGGUUGGUAUUACCAACCGGGAUAAAAGGGGGUCUUUUGUCCCGGUUGAGUGACCCGGGAUAAAAGACCCCCCCUUUUUUCCCCGGUUAGUUUAUCCCGGAUGCAUUUUCGGGAUAAAAGCACCCUACCAACCGGGAUUAAAGCUCACUUCUCUACCAGUGUAGCUUCAUCUUCCGCUGCAAGUUAAUUGCUUGGAUAAGAAGUUGUAGCCGCUGCAAGUUAUAAAUAGUCCCGCUGAUGCUGUGCUCCGAAGUCUAUACUAUAUAUGCGGAAACUAGAUUGCUUUCAGGAUUUUGGGUAACUAAAUUUAACAUUUGUACAUAAAAAUGUUAGUUUACGAAUGUUAAAUCUAGUUACCCAAGCAGAACAAGAAGAUAGUAUAUAGUAUAUACUAUAUAAAUCAAGUUAACAAUUAGUCUAAAUGUUAUAUCUACUUACCCAAAAUAUUGAAAGCAAAGAAAGAAUAAGUAUAUAUCUUUUGUUGGAAAAUUGGUCCACGGAGAGGCCCAUUUAGGCCUCGUUCGUUUCACCGGGAUGGGAUUCCAGUCAGGAUUACUUCCAAGUUCGGUUUGAGUGAUUCCACCCGUGUCACUCAAUCCGGCUAGGAUUCAUUCUAUGGGUGAGGAGGUAUGGUUUCAAUCCAGGCCAUCUAAUGUAGAAGGAUUCCAAUCCAGGCCGGUUUUCGUUCCAGGCCAGACUAAAACGAACAACACUUUCAAUGCAAGUCUGGUUUCAAACCGGGCCAUUUCAAACCACCCGGAAUGGACCUCGUUCCAGGCCAAUCCGGUGAAAACAAAUGAGGCCUUAAUGGAAUCCCAAAGCAAGAGUUCAGUGGCAUUCUAUAGUCCCAUGCUGCUAGUUUGAGUUGGUCGAAGCCAACUUAAAUAGGAGAGCUCUCUCACUUCUCUAAAUACGUAACUGAAGGAGAGAAGGGGGCUUGGGUUACACAACGCACGCACGCACGCAUAUUUGCGUUCUUUUCGCGUAACCAACCGCGUGACUUGAAACUUGCGACGUAGCGUGCUGCUAAGUCAAGUUGAUAUAACCUUUUUGCCGUUUGCAUGUAAUCUUUUGACAACGGUCAUUGGAGGUGAUAAGCACGCAGUCAAUACCUUAAUCUUGAGUUAAUAGGGUGGUUACUACUGCCAAUUAGUGGGGCAAUUUUGUAGGGGAAACGGUUAGCAGAGGGCUACCGUCUUCUCUAUAAGAAGUUCUGGAGACGUCCAGGAACACACAUGUACAUGUGAGAGACCCACAAAUUCCUUCCCUUCUCCCUUUUCCAUGUGGUGAAGUGUGCUGUGGUACUGAGCUGCUUGAUCUCGCCGCUCUUCUCCUUGGCAUGCACCGAGGAGGAGGGUGAGCGGUAUCUCCGAGCUAUUGCCGUCAGGAAGCCUGCACGAGGGACAACAAAAAGUUUUUGGGUAGCGCAACUGCCAGCACAACUCUCCCUCCGCCUCUUCUUCACGGUUGAUGGCCACCACAAGCAUAAACCUCGCCUUCGCAUCCACGCAAAAGGGUCGCUGGGGUGCCUUCUUGCAUCGCUUCUCAGCCUCCUUGACUUGCGGCCAGCCAAGAACUGCGCCACCACCUCGGGUGCACGCCACCACUCCAGGGCUGCUACCCCAUGCCUGCGGCCGCCGCCGGCCACCACGCGUGUGCAACCGCGUCGCACCGCUUCCUUGCUUUGUGCCACCACUGCUGCUGUACCACCAGCUCCACCACCUUGGGCUGGUCGCCAGAGUGACUGAUAACUUAUUAUCUGUAACUACUAUUAACUCAGGGAUACAUGCGUCUUUUGCUUCUCCUACUAAUAUGUCCUAAAAUAUCUAGGAUGCCUUAUAUUUCUGGACAGAGGAAGUAUUUGAAUAAAAUGAACCAAUUUAAAAAAAUGUGUUGUACACUACUACAGAAAGACCUAUCAGUGUCAAACCCAAAAAUGUUGUCACCGCCAGUUUUGGGCAUCAUUGGUGAAAGGUUGGCGGUGAUGGGCUUUCCCUUCAACAACGGCACUGGAGCCGACGGUGAUUGACAUUAGAAAACAAAAAAGGGGACCCUACCUAGCCACCCCUGCAACCCGGCCGGCCGUGCCUCCCCUCAUCCCCACCACCUCGCCUCCCCAUGACCCCCCGCCGGCGCCCUUGCGCCUAGCCCCCUCAACUGCCCAGCCGGCCACCCUCAUCACGAGAGAGAGGUGCAUGUUGUAUAAUUGCGUGAAUUUUUUAAUGUUUAAUUUCAUGUAAGUUCCGUGUAAUAAAUUGUACAAGUUUUAUUGUAUAUAUGAAUUCCAUAUAUAUAUAUAUAUAUUUAUAAUUUAAUGUAUGGUUUCAUGUGUAUAUUUCAAUCAUGUGUAUAUUUAGUAGAUUGCCGAUUUUCUUUUUCUACUAGACAAGGGUUGAUGUAUAAUUACGUGUAUAUGUUUAUUGUACGGGCAAUUAGGACAAGUUUUGUAUAAAUUUCUUUUAUUUGAUGGUUGUUGUAUGGUUUCAUGUAUAUACAUUUAUUGUACUACUUUAGACAAUUUUUAAUUUAAUGUUUCUAUGAUUAGAUGUGUGUAUAACUAAUUGUAUUAUUAGUUAAGAUGGGAGCUAAAGAGGAUGAAAGGUAUAUAAUGGAGCAGAUUAUUGCUAGCUCAAACGUUGCAAGAACCUACACCGAGGGUGAGGGUAGCUAGGUGGACAUGUACCUCAACAUGUCCAGUGAUGGCAAUGACGAUGAGGAGCACGAGCAUGACAUCUAUGAUAAUGCGGAACAAGACAUUGCAGAAUUGGAAGGUUCUAAUGAGGUGUGCUUCAUGUUGACAAUCUAGUUGGCUUUUUUUCGUUGGUCACACCUUAGUUACCAUAGAACUUCGUCUCGGGAGAAGAUUGGUGGUGGUAUGGUGAUUGGAAUUUUAUUUCCACGAAAUCUGAUUUCCAUCGAAUCAUAUCCCUUGUAUUUAUCUUCUUUUUAUUUGUGAGAGCAUCUUCUUUAUGCUUGCAAAACAAUUCAAGUGCACAUACUACCCCUAGGGUGACGAUUGGGAGUAGAAAUAAUUGCCAACAAAACAACACCACAUCCUAAGAUUCUUAACUUGUGGCAUAAUUAGUCUAGUAAAAAGAAAGAUAAAAACCUAAUGGGUGUAUGUGAGUGCAAUGUGUAUAUGCAUAUGAGUGGAAGGCAUAUAAGCAAAGACAAUAUUUACACAUAGUUCUAAACACCAUGUUUACAGCUAGGUUGCUGAAUUUCUCCAUAGCCAUAGAGAUUAAUUAACCAAGGUCAAAACACGAUGUCUAUCCCAAGAUCAGUAAUUAUUUAUAGCACAAGAAAAAGAAAGCGCAUUGCAAAGUUUAUAAACCAACCAAUACAGCAUGAAAACAAGAUGAAUAGCUAGCAAGGUUUAUUAAACUGAAUGAUGACGGUCUGUAAGCAAGUUUAAACACCAUCUUUACACAAGAUUGCAAAUGGAAAAUGCCCAUAUGAAGCACUAACAUGGAUAUGAAAUCAUUCAUCAUAAAGCGUAAAGAACAACCAAGCCAACCAUAUGCAAAGCAUGAAUGGAAUGCAAUGAAGGUGCAAGAGAACAUUUUUGGAUGAACACAUUAUGAUGAUGGCAAAAUGCAAUGCAUGCAGAAAAAAUAAAUAUGAACAUGAAUAUGAUGAUCAGGGGCGGACCCACUAUUGUGGCCUGGGUAUUCCUCGGCAUACCCAAUAUUUUUGGGAAAAUGUUUAGUAGUUUUUAAUGGCAUAUACAUGUAUAAUAUAGUUUAGGUGUUAAAAUUGAUAUUCACAGCUAUUUUGGGCUCCAAUUCGCGUCCAAACCAACCUGGCCCACAGACCGCACCCGGCCGCCCGGCCCAUCGGCCCAUCUUGUCACUGAUCCUCCCACCACCACACUCAGCCCGUCAGUUAGUCAGGUCCCGAGCUCCUGCCUGACCUAGUCCGCUACCACCGCCAGGCGCCAGGCACAGCUGUACACGCCGCCCCCGUCCACCCACGUCCGCCGCACGGCCGCGUCGCGCCCCCCCCCGGCGCCCGCUGCUGCCAGAACCCAUUAGGCCUCCACCGGCAAGUCCACCCACAGUCCCGCGCGACGCGGCAGCCUCUUGGCUCUCGGCGCUCGCGGCGCGCCAAUGCCUGCGCAGCCCCAGCAGGCGACUGCCCCCCCCCCCCCCGCAUCGGGCCUCGGCCCCUCCCCAGCUCCCCCUCCCCCCUCCACCAGGACUGCCUGCUGGCCCCCACCGCGAGGUAAUCGAAAUGGACUGCUCAAUCUCUCAAUCUGUUGACAUGAUGCACACGGUUGCAAAAAUAGAUGUGUCAAAAUAGAUGUAUUGCCAAUUGCUAUAGAUGCAUAUGGUUGACAUGAAGAAGUCAAAAAUGACAUUUGGUUCCUUGUAGGCAGUCAAAAAUGAAGAAGUCAAACAAUAUUGAUCUGAAAUCAAUGCGGGAAAGGGCUACGAAGACACACGGGUAGAUUCCCUUGUGAACUUUUUAUGUCGUUCGUCUAAAUAUAUUUUUGCAAUGGGCAUACCCUACUCUGAAAUCCUGGGUCCGCCACUGAUGAUGAUGGUCUAAACAUAAAACAAGCCUAGAUUAAUUAGCUACAACUGAAAUUAAGCAAAGGUUAAUGUCAUUGACCCUAGCUCUAUCCUAGCUUUUACUAAAGUCCCGGCACAUAUAGUGGUUGGGCCCACUCUCUCUACUUCCCUCUCUGCUGCAUGCACACACACGAGCAACUGGAGGCCCAACAAAGCCCAGAAGGGUUCGGCCGAACCCGUCCGAUCCAGUCUGAGCGCCGCUCCCUCCCAGCCUUCGCGCAGAUGCUCCUCCAACGUUCCUUGACCCCUCCCUCAGUGUCCCAUUGGGUUUAACAUUGUAGGAGAGGAGUCCCUUUUUUAAAAUCUCAACCACCUCCUCUCCUCAUUCACUCCACUCUCAUCUCCAUCAAACUCACCAAGAUCCACAUCGGAAAUACCUGCUUACCACCAUGGCUGGCAAAGCCCUCGUCCCUUUCACCAACUUGGGCUUGACCAUUGAUCUCGAUGGGAAAAUCACUCCAGCAAAUGUCAUUGUCCCUGUCGGCGAUCUGGCGAUGGAGGAGGUCCAGGCACUAGAGGUCGAGCCCCUAGCCAUCAUACCGCCCAAGGGGUAAAGCAGGAGCAUGACAGGCGCUGCUAGGGGUUCAGCCGAACUCCCAGUUCAGCCAAACGAGGACGGCGUCGCCUCGGCCUCCCGCUCGACUGCAUGCUUCCCCUUGCCAAGGAGGACUCCAGAACAGCGGGCGCGUGCGUCAAGUCCCUACAAAAGGCUGAAAUACAAUGAAUAUCCAGGGUCACCCUUGAAGAUGGGUGAACGCUACGCCGGGUCCUUGUUUGACUAGUACGGCGAUGCAUUCUGCCACCGCUAUGUCGUUGUCGAGAUUAGCGGAUCAAGACUUAGACUAGUAAAUUUCUUUUAUGCGCGUAAGGCUUCAGAUGGUGGCGUGGGAGACAUGGGUUUUAUACUAGUUCGGGCAAUGGAAUACCCUACGUCCAGUGUCUGGAGCUGCUUGUGUUGCCCACGCGGGGUUCUGUAGUAGGGGUUACAGGUGUGCGAGAGAGGGAGCUAAUCCCAGGUCUCUUAGGCGUGUUCCGGUCCUCUAGAUGGGAGAAGUGUGUUCUGUUUGCUUGGGAGUAUCGGUUGUGUCUGAGUUGUCUCCGGAGCCUCCUCCCGUCUCAGGUCCCCGAUUCUCCUUUCAUAGCACAAGGAGACCAUCGGGGUUACAGACGAGACCGAGCGUGGGGAGGAGUAAAGAGAUAAACAUAGCUAGGUAAAAAUACAACAAGAAAGGGGGGAACCAAGUUUCUAGGUCACCGGCGUCCUCGCCGGCCUUCGACUUCCGCCGGCGCAUUUGUCGGAGGAGGGUGGCCGCCAUCGCGUUCUGUCGAUGGCUUCCUCGGUGACUGUAGCCACCGGGCGUGAUGAUGGCAUUUCGUCGUGACCCUUUGUCUGUUGGGGGAGGCGGCGGAUCCUGCCAUUCUGCUGACGGCUCGCGGAGUGCGAACGUCGCAUCCCUGCCGCUGGGCACGCGGGGCGCGAGAACGUGCGAGGCUUCCCCCUACCCCAGGCGGCGCAGGCCAUGAGUGCCCUGUGGCAAAUCGGAGGAGGCCGCAGCUACUGUAGCUUGUACUGUGCAGCCACGUAUGGGUACUUGUGGCAGGUUGCGUGGUGGAUGCGGAUAUCCUUCUCCCUGACAGAUCUGCGGCGCAUUUAUGGCGAGAUCGACAUGGGGACCCACAAGACCCGCGCCCAAGGCGGAUACUUGUCUGGAGGGCCCGGGUUAGCCUGACCCCCUACGCUUGGGGUCGGGCGAGGCGGAGACUUGCGGCGGGGCGUCGGACGCUCCCGACACUAGACCUGCGGUCGCGCAAGGCGGAGCUUGGUCUUCCGGGGGUCGGGGGUGCCGGACCCCAGGAUGCGGGGUCGGGCGAGGUGGAGCGUAAUUCUUGCCUCCCAUGUUGGGCCGAUGGCAGUCUUUGUUACCUCUAGUGGGCUUGGGCCUUUAUGUUUUGUUGUUUCCAUGGGCUUCGAGAGGUCGUUAAUAUUUCCCCCCAACAGUAGCCCCCGAGCCUGUGGUGGAGUGGGGGCGCUCCUCCGGAGGCUACUAUCAUCGCCCCUAGGGAAUCCUCGCAGUUGAUCCGGGAUAGGAGGUGUUGUUUGCACGGCUUGACCGAGGGGGUCGAUUAGGCGACGCAUCCUGUGAGCGACUCGGUGCGGGAGGGUUUCUUGUUGUUCCCUUCUGUCUGAGAGCCUUAAGUCGAGACCACCUGCGUGGCCUUUGGUUGCAAGGCCAGCCCCCGAGCCCCCGCACGUUGCAGGGGACCGGUCGGAGGCUAGGUCGACUUUUGUUCAUUACCCUCAAGCGUCUGUUCGCUAGGACGGAGGGGGCGAGCCGUGCCAUGCUAUCCUCAUCGGACGAACCAUGGUGCUCAUUGAGUUACUAACGGGUUGAUUCGAGUGGGAUCCCGGUCCCCGUUCGGGGGGGGUCCGGCUUGGGCCAAGCUGGUGGCGUACCCCAGGCUCCGGUCGGCCAGUUCAUAUAGUUCCUGAGUCCGUUCGGUCGGACCGGGGGCUCAUUGCCUUUCUUCGGGGAAAAACCAUGAACUUUGAUGCCGGUCCAGACUCGAAUGUGAGAUUGAGACGCCCGGGGCUGUCGCGUGCCCGGGUGAUGGCCGCUAGCGGACCCGUCUCCUCUCACCCCUCACUCGGGGGUAUCCUGAGGCGGCUGUCGAACCCGUGGCGGGCCAGCCUUCGAACCUCUGGAUCGUAAUGGGCCGUAGGGGCGUUUUCAGCCCCGUAUCCCUUUUUACCUUUUGGUGGGCCUUGGGCCGAAUCAUGGAGGAGGUCGGGCCUUGGGCCGGAUGCGGAGGAUGUCGUGCCUUGGGCCGGAUGUGGGGGACGUCGUGCGUGUCUUCCGGGAGACGAAGUGGUGGAGGGUGCCAACCCGCGAAUCGAGGGAGGAGGGGAUGUUUCUACUGCAGGUCAUGCGCACGGUUUCCGAAAAGGCAGCGGGCGUGACGGGACGUACCUCGCGCCGCAUUUAUUGCGAUGGGGGCGUCUGUUCUGCUUCCCUCGUGCCUUCCCUAUAAAACGAGGACUUCGCCUCGCCGGUUCCGCCCGCCAUCUACCUUCAAGCCUUUUCGCCUCCUCGCGCGCCCUUAGCUUUCCUGUGCCCGCUUCGUCUUCCUCCGCCCAGUGCCGCGCCCUUUCUCCCCAUCCGCCGUCGAGUUCUUCUCCCUCCGGCGAUGGGAUCCUGGGCGCGUUCCCACUUCGGCCCCUCACGCGCCGAAGGCCUAGUGAGGAAAGGCCUCCUUUGCGAGAGGACGGAGACGGAUGAGUGGGGGUUCCCUGAGAUGGAAGAGGUGCCGACUCCGCCCACCGGCUACGUCGUUUCCUUUGCCCACUUCCACGAGAGGGGGUUUGCGACUCCGCCGAGCCUCUUCUUCCGCGGGCUUUUGUAUUACUACGGGCUUGAGCUGCAGCACCUCAACCCCAACGGGAUUCAGCACGUCGCGGCGUUCGUUGCGGUGUGCGAGGGGUUCCUGGGCAUUGAGCCCAACUUCUCGCUGUGGAAGUACUUCUUCACGGUCAGCCUAUACCAGAAGGCCGAGAAGAGGGGAAGCCAGCAGCGGUCGACCCCGGUGCCGAUAGGGUGCGUCGGAAUCCACCUCUGCCAUACUCGCGCCAAGGAGUAUAUCGCGAUGAAGACCGCGGCAUCCCACAAGGGGUGGCACCAGCAAUGGUUCUACGUGAAGAACUACUCCAACCCCCCCUGCCGGAGUUCACCGGCCGCAUUAUUGAAGCGGCGCCGGAGGUGUGGGUGUACGGCCCGGUGGAGAAGGAGAAGAAGCGGAUCACCGGCCUGCUGCAGGCCAUCGAGCACCUGAAGGAGAGGGGACUGACCGGAGCCGGAGUCAUCGGGGCGUACCACGCCCGGCGGGUGGCGCCGCUGAUGCUCCGGGUCCGCUCGCUCGCCGACAUGACCCCCGGUGCUCUCACCGAUGGCACUGUCCUCGCGACGGGUGCUCUCGCUGCCUCCGAGAUCCGGCAGCGGAUCCGGGAGGCGCUGGAGGACAAGGACGCCGAUUACCCGGUGCCCGGCCACCCUCCGAUGCGCCCGGACGAGAAUUUCAUUGAUCUGGUAAGGAUUUUGCGCGCCAGUUUCCCUCUCUUGCGUUUCUUGGUAUGCCGUUCUGACGCGAGGCCCUCUGUGUUUGCAGGGUAGCAUGACCCGGGUCGUCGACUUGCGUCCGCCAGUGUCGGAGGACGCCGAGUGGCGGUAGCAGAACCGUCUCCUUGCCGAGAAGCAAAAGUGACGCAAGGACAAGAGACAGCGAAGAAGAAGAAGAGGGCCGCCAAGGAGUUCCAGCGGCGGCGGUGGGGAUAGGUCGUGUCGGAUGACGAUGACGAUGAGAAGGAGGAGGAGGAUGACGAGGAGGAGGAGGAGUUUAUCCUGUCCCCCCGGUCAGGGGCGCUUGUUAUCCGGGAGCCGCGCUCCCAAGCGGCCAUGGGGGACAAGGCGGGCGAGCUGCCUGCCCGGACCCGAUCCUGCGAAGCUUUGGGGGCGCGCCCCAGGGGUCGGCGCAGAGCGCCCCCCGGGGGUCGACGGAGCCGACCCCCAUCCCUACACCUGCAGCCCAGGAGCAGAGGAGCAGCGACAAGCGGCCGUUGCCAGAUGCCCCGGGGUCGGCGUCCAGCUCAGAGGCGAAGCGCGCGCGCCGCCCUUGCGCUGGGGGAACGUGAGUUGAAUUUCCUUGCGAAUCUCGUUCCUUUCCAUGCAUUGUGUUUGUUUCCGCUGAUGCUGUUUGUUGUCUCACAGCACCGCCCCUCAAGGCCUUGUCCCGCCGUUGGCGCCAAAGAAGGCGUUGCGGUGUUGUCGCCUCUGCGGGGCGGACCGCGGCUCCGCCGGCGGCGAGUGGCGGGGUCACUGGUGAGACCGCGGGUCCUACCGCGGAGGUGGCCCCUGCGGCGGCAACCGGUGGAGUGGUGCCACCGCCGGGCAUGGGACAGGGUCUGGACCCCGCUCCGUCCUCCGCCUCUUCGGCCGACCCCGCGGUGCAGAGUAUCGCUCCUGGGGGCCCUCAGGCCGGGGAGGUGAUUGACCUCGACGCCGACGAGGUGGAGGAGACGGCGGCGGUGGAGACGGGGGCGGUUGCCCCAGCGGCCAUGACGGGGACGACGACGGCGACGGGGGAAGGAGAGUCUACCCCCGCGGCCACGGCGGGGACAGUGGCGACAGAGGAGGCGGGGACGCCCGCCCCGGCGGCUGCGACGGAGGAGGCGGCGGUGACGGAGACGGGGGCUUCCGCCCGGGAAGCCACAGCCGAGGUGGCAGCGGCGACGGAGGUGAAAGUGCCUGUUCUGGAGGCCACGGUGGGGGUGGGGACGCCUGCCUCGUGGCCACGACGGAGGGCGAGGCGGCCCCAGGGACACUUGCUCCGGCACCCGCGUUGGAGGCGGUGGCGCCGACGGGUUGGCCCGUGGCGGCCUCGACGGGGGCGGGGGUGCGUGCGCCGGGACCGUCGGUGAGGCCGGCGACUUCCGGGAUGGUGGUGCCCGUCUUGACGGCGGCGGCGGCGCGGUCGGCCCCCGCCCUUGCCUCUACCACUCCCAUUCCCAAGGCGUGGAGCGGAUCCGUCCUGCGUUGGUCGUCUCGUGACGACCCGCAGAGGCCCCUCUUCACGUUGGAUGAUGCCACAGAAUGGGGCAAGUGGCAGGCGCUGCAGGGCGGACUCGCUAACGUCCGCGCCGCUCUAUCUUCGGCGUUGGGGGAGCUGGACGGCGUCAUCUUCCCCGGUGGCCGGGUAUGGUGCUUUCUCCGUUGGUUAUUUUCUUCCCGUUACUUCGUCCCUGAUGGCACAUUGUUCUGCAGGCCCUCCAAGAAUGUAGCCGGGGAAAAUCUGAUUUCCUUUGGCUCGAGCAGGGGCUCUGGGAGCGCUUCAACUUGGAGUUGCAGCGGACCGGGGAGCUGACCAUGCAAGUCGCCACCGUCUAGCAUGUCAUCGACGAUCUGCGAAGGCACGAGCAGGCGGCACAGGAGGACGCGCGGCGGGCGGAGGCCAAGUUCCAGGUCGUUGCCGAAAGGGCUCGCUGCGACCGCGAGGAGUUCCAGGCCGUUGCCGAAAAGGCCCGCCACGACGCUGAGGAGCUCGCACGGCUGAAGGUGCAGCAUGAAGCUCUUCAGAAGAGCGGCAGAGGGCCUGGCAGGACCGGGACGCCGAGAAGGUCCGGAAGGAGGAGGCUGAGAAGGUGGCGGCCAACCUUGGGGCUGAGGUCAGCCAGCUCCAAGUGCAAGCGCGAGAGCUUCAGGCCUCCGUGGCCCAGGGGCUCGACCAGGAGCGCCAGCUGAAGGCCUAAUCCGAGGGUAUGACUCUGUUUAUUUCUUUGUCUUUGUGAUGUUGCGGUGAUAUUUUAUUUGGCGGGUUCUUCUGGAUGAUCCUUGCAGAUGAGCUCAACUGGCUGAGGGAGGUGCUUGACGCGGAGCGCGCUGAGCACGGCGACCUGCGGGACGCGGUCCGCGUCAUCUGUGACUUCCUUAGUGUGGUCCAGGGGGAGGGGACGAGCUCGCUGGCGGCUCGUGUCCUCGGGACGUACCGCCGGACCAGCGAGAUCGCCCUGGAAGCGCUUCGCACCGGCUUGAGGCAAGCCUUUGGGGUCUUCGGCUCCCACUAUUCCGGCAUCAACUUCGCCGGGAUGAGCGGGGGAUACGCCACCGGCUACUACGAGGCCGAGCUGGAUGAGAUCGACGUGUCGGUGCUCAGCCCGGCGGAGGCCUUGGUGAAGCUCCUCGAGGAUGAGGCCGUCCCGCCCGAAGAUCCCCGGACGAGUUAACUAUAUCGGGCUGGCGCCCCAGAUGUAAAUACGUUAGGGAAAGACUUGUUUUUUGUGAGGGCCGUAGAGGCCUUUUCUAUGAAUUGUCGUAAAAAAGUUUUUGAUUCCCUUUCUUGCUUUUUGGACUUGGAAAGUUUAGAGCACGUUGUCGGGCGUGUCAGUAAGCUUUGAUGAGCGAAGGCACCGUAGCCGCUGGGGCGUCGUUUUUUUUGCAGUCCGAUCAAUCUUGCCUGAACACCGUUCGUGCACUUUCUCCUUUUUAUGCCCAAAAGUUCAGAAAGAGGGUCGGCUCGGAAAGAGAAAGCGUUUUGAGAGGGUGUCAAGUGGCUUAGGUACUUGCGGCAGGUUGCGUGGUGGACGCGGAUAUCCUUCUCCCUGACAGAUCUGCGGCGCAUUUAUGGUGAGAUCAACAUGGGGACCCACAAGACCCGCGCCCAAGGCGGAUACUUGUCUGGAGGGCCCGGGUUAGCCCGACCCCCUACGCUUGGGGUCAGGCGAGGCGGAGACUUGCGGCGGGGGGUUGGACGCUCCUGACCCUAGACCUGCGGUCGGGCGAGGCGGAGCUUGGUCUUCCAGGGGUCGGGGGCGCCUUACCCCGGGAUGCGGGGUCGGGCGAGGCGGAGCGUAAUUCUUGCCUCCCAUGUUGGGCCGACGGCAAUCUUUGUUACCUUGGGUGGGCCUGGGCCUUUAUGUUUUGUUGUUUCCAUGGGCUUCGAGAGGUCGUUAAUAUUUCCCCCCAACACUAUGAGGAGGACUUGUGGGCAGAAAGUCAGCUACCACAAACUUGCCUCUGAAUAUUUGGAGUGCAAACAUUGGAUGGUGGUUGUGGAGAGCCCCAGCCAUACCUCGCACCCGUGGAGAGGUAAUUGUCGGAUUGCUUGGUUCGUCUCUAGAAUGCGACAAGGUCAGGCGCCACCUCUCACUGCUGCCAGUCAGAAGGCCGAGGGGCCAGUUUCAACAUAGUAAUGAGAAUCUCCGAAGGCCAAUAUGGUUAAGCAGCUAACCUCCAUGAUCAUAGACUUACGUUUAGAAAAUAGGAGGCUUAGCGAUGCGUUAACAGAGCAGAAGUUAGAAACAGAAGAACUUAAGGACGACUUCCGUGUCCUCCGCCUUGGUCUUUGUGCUAAGAUAAAGCGCUUGUACAAUGCCACGGGGAAUGACGGUCUCUACGAUGCAGCUCAAUAGACGUGCCCCUUGUAUCCUUUCCUUUAGGCACUUUAGAAUAUGUUUAUUUGUUUUCCUUCAUUUUAAUUUCCAAUAGAUUGUUAGCGCCUCCAAUUUAAUUUCAAUAAAGUGUAGACUCACCGGUCAUCCAACUUGAUGGAGUCCUUUUGUCACCUAGUUGUCUUUGGAAGAAGUAGCUGGGUACAAAAUAAGUGUGGGGGAGAGCCACAGACUCUCUAGAGCUGAAACAAUGCACAACACCCACAAAUAGAGAAAACCACGCUGCACCAGCACGUACGUGAAAGUGGAGCCAGAGCUGGACCCAUAGGGGUUUGGCCAACCCAAGGGGUGGCCCACUCGGGCCAUCUUCAUCCACCGCGUCGGUUUGUGUCUCUUUACCCCUGAUCUCCCUGAUUCAUGAGUUUGAAUGAAUUUUAAAUCUGAUCAACUAAUUCAAACUCAACUAAAAUGAAUCAACUGCUCCACCUGCUCUACAUGUUUUCUAUGGUUGGCUUGCAUAUGUUUUAUUUCAUGCUUAUCAUCUUGAUGCUUGUGAACAAAUAUCUUUAGGACAGCAUGCUCAUCUAAGUAGUUGAUGUGUAUGAUAUGGUUCGAUGAUAUGAUCUUCACUCUUAAUGCUUAAGUGCUUGGGAAAAUCUAUUUGAAAAUUUAAAAGCCUUUUUGAAAUCUCCUCUUUGAUGUGCCAAAGUCCUACCAAAGCCAUAUGAUAAGUUAUCUUGAAAAACCAUUUGCAUAUGUUGCUUGUCUUUGCAUUGAGCUUUGUCAAAUUGGUGUGACCCUUGUCACAAUUCUUUUCAUACUUUCAUGAUCAAGACUCAUGUGCACGCCAUAUACCCCUUGCUAUGCUUCUAUGAGAUGUUAGCAUUGUACCAUCCAUUCAUUCCACAAAAUAAAUGCUCCACCAUAUGUGUUGGUCUCCUUCUAAGAUUAUUGUUACAAAAGAGAUAUGGGCUAUCAAAAAAAAAUAUGAAUGUCCAAGAAAGUUGGACACAUGAAUGUCCAAUAAAAAGAAAAAGAAAGAUAGCCAUGUCCUCAGAAAUAUUUACAAAGGGAGAGAGAUCAUACAAAAAGGAGUUUCCAUUCCAUCCACCACAUCCAUACAUGUGCACAUCUUGAUCUGAUUGUAUGACUUAUUUUUCUCUUUGGAUCUGGUCUUUGACUUUGCAAUAUAUGUGAUGCAAGCAUGCCUUAUCCUUCAUAGCCUACCUUGAGCUCCACAUAUAGCCAUCAUUAGAAGUAGGAUGAAGAAAGGCAAGUCUAAUGCCUUGGUGAGGACAUAUACACAUUGAGUGAUCUGAGAGAAUCAAAUGAGGAGCUAAGCAAGGUUUUGUUUUGAAAACUAAUUGAAAAAUCCCAAGCUACUUGGCAUAAGGAGUUGAGGUGACUUGAUUCAAGACCAUUACAUUCCUCAACUACCCAAGAUGGCAUGAUAGACACUCCAAAGUUCACAAGUGCAGGUAUGGUUUGGAAUAUCUUUUAGGCUCGCUUCAUACCUUUGAAAGUUAUGUUUCACCUUAGUCCUUUCUCGUUCACUCAAGGAUAAGCAAAGGCUAAGUGUGGGGGUGUUGUUGAUGGCUCUUAAGUACAAAAUCUGCGCCAUCAACUCUUGCAUAAACACAUAAAAUAUGAGCAUCAACAAUAGUGGUAGGAGUUAUUACAAACGAAUUCCACAAGUCUUGGUGAAUAUUUGUAUGCAAGCCCAAUAGGAGAGAAAAGACACCUCAAAAGCAAGGAAACACACUCUCAACCAAUCAAGAGCAAGCACAUGGAACCAUGGGCCCACAACCAAAAGGAAAUCGACUACAUUCCAAACACCCUAUACCCACAUGAGAACCCAUAGGGCAGUGACCCAGAGCAAAGGUGAUGCCAGAGUGUAGAUGGUAGUUAGCAUGCCAAAUUUUGAACCGCAAGCGCUCGGAUUAGUUGUUUCUUUUCCCUUAGAGAUUCCCCCAAGGUUUAUCAAUCCAUGGAACAAGGGAUUUGCACGUUUCACUAAGCACUAAUCAAUGUAAUUGAAAGCUUUUCGAAUAAGAUAUGAUUAUGCUAACAAAGGAACUAAGCAAUCUAGAUUAAGAUGGAUAGAGAGUACAGGUUGUGAACAAGAUAGAUUAAACGCUUGUAGAUGCAAUCACCAUGCAUGAAUGAAUUAGAUCUAGGUGUUAUUGUGAGUGGUUGUGAACCAUGCCCAACACUUUCCCACCCGCAACAUUGUCACUACAUGUGGGUACUCAACUAUCGGAACAUAAGAACACAUCAAGAUGAUCAUUCUAGGUAAGCAAAUAAGCAACCCAAAGUAGCGCUGGCCAGCCUUUUCAUGAAAGAGCAUCAUCAAGAUAAGAUUGAUAACAAAAUAGAUCUCAACCAAAGGUUCAGCGAUUACAAAUCAAGAUCUUCGUAUAACCCCGAUGACAAAUAGAGGUAUUACCCCCAUGAUCUUACACAUGUUGAUGAAUUUUAGGGUAAAGGACACCCUGUAGAUCAACUGGACCAAAGAUGAUGAUGAACGGGGGCAGGGAAGGCCCAGGUUGAUCAGCCUGCGCACUUUUGAGCCGAUCAGCUCAGGGGGUUUCCUCCUCCCCUGGUGCUCCUCUUCGCGUGGCCUCCUCUGGAUCCAAUCUUCUCUUCAUUUCUCCUACUUGUGGCGGCAAUGGAUGGUGUUUGCAUGGUGAUUUCCUCUUCUCCCCAACUCUCCCUCCUUGAAGUCCAUGAGGGGGUAUUAAUAGUCUCCAAUAGGCGGCAGCUCUGGGUCAAUGUCAGUGAAAAAAUCCUAGAGAUCAUCGUACACUUCAUGCUGAGGAAACAAGAGGUUGACCGAGCCCUGGGAUAGACCAAGAGGAUCAUCCUAGAGGGUCCCAGGCUAAUCGGUCUAGGCCCUUCCUAGCCCUUCUAGUCCUCUCCUUCCUCGUGCUGGCUUUUCUCGAUGACCCUUGUCCAAAUAUCCAUGAAGCUCUAUAUACAUACCCCCUUGAUUAUGUUGUAUUUCCUGUCAAAAUACAAUGCUCCAAAAUACAACACAUAUGCAAUAAUAGGGUUAUUUCAGGUGCCAAUUGGUGGGUUAGUAUACGAAUAAGCAUGAAAAUACUGUUUAAAUGACACUAAAAGUGUGUCAAUAACGAGCACCAACAAUCCCCCCACGCUUAGAUCUUGCUCGUCCUCGAGCAAGUCUAGCGACUAAAAGAUCUUGAAUUAAACCUGAGCAAGCGAGUCAAGUACCUAGCCUUGAAACAAAAGAUUAGAGGAGCAGCAAAGAUAAUCAAAGUCUGGGUGUUCAAAGAUUUAUCUAAGCAAAGAUUCCCCUACAACUAUUAUUCAGAACCAAGUAACUUCAAAAAUCAACUACACUUAUUUUCUGGCUUUUUUCAGAGGGUUUUUCUUUCAUCAUAAAACAAUCUCCCUGCAACAAAAUUGAAAAAAGAAUUAUUUUCAAGGUGCUUACAUGUCGCUUAAAUGAAUGUUGGCUAUCCUACUUAUUUGCAAGCUCUCAUCUCUCAAAAUUCAUUCAAUUAUAUGGUGGAGUUUGGGUAAGGUUAGCUAGAAUCAACACGUAUAUUAUUGAAUUAAGAAAACCCUCUAACGGUGGCCUACCUUCCGAGCCAUUGAUCAUAAGAAUAUCCACAUAAUGUGAAGUUUUCAAGGAUGAGAAGAUAUAGAAUGGUGGACAUGUGCAAAGGCAAAGAAAUAUAGUGACUCUGAGGCACAAGCAAUGUCCUCGUCGUUGGAUUGCAUAUGGUUGUAAUGAAAAUAUGUUCCUUAAACAAGUCUAUCUUUUCUUUGCACCACUCUUGAUCUUCAUGACAGUAAAAACUCCUCCUUUAUUUCUUUCUCUCUUUUCCUAUUAUUUCUUUUUAUUUGUCUCAAUACUUUUAUUUCUUUAUUUCUUUAUUUUAAUCUCUUCUCUGAACCUCUUCUGAACACCACAUAAUAAAAAUAAGUUUUAGAUCCUUCCAGAGACCUUCCAGGAAUUUGCUACAUGAAAACCGAGGCAAGGAGACCCCAGGCCGAUUGGCCUAGCCACUCCUUUGCUCUCCUCUAGCUCUUCUUUCUGGUGAAGCUUCCUUAUCUUGUAUCUUUCCAAAAAUUUCAUAAAGCUCGACUAGAAACGGAACAGAUCUUCAUAUAAUGAGUUGUGUUCAAGGAAUUGGUAAUAAAAUUGAGAAAUUUGUGGUUCGGGUUUACGAAUUCAGUACAAAAAUAUGAUUGUUCCAAUGAAGAACUCUCAUUACUGAAUAUUGACGAGGCAAGCAUUCAAAGAUGGUAAAAAGGAUAUGAUCAAUUCUCAAAAUUAAAGCAAACCAAGAGAGAGCGAUCCUAAUUCAAUUCAAAGUGUCAAAUGUUGCUUAUGGUGGUAUGAAUAAAUAUUUUUAGGCAUUGGGUAGGAUAAAUAAAAACUCUCAACCUGGUUAAAAGAUAUUGAUCAAUCUUGUUUUUGCAGAGGUUUUAAAUAAAAAAUAAAAUUUUAAAUCACCUCCAAUUCAAAGCCUUACUCAUAAAUCAUAAUCAAAACUGAAGCACUUGAUCAUCAUAAAGCAUGGGUAUUGCAUAAACAAAUCGAUUACUAAAACUCCACAACUACGAUUUAGAAUUCAAGACAAUGCUCAUAAUCUAAAGUUGCAAAGAUAAAAUAAAAGACAACCAAGCCAAGGUAGACACUAAAAACACUUGCACGAUCCUUGAAUUUUAUUCAUGCUUCUUCUCACAAAGACGCUAAAGUAGCCAUGUAGGCCUAAGUCUUCCCAAAAGCUUAAGAAAACUACUACUUUAUCUACUUUUGGUUGAAAUAAAAAGACUAAUCUAGACUCUCACAUGAUUCGACUCGACCAAAUUAGAUCCAAAAACUCAUACGAGCGACGAUCUCCCCCCCCUCACGCUUAAAAUCUACGACCUCCUCGUCGUAGCCAUAUGGAGUACAAGGAAAAGAAGCUUGUAAACGCUCUAAUGACGCUACCCGCACUACUUGCACACGGGAUGGUUGCUGCUUCCUUCGCUUUGUUCUUCCUCAUGUUGCUGCACAUCCCGAAGAGCUUCCUCACGUUCCUCUGCAAGAACUUGAACUCGUCCUCCUGACGGCGAUCAUUAUCUUCUGCCUUUUGAUCCAGAGCUUGUAAGGCUUGCAUGAUGUCAUCGAACGCAUCGAAGAGGUAGUGGAUGUUCUUCCUGCAAGCUGUGGAACAUGUACGAUCAUGCUCCUCCGAUUCUGGCCCGUCGUCUUCUAGAUCCUUCUCUUUGCCCUUGUCUUGACGGUGGCUAUCUUGCUCCUUGCUCGCCUUCUUGCCUUCAGCCCAAUCCCAGUACGUGUUGUCAUCUUCUUCAUCGUCACGGCCUGCAGCACCCUAUGAUCCAUUGUCUAUCUUGUAUGAAAGAAUCAGAAGCUUGUUCUCCUCAGGGUGUCUUGCGCGGUGCAGCGUUUGCAAGUGCAAGACUUGCUAGUUCCUUUUACACAUUGUAAUGUUCAUUGCAUGCUCUAAUUGUUCUACAUUUGUAAUUUCUUGGUGAAGUUUGGUUACUGAUCCACUGUUUGAUUAACUCUUGGGCCCAAACACUGUACUACUUCUGAUUAGAUAUCUGUAUCUUGACUUUGACCAAAAAAAAUAUCCGGCAGUUUUUGCCAUUAAAGUUUCAUAAAUCAUCUUGCAAAAAUCGUACUAUACAACAAGGGACGGUUUAUUAUAAAAUAUACGUUCCCCUUAUCACAUGCCACUUCCACUCAAAAGGCAACGAAUCAGUUUUCAAUCCUGAGUGAGCAAUUUGCUUUUAUUACCGAUGCCUCCUAUUCCCUUGUGCACCAAGUUUAUUUUGGAUAGGGCUGCAAAAAACGACUAACCAGCUCGGAUUCUCCACCUGCAAAACCGCAUCUGCAGCAACCAACCCCACGCGGUGGAAAAAAAAACAAAACCUAGAAACCGGACGGGGGUGGAUGUGGGGCUCGGAGCCCAAGCAAAAAACGGAUCGGGAGCGCCGGAGCAGGCCAUCACCGGAUGUUAGAGAUAGAAAAUGGUUGAAGUUUGGAGUGGAAAUCAAACAAGCCUUGGAGCAAAGGAAAAAAAAAGAUCAAACCACUCAAGCAUUCAUUUGAUUUAGAAAAGAGAACAUUUGUUAAGGUGGGGAGUUGAAAUCAUCUUUUAAUUAGUUCCACGUAUCUGGUAUCAUUACAGUUGGUUUACUUGUGUAAGUAUAAGUAGCUCUGCCGAAGCCUUUGCUCCUAUAAUUUAGUAACUAGUACAAAUGGAUCAAUAGGAAAAUCAAGUUGCAAUCAUUUCUCAGCCAACCAAACCUAUGUAAAUCAAAUUAUUGUCCAUGCCCGGCAUGCACAGGUGCCUGCCAUGCAUGCAUUGUUGCUCCAUUGUAAUAACCAUUAUUGUCCAUCGAUGUUGCAGCGCAUGUGUGCACUGUGCAGACACCAAGCAUCGAGAUUAUGUACUAGUAAGGUGUUGAAAUAAUGGGCCUAGCCCAUAAGUAAUUUCAGAAUUUCAAAUAAAUCUCAAAGGCCCAUGUGGGCAAGAGGUGGAGUGGUGCAAGUCUUUAGUCCCACAUUGCUAGUCGAGGGGAGGGAUGACCAACUUAAAUAUGGAAGUUGUCUCCACUCCUCCAAGCUAUGUGUGAAGGGCGCGGGCGCGAGGCACUUGCGUGAAUGGUCCGCCGAAAUCUGGCCCCCCUUGCGGGGGCGCGGCUUCCUUUUGCCGUUUUAUUUUUUGGUUACUUGGUCGUUAAGUCAUGGAAUCCUAACCGGUUUAGAUCACGAUCGUGAAGGUUUUUGGGAAGCGCUCUGCGCGACUGCUCGAUCGCUUCUUCCGCUUCGUCAAGUUCUUCGUCGACUCCUUCACCACGGCUCGUCUACCUCUUCGUCGCUCGGGCCUCACUCGUCGUCGCGAACAACGUCAGGCUGCUGAUCGUCGUCGCCUGCUGUAUCCGGUAGUCGUCCAGGAGCCGGUUUUCAUCAAGAAAGAAACGUACGGUCUCUUAACUCACAUUAUGUCUUCCAUACUAGCUAUUAUGAUUGUUGCAGUCUGAUAGCUCUGGAUAGUAUGGUAGAAUGUCUGAUUCUAUUUGCAAUGAUAGACUUGUCUAGAUCUUGCGUAGACAUGUCUAGUUUAAUCUGCUGCUUGUUCAUCAUAUUCAUGAUUUAUUUCUGGAUUAAGUUAAAACUAAAAGUGCUUAUAUAUCCAACAUAAGGUACCAAGAACACGUGAAGCACCCGGGGGAGGCUGCUCCACUCCGCAUGCACAGGUGGGCACGGCACCACUACUCGUCUCCUUCAGGCUGAGGAUAAGUGAUGUACGCUGAUCAACAGACCACGACGGAACCAGCAAUAAUAGUUUCAGCCUGCCUCACAGUAAUUAAUAUAUCCUGUAUCCUCCGAGGACCCCUCCCCUUAAUCUUGGCCUAUUGCAUCCAAUAAUGAUAUGUGUGUUUAUCCAAAUUUACGGCACCUUUGGCGGGGGUUCCACCCAGCUCCGCCCUCUCCACCUUCGGUACUCCAUGGGAAACCAUUCCUUUGGAAUCAAGGAAGCUUGAACAGUAUAACGAAUAAAGUUUCAUAUAUCCAUUUGAUUUCACAUGAAAUAAAAUAUUCUGUCAGAACCAAUGGUUUCACUGAAGCUCCAGGCAGCGAGCGAAGGGGUGAGAGAGGAUAACGCUUACUGUGUGUUACCAUCGCGUGCACCAUGGAUGACCAACGCGCAGCCGAGAUGAAACGGCGGACCUAAACAGGUCCUCGCUAUUUUUGCAGGUUCUCGACCAGGCCAGUUCUUUAGGCCAACCUAUCAUUCACGAGUUAAACAUACGGUGGCUGGAGAAAUGUUCUAUUCUUUUAAACAAUACCAGCUGGUUCCUCCGUUUUUAUUCCACCAAUACAAGCACCACCUUGUAACAUUUCCUAUGUUUUUUUUCCUUUCGUCUGUUUUCUCACUACAUGCGUUGCUCUUUCAUGCAUUUUUUUCCAUUCCUGUAUUCCAAAUAGGUCUACAUGAACACAAAAUGAACUAGGGGACAGAAAAAGCCAGUGAAGUUAGUUUUGAGCUUCACCAGCUACUUGCUACAUAAAGUGUGCUAUAGUCGCAGAAAAGCUAAGCUGGAUCAGACGUGGCCGAAACAAUGCCAAAGAGCUAGGUCCCUAGCUGAUGGCAACACAUCAGAUGACUAGCCUGCUUUUCUGUAAUAAUGAUAUUGAGCAAUACACUGCAUGGCUAACCUGCUUUACAAUAAUUGUCAUUUUAUAAUAUUGGUCAUCACGAGAGAUGCACAUUGCAUACACCGGCCCAUCCCUAUAAAUAGCCAAGCCUUUCAGCCAUCUUGGGCACCUCCUCUCAGGGCCUCGUCUCACCAUCAGACAUCUCGUUCCCAGUUAUAAUUUGCGAGGUUAGAUCAGGCUGCGCCAUGGCGUCCGCAACUGCUGUCAAGAUCGUCGCCACCUUCAUGCUGGUGCUGACCAUGGGCCACCUGAUGGCCGAAGCAUCACCGCAGCCUCGGCGUGUGCUUGCAGAAACGGAGCAUGCUGCGGUGUCCGGGAAUCCUGGCCUCCCAGGUGAUGCUAGCGUCAUGCAGGUCCUCGAACCCGCCCUAGUUUCUCGGCUUGCCUGCAAACCAGAGUGCACAGUCCCUUGGCCUCCUUUUGUAUGUAUCUGCUAGAUCCUCUUCCUGGCUCAACGGAACUUCAGGGAAAUGGCUGUGACGUCGGCCAAAGAAUAAAUUGGAUGAACAUAAUAUACCCCGGGUAGUGUAGCUUGGGCUUUUGUUGAGCGUCUGGUGCUAGUUGUAUUUUGUUUGCUCAUGUGGCUUUGCUUCUGGUUGCAUAUUGGCUUUCCUAUCGCUCUCUGUUGCAGCUAUGGUUUCUGCCAGGUGUGUGUUAAUGCGGUUUGUAAGCGGUGCUUGUUCCUACCUUCUGUUUUCAAUAAAAGAAGUCGGAGUCUCCCUCCGACUCUUGUUAUCAGUCAACAAAAAUGAGUUGUAUCAUAUAUAUCUGCGUCUUUUUUCUACGUAUCUUUGGGCUGCUUCAGCUGGAAGUUUAUCGUAAGUACGUGUAUCAGGAUGAUCGUUUGAAUUAAAACGAAAUGAUAAUGUGUGGCUGCUAGAAAUGGAAUGAGCAUCUUACUAUAUUACUAAUUGGAAGCCUCCACGUGAAGCCACCUAGAAAUUCUAGGUGGACGUUUUAAAAAAAACAAAACUCAUAGAAGCCUCCACCACCUAGGAAUCCUAGGUGGACACUCUAAAAAGAGACAAAUCCUAGAAAUUCUAAAAAAAGAAAAAAAUAAUAACAAUAAGAUUUUUUUGCAGUCAAUUACAUAUAUUUUUUUGAGACACCGUGCUGCUAGCUCUUGCCAUUGCGACCAGUAAAGCAAGCAGAUAGUAAGAUGACAUGCGUGUGGAUUGAUUAAAACAAAUUCAGUUAGUUGAUUCUAAAUCGUAUGUAUCCUAAAAGGAAGAUAUGUGCGUGCAUGGUCCCUAGCGAUGACAUGUAGACAUGUAUUGCAAUUUCUUUUUUAAAAAACAUGUCUAUCUCUAAACCAACAAACAGAAAAAAUAUCAAUCUAAAUCUAAAUCUCUUCCGUUCUCACACGCCUAUUAAAGAGAAGACAACCAAUCCCAUCCAUGUUCCAUAGAAUCCAUCUAAAAGCUUGCUCACUGCGGACGGCAUUUGACGGCAAAUCAAUGAAAGAUCAUCCUCUCCAAAUAGCUGGACGGCAUCACCAUCUUUAUCUCACCAACCUACAGAGCUACAACGAUGUUGUAGAGAUCAACUAGGUAACCUACCAAUCACCCUCCCCUUUUCUAUAUGCUCUAAAGAACACGUGGAGUAAUUAUAGGCCUAUAGGAGCCGACUAACCUAGAUUAAUAUGAAAAAUAUUCCAAUAUUAAAAGCAAGCAGAUAGUAAUACUUGCCUUUGACCAUUUUUCUAGAACUGUUAUUCCUAUUGAAUGUUCAAGUGCUACGGCCAGGCAUCGAAUGCCUGCACGGAACCUUCCUAUUGAAUGGUUACUCUAGAGAUCAACGCACCGCGAGACAUUUUUAUGGAAUUUGUUUGAUUCCCCUUCUACAAUUAGAUUAAUUUUUCAUGGCAUAUAUUACUACUAUUAAAUUAUUUGUUUAUUGUCGGGCCUGCUGCAUGUGUGGUAUAUAUGACUUGCUUCUCACCAUUGUUCUCAAACUAUUAUUCCUAUCGAAUCUUUCUAUCGAAAUAUAUUUUAAUUACUUGAUUGUUGUUUGUGUACCAUAACUUCUGUAUAGAAAAAUUCCAUGUUUGUAGAUAAUGUCUUUUGUAUAGAAAAAUAGCCCAAUUAGAUCCAUCACCAUCUUUUGCUUAUGUAGUUGAACAAGUUGCAAUGUUGAACAAAACUUUAAGUGAAAUUAGACCAGGAAAAGGAAUUGUGGAACAUUAAGGCAAGGGUAACCAGAUUGUGGAAUGCAACCUUACUCAGUAGUGGCGAACAAUUAAGUCUUGACAUGAUCCUUAUUGAUCAAAAGGUAUGAUAGAUGUUCACUUUGAUUGCAUUAUUGGUAUAAUUUUUGGUUUACAAAUUAUUAAUGAUGAUGCAAAAUUAGGGAACCAUGAUCCACGGUGUUAUCAAUAAGCCCUAUAUGAAAAAGUUCAAACCAUUGAUUGAAGAAGGCAAUGUGUACAUAAUUGCAAAUGUCAGAAUCACACCAGAACCACAGAAGUAUCGGCCAGUGGAAAAUGACAGGAUAGUCAACUUCUUACCCACAACUGCACUAAAAACGAUCAAAGAUACUGAAGACAUUCCAAAGUAUAGUUUUAACUUCAUGAGCACGGAUAUGCUUUCAGCAAGAAUAAAUGUGGACAUGUACCUAUUAGGUAAAACAUUACUGGCUUUUCAAUUUUUACACUUCCACUCAUUAAAUGACCAUCUAAUAAUAAUACAUAUUUAUGUUUCAUAGAUGUUAUAGGUAUCUCAGCUCACAUUGGACCGAUAGAAGAAACAAGGACAAACUUCGGAUUUACUAAAAUCCGUGAUAUUGUGCUCCUGAUCGAGUAAUUCUCUUUUCUUUUGUAGAAAACAACUACAAAACUUUCAACAUUUACAUGUAUGUUAUAGAACUUCUGUUGAACUAAAAAAUAUCUUCUACAGUGCCCCUACAAAUAAUUAAUUUCGUAGUUGGAUAUUUAAAAUAUUUAUUAUUCACUUUUAAAUUUGUGGCCAUGAAGUUAAAGUUAGAUUUUGGGGAGACAAAGUUGAGGAAGUUGAUGAUAAGACAAAAUCCCAUGUCAUUGCAAUAACAUCUACAACUGUGAGUAAAUUUGGCAGUAAGUCUUCAUUCAAUAUGAGUUAUUCAAUAUUAGUCAUUCAACAAACUAACCUCGUAAGAAAAAUAAAUAAUUGAUGUUUUAUCAGGGUAUUCUCUAUCGUCAACCAAUGCAACAAAACUUUAUGUAGAUCUACCUAUUCCUGAAACUAAGGAUGCACAUGAUAGGUGAGAAAAAUUAGAUAUUGUUUUUCUAUUUUAAUCUAUGUAGCAUGCACUCUAACAUGAUACAUUCUUUCAUAUGAUAAAAAAAUGUUAGUUCAAUUGAAAAUAUUGUCAAAGAGAUUCAUAUUGAGGACCAUCUAAAAGGGACAUUGGAAGACCAAAUGCAGUACAAUAGAAGAACUUUAGAAGAAUUAAAUUUCAUAUUAUUUGAAACAUCAAAUCAGGUAUGGAUUAGUAUGUUCAUUGUACACUAUACUAUUUAAAGACUUACAUACAUAAUGAUGGUAUUGUUCCUACUUUCAGGAUGAGGUAUUUACUAUUGAAGCAACAAUAAAUGAAAUUAAUGCAACAUAUGGUUGGUUGUCACACCCGAUUUUAAGGACAAAAUUGAGUGCAUUAAAUACAUGUGCACCAGGAUCAAGUUACACACAUCCUAUGAGUACCGUCCUUCUUUGGCACAAAGAUAACCGGUGCUCCCCAUGGUGAUGAACUAGGCCGAAUAAACUAUUUUGCUGAUAAUUCCUCUAGUUGUUGUUUCAAUUCUUUUAAUUGUUCAACCAACAUUCUAUAAGGACGUUUGGAGAUAGGUGCAGUACCAGGUAAAAGAUCAAUAGCAAAUUCAAUGUCGCGGUCAGGUGGCAUACCUGGUAAAUCGUCGGGGAACACAUCCGGAUAGUCACACACCACUUUGAUAUCUUCCAAGGAUUUUCCAGCCAACUGAUUAACUGCACAAUCUGCUGCUGAGGGUAGAGUAGCUACAAACUCCACUUUCUCUCCAUCAGGACCUGUUAGCAGAACUGUCCUCUUGGCACACUGAAUCGUUGCAUCAAAAGCGGCUAACCACCUCAUCCCCAGAAUUACAUCGAUUCCACUGGACUCAAGGACGAUAAGAUCAGCCGGAAACUCUAUACCCAUUAUUCUCAGUUUAACUUGUGGACAGAUGUAUUGAGCCUUCAUUGACCCCCCAGGUGAACUCACUAGCAUAUGACGCCUCAUGGUAUGCAUGGGUAAAUUAUGCUUUGCUACAUAAUGACUAGUGACAAAAGAAUGCGAUGCUCCAGAGUCAAAUAAAACUGAUGCGGGGGCAGAGUUGACAAAGAACAUACCAAGCACUACAUCUGGAGCCUCCUUAGCAGUCUCGGCUUCCAUGUGGUUCACCUUGCCACAAACAAAGCUUUGCUGCCCCUGAUUGCCUUGUGGGGUCUGGUUCCCAUUCCUCGGUUGCUGCAUCUGAUUCUGCCGAGGAGCACUGCUGUUCUGCACGGGGGUAGCUGGCCCACCUCUCUUAGGACAAGAGCUGGCAUAGUGACCAACCUCGCCACACUUGAAGCAGGUAGGACCCACUGGAGCAUUGGGCCUUGUUGGAGUGCCAGUAGGGGUCAUCUGGCGGUUCUGCGUAAAGCUUGGGCGCGGAGUCUGCAUAGUCUGCAUCCCUGGAUGCUGGAACUGAGGGCUAGGGCGCUGGAAUGACUGCUGAGCAGGGCGCGGAAAUGAGUGCUGCCAAAAAUUCCCACUCGGGCCCCCUGCGCGGAACGGCGUCCCUUGCUGUGGAGCAAAGCGAGGGCGGGUGUUGCUUCCUGAAGACUACUGGGAAUUGAAUUUCCUCUUCAUCUCCCCGAGCUCGUUCCUCUUGUGUUCCAGGCCAAUUGCCUUGUCUAGCAUCUUCUGGAAACUGGGGAAGGUGUGCGACAUAAGCUGAUAUUGGAGUGGUCCAAUCAACCCAUCCAAGAAUAGCUCCUGCUUCUGCUCAUCAUCAGCAACAUCUUCGGGAGCAUAUCGGGACAACUGGACAAACUUGUCCCUGUACUCUGCCACUGUCAUGUUCCCCUGCUUGAGAGCAAGGAACUCCUUCUUCUUAAGCUUCAUCAAUCCGGAAGGAAUAUGAUGACUUCUGAAGCUAGUCCUGAAUUCAUCCCAGGUGAUGCCAUUAGCAUUGGCAUGGGUGGUGGUGUAAGCAUCCCACCAAUCAGCAGCUGGCCCUUCCAGGCGUCCUGAAGCAUACAGGACCUUCUCCCUGUCAGUACAUUGGGCGAUAUCCAGCAUCUUCUCCACUGUUUUCAGCCAAUCAUCAGCAUCUAAUGGAUCCGGAGAAUGUGAAAACGUCGGGGGCUUGUGGCUCAUGAACUCCCUAUGCCUGUCCCUUGGCGGCGGCUGCUGCUGGUUGUUGUUGUUGUUAUUGUUCAGCUGAGCUUGUAAAGCUGCCACGGUGUUGGUCAGUCCGGCGAGAAGCUGAGUCUGAGCUGCUAGAAACUGCUCCAUCCCUGCAGGUGCUUGUUGGUUCUGUUGCGGAGCGGUGUUGGGAUUGCUGCUGUUGUCCCUGUGGCGUGGCACUGUGGGACGGUCAACUCCUGAUCCGGACCUGGUGUUUACCAUCUGAGCGUUAGAGACAAUGGAUUUAGAUAGAUGUGUGAAAGAAUAACUGAGAAAGAUAAAGCGACCAGAUGUAAAAGUAACACAGAUUCUGUUAGCUCCAUUUAAUUAGGUGUGGUCGUCAGAAGAAGUGUCCAUAAAUUCUGAACAAUUACCAAGUCGUAACUUAUUAAAUUUGUAAACCAACCCAACUGGAAUCAUCUCAAUCGGACUUCUGGAUCUCGAGUUACAAAAUUAACAAGCUGACAGUGUCGGUCGAUAGGUUCAGAUUCUGAGUGCUUUACUAAUUCGCAUACACCUCCCAGACAGAUACACCAAAAAUUCUGAAAAAUUUACAGAUAGUACUCCACGAAAUUCUGAAACUAACCCCACUGGUUUCAUGUCAUUUGGACUUCUGUAGCUAGAGAUAUAAAUAAAAAAGUACUGGCGUGUCAGUUAAUGUCGAGAACAGAAUUGAAUGUCGCUUAGCUUGCGUGAUGGAUAGAUUUAGACAGAUGGUAGAUCAUGAUUAAGGAAGAUUAAAUACUGAUUUAGAACAGAAAUAAAACCCAACUAAGCACUUUAUUUAUUAAGACCAGUAUCGUGUGGCAAUUGCCCCACAUACCGCACUCAUUACAAAAUCCAACUCAAACAUGUAGCACAAAACCAAUCAUCUAAGCACACUUUAACUAACACACUCGAACGACGUCUAACGAUUACAAGAAUUUAAACUAAAACACUCCUAAUUUCCUAGAGGUCUUCUGCGGCGGUGCCGGGCGAGUCGUAGCGGGGACGCUUAGGCGACGGCGACGAAGCGGGAUGAACAGCAAACUCCUGCGGCGGCGGUGCUCCCGUCGCGGCAGCCAUAUUCGCAUCCCUCUCCCACCGGAGUUCCUGAACCUCCUGUUGAAGCUCCUGGAUGUGGUUGUUUGCUUCAUUCAAUGCGGUGAGAGCUGCCGACGUGUACUUGCGGAGGAAGUCUGUAGCCAUGUCAACCCCAUCGUUAGUAGCGAUGAAGGUUCUUGCUUCCCCACUAGCUCGGUAAGGAAGGAACCGAUGGUAAGUGUGCUGCAAUCGCGGCCGUUCCUUGUGGGAGACGACCUCAAGUGCCCUCCUGGCGGCCUCGGCAAUGCCGGAUUCCAUGGUCCUCCUUAUGGUCACAUCAUGGUGAAAAGCCUUCACCUCCCAUCCUCCCUCGUGCUCCUCACGAAGGACAACCUUCACCUCCCAAAAAGUGGGAUAGCGAGGGUGGGUGAACCGGGAGCACUUGUAGAGUGGCCUCAUGCCGUACCCCAAGCGGUGACAAGUCCACCUGAGUAUGUCGGCCAUGUGCACUCCUUGGCCAUAAUCUUCCUUCACCCAUUUGAUCCAUGUCUCGGGCUCGGGAUCUGCUUCGGGCUCAUCAUCCGUCAAGUCGACGACCGGUACGGGCGUCGGGGCUGGUGCAGGAGCGGGCGCCGGUGCUGGCGACGGUGCUGGUGACGGCGUGGUCUCCUGCUCCACGGUCACGGCGUCCCCGUCAGAGUCAUCCCCCGGAUGCUGGAAGAUCUCUUCCUCUUCUUCCUCGUCCCAAGGCUCCAUGGGGGCGUACGACGGCGCGAUGCCAUGACGCGGCGGACGGGUGCUCUUGCGUGCGGUCAACCGGGUGCGAGCCAUCUAACAGAAAGAAAGAAGAAAAUUUUAGAAUAAAAUUUUGAACAAAGCUAGAUAAUAAAAUAGCAAUAAGGAUGAGACAAAUCAAGUUUAAGAAUAAUUAAGUAGAUUUAAAUUAAGAAAGGUAGGAAUGGCUACUAGAUUAUUAUAAUCCUUAAAUACGACCAUUUUCUAACUAGGCUAACGUCCUACAGUCAACACGGCUCUGGUACCACUUUUGUCACACCCGAUUUUAAGGACAAAAUCGAGUGCAUUAAAUACAUGUGCGCCAGGAUCAAGUUACACACAUGUACGACAAUAGUGAAUAGUAAAGCCAGUGCUAAAUCGAAUAAAGAGAGUAUUAACCAUUAUUACAUGACCGAAUGUCUCAAAUAAACCACAAAGUCUAAUUAUUACGCAGCGGAACUCCAAAGAUGACGACGACUCCAUAGGCAGCUGACUGAAGAAACGUACGCCUAGAACUCCUCGAAGUCGUGGAAGUACUCCUCUUCCCAAUUAACUUGGUCUGAACAGCGGUUUUGCAAGGGUGAGUACACUUAUGGUUGGUACUCAACAAGUCGUGGGAAGUAGUGUAGUGUAAGGCUAAUUCAAGGUAUGGCUAAGGCGUAAAUAGCAUUCGCUUUUAAUUAAGUUGGUCAAAUUUUAUUAGCAUUUACUAAGUAUAAGUUCAUACCACCCGAAAUUAAACAUGAACAUAAAGUAAACCACAUGUGCAUGAAAUGAUAACAAAUUAAAUCCAUCUUCCGAUAAUAUUAUCAUGUGAGGGUCCAGGCCGCUCUUAACCGUGAGCACGGCUGAUUGAUCAGUUUAACACUCUGCAGAGGUGGCACAUCUUUACCCACAAGUCGCGUAAAAGUUCAAAAGAACUUUGGACCCAACCAUGCGGUGUUUGCAAGGCACCAUACCACACUUCCGAGGUGUGAUUGCAUAGGGACGCUACGAGGCCUUUACAAAGAUUCAUUAAUCAGUGGUAACCCGCUAAGGUUUCGGUGUCUGGCGUGCACCACCCAUCCCAGGUAAAAUGCAACGACUCAGUCCCCCCCCUUGAAUCAUCACGAGUAAGGUCACCCCAGACUAAGGUUUCUAAUUAAUCAGCCAAGACCAGAGCUAUUUAGUCUUGUGGUAGCACUGUUUUCCUGGGUGGUCGCUCCAUGUUCUGAUUAACAAAUAAUGAUCUUGUCUUAAUGAAAGGUAUAACAGAAAUAAGGCAAGAUUAAGCAUUGUUUUUAGUUAAACCACCAUGUACCAAGUAAGCACUAAGCAUGAGCUACCCAACAUAAAGUAAACCGGUUGGUCAAGGCAAAGGUAAAACAAUCUAGGCCAACCUUAAUUGGGACCCAUCAAUUUAAUCUUAAUAUGUGCACAGCAUAAAUGUUGAGUACGAGAAAGUAAAGGUGUAUAGGACAAAAAGGUAGUGAUCAAGGACACGACUUGCCUUCUUGGCCUUGCUCCUGCUGUUCGUACUCCUCGAAGGCUUGAUCGGCAACUCCCUCGAACUGCGGGGCGUCUACACGCAUCACACGAGCACAUACAAGCAAACAUGGGCAAAAGUAAGAAAACAGUAUACCAAACAUAGUCAAACAGAGAAAACAAGCUUGAAAAGAUGAUCUACGCUUUAAAACGAACACGCGGAUAUAAAGAACGCGAAAAACGGAGUUAAGAUGCAAAAGAUAUGAUUAAAACAAAAUCCAGGGACUUUUCUGUAAGAAAAACAAAACUUUUAGGGCCUAUCCGCGAAAACCGAGGGCUUAUACGUAAUUAUGCGUAUAAACCGAGGGUCUGAUGCGUAAAAACAUCAAACCCGGACGGCGGGUUGAUUUCUGGAAAGGUCAAGGGUUAAACCGAAAAAUGCGAGGGCAGAUCUGUAAAUACUUUCAACGCGAUCUGGACCGCGGGUUGAUUUGCGAAAAAGGCGGGGGCUAAAGUGCAAAAACUGCACGGCGCGGCUCGGUUGACCGGUACGCGAUCUUGAUUGACUCGCGUCCGGCCGUCGGAUUAAGAUCCGACGGUCGCGGUGAUCCGCGACAUCGCGGCGGCGGCGGCGAGCGGCGGCGAGCGGCGGCAAGCGGCGGCGGGUCGCCGGAGUUAGGCAAAAUAGCGCCACGAGGCACGGUUUAACGCGCGGGUUGCACCAAAAAAGAGAGGGGAACACGUCGAUCCCGUUUUGGGGGUUCUUGUCGACGGGGGCUCACCGGCGACGGCGAACGGCGGCGAGGAAGAGGCGGCGGCGCUAGGAGCUCGGGCGGCUAGGGUUUCGGGGAGCUGCGGCGCUGGUUUUGGGCGGAGGAGACUGGGAGGAGGCGGCGGCUUUUAUAGGGCUUGGAGAUAGAGCCGGCGCGGGUUCAAAUCCCCCGGAGGAGUCGGAGCGGAUGGAGUCCGGGGCGGAGACGGCGCGCGGCGGUUGCGGAGUUCUGACCGGAUUCGGCCGGAGGUGGGAGACGAUGGGUGGGGUCCACCCGUCAGUGGCGGAGGGGAGCGGUAGACGGGCCGGCGCGACCGUGGGCUGGCGCGCGCUCGUGGGCUGCGGGGAGCGGGAGAGAAGCGGCGAGCGGGCGCUGGCGGAGCAGGCCGAGCGGAGGUAGAGCUGGGCCGCGGAGAAAAAGGAGGAGGCCGGCGGGCUGCUUCGCAGGCCGGUAAGGAUGAGGCGGCCGGGCCGAAGAAGAAAAAGAAAAGGAGGGACAAGGAGCUUUCGGCCGAGGGAAAAGAAGAAGAAAAAGAAAAGGAAGAAGAAAAGGGAAAAGGUUUUGGAAUUUGAAUUUAAAUCUGAAAUUCAAAAUUUGAUUCAAACUCAAGCAACCAAAAAUUAUGCUCCAGCAUGAAUGCACAAAUAAUUCCUAUGAUGAAUUAAUUGAAUUAAAGAAAAUGAAUUUAAAUGCCUAGAAAUUAAAUAACACCCUAAUUUGAGCAAAUUUUAAUGAAUUUGAAUUAUUGAAAUUUUGGGUGUUACAUUGGUACUACAUCUCAUGUAGUAGAGGCGAUUGUAAGAAGCAACUUGAAAAGAAGUUUGAUCACUACUAUUGCAAUAAAUGUGACAAGAGAGCCGAACCUAAAGCCCAGUAAAUUAUUUAGUAGUUUACAAUCUUAUUAUAAUACUUCUAUUUCUAAUAGGAGAAUAAUAUUUUCAGAUUCAAAUUAAGCUUCAAAUAAGUGAUCCAACAACAAGUGCAACUUGUGUACUUUUGACAAGGAAGCAGAAAUGAUAAUUAAUGAAUGAGCAGAUUCGAUGAUCACCUCAGUUGAUCAUGAUAAUAAGUAGCUACCAAAAUCAAUUCAGGAAAUAUGUGAAGAAACAUUGAUUUCUCAAUUCAGAUUGACCGAGUACAACUUGACAAGUUUUAGACCUGAUUAUACUGUUUCAAAGAUAUUUUUUCCAAAAGAAAAGGGCAGUUCAAGAAUUGGUAUGGAAAGUGUAAAAAAGGUAACACUUUAUUAUUAAUUUUUUAUUGCACUUUUUUCUUUUGAAUCCGUAAUACUUAAUAAUUUUACUAUAUCAAUGAAACAAAUUCUAACCUAAAUUUAUUUUCUUUUUUAUUAUUUGUAGGAAGUAGAAGACAACUCAGACAAAUGCUACACGAUAACUACCGAGAAUGAAGAGGUAGACACUGAUGACUCUUUUACCGAGAAAGUAACAUUCGUAGAAGAAGCCAUAAGGACUGGGGAAAGAUUGGCUAGAAAAGUAUACUCACUUCCAUGUCAGUGUUCAUUCUAUUUACAAUACAUGCAAAAAAAAUAUUAUUCAUGCAAAAUUGCAGGUCUACUAAGCAUUAAAGGAAUAGCGGAUAGUGCAAUAUGUAAUCUGAGCAGCAUGCAUUACAAAGUGCUCUACUGCAAUUAAAUUAAAAAACAUGAUAUAUGUUGAAUUCUUAGACUUUAUUAUUAUACUUUUCUACGUGACAAUUCACAAUUUUUUAGAAAAAAGAAGAUCCCAGAAGAAGUGACCAUGAAAAAAGGUCUAUGACCAGCAAUAAGAAAAAAUGCAAGCAUAGAAACAAAUCCGUAGAAAACAUAGAAAAUAAGGUACUCCAUAAACAAAAGUAUUCUCUUAUAUUUUUAUUAAAUAUUUUUUUAACACUUGACAAGUUCUUUUUUAGGAUCAAUAUAUCAGCAAUUCAGAUGUCAUUGGAGAUGAAACCUUAGUUCAUCCAAAAGGUCAAAAAAAAACAUCUGAAGAAAGGUGUUUGGCUGAAAAGGAAAAGCAAAAAAGUGGUAAUGCAGACAAACACAUGCAGAAAAAUAUAAAAACAUGUCAUAGGGAGGCAGACCAAUCUUGCAAGGAGGUAUAGACGAAACGUGAUACACGACCUGCCUACCUUGUCGUGGAUACCCCAAGAAGAUGUCAUAGAGGUGCAGACCAAGCUAGCAAGGAGGUCGAAACGUGAUACACGGCCUGCCUACCUUGCCGUGGAUAUUAGCCCUGAGAUCAUUCUACUGUUCAAGGAAUAACACUCAAUGCUGCUGCUGCUGCUGACCUGGCUCCAUAAAGUUAUACUCCUCUAGGUGCUUGCACUAACUUUAUCUGAAGUAUUAUUCUCUCUGCACUGUAUAUAUGGUUAUGGAGUUUGCUGGAGUAUCCGGGGCGAAGAACCUACAUAAUACGUCUUGGAACUAAUUGACAUUGAUUCACAGACAAACUCUACAAGGUGCUGUUCUUGCCAUUUUAGAGCAUCCAAAGGACUAUAAAUAACAUAGUUUACCAUAUACCAUAUACCAUAUACCAUAAUAUGUUAGCUAAAAUAAGAGCAUACACAUGUUGCAGGAGUCCAAAAGCACCGGUUGAGGACCAGGUACAUUGAAUUACUAGAAAAAGACAGGGGACAAGGUUUAGGUAACCACAUGAAACAUUUGAAUUUAUUGUACUAUGAACACUUAGUUACCAUGCCAGGAGCACAUAGUUAACACUAACAUUUAGCCACUUUAGAUCAUCCCGAAUCACCAAUGACCCUCAAUAGUGACAAAUUUUGGUUUAAAUGCCAUCACCAAUGAUCCUCAAUAGUGACGUAUUUAGGUUUAAAUCCCGUCACUAAUAACCCUCAAUAGUGACCUGUUUUGGUUUAAAUCUCAUUACCACUGAUCCUCAAUAGUGAUGUGUUUUAGCAAAACAUGUUAUCAAUGACUUGUCAUUGGUGACGUGUUAAAACGCGUUAUCUCAAUGGCAAAUCAUUGGUGACGUGUUAUCUCAAUGUUAUCAAUGUUCUAUUCUUUUCAACAAUACCAGCUCGUUCCUCCGUUUUUAUUCCACCAAUACAAGCACCACCUUGUAACAUUUCCUAUGUUUUUUUUCCUUUUGUCUGUUUUCUCACUACAUGCGUUGCUCUUUCAUGCAUUUUUUUCCAUUCCUGUAUUCCAAAUAGGUCUACAUGAACACAAAAUGAACUAGGGGACAGAAAAAGCCAGUGAAGCCAAUUUUGAGCUUCACCAGCUACUUGCUACAUAAAGUGUGCUAUAGUGACGUGUUUUAGCAAAACAUGUUAUCAAUGACUUGUCAUUGGUGACGUGUUAAAACGCGUUAUCUCACUGGCAAAUCAUUGGUGACGUGUUUUAAAAAAACAUGUCACCGUGAGAGUCAUUGGUGAAGGGUAAUUAAAAUGCGUCACUAAUGUUGUAGCAUUAGUUAUGAUAAUUUAGUAACGCAAAAAUCUACCAUCAGUAUUGAGCUUUAGAGCCAUCGCUAAUGUGGGUUUCUUACAUAGUGAUGCAAGCUCUACAAGGUGCUGUUGCUGCCAUUUUAAAGCAUCCCAUGACUACAUGUUAAUAACAUAGUUUACCAUAUAUCAUAAAAAUAUUAGUUACAAUAAGCACAUACGCAUGUGGAAGAGUCCGAAUGCACCGGUUGAGGACUAAACACAUUGAAUUACUAGAACCAAAUGUAUGUUUAGAACAAAGACAGGGGUCAAGGUUUGGGUAACCGCAUUAAAAACAUUGGAUUUUACUGUACAUGAACACUUAGUUACCAUUACCAUGCCUUGAGCACCUAGUUACAACAAACAUUAAUUUAGCCACUUUAGAGCUUCCAGAAUCGCUAUAAAUAAUAUACCUACGCCGUACCAUGAAAACAUCAAGAAGAGAGACGGAUACAUGGACCACCAUCAAGCGAGUAGUGACAGCACGCACAAGAAUACCCGGAACCUGUUAGCUUGUCUGUAGUGAUCUGUUUUCUUCCCCAUAAAAUCCAUGAGUAUUGCCACAAAUAAUGAAAGAGGCUGACCAAGCUAGCAAGGAGGUAGAGCAAACGUGAUACACGGCCUGCCAAGAUUGCCCUGGAUACGCCAAUAAGAGCGACAGAUACAUGGAUCACACCAAUAUGGUGAAACGUAUAUUCAUCACACAAGCAAAGCUGGUCAGUUUAUCCAUGGUCAAAUUGUGGUCUUUGUUUUCACUUGAGAGCUAAUUGAGGCACUAUAAUAUGGGCAGGCCUAUCUUCAACAGACAUGACAGCUACAGGGAACUUGACAUAAUUUGCUGGGCCGCCUGUGCACAAUUAUUUGUUUUAUUGUCCUUGCAUAGAAUGCUAAAAUACUCUUUACAAAAUGUUGGAUCUAAUAUUUGAAAUAUAGAGUAGUAAUCAUAUAUUGAUCAACAACUUGAAAUUAUCUGUACAUUCUCGGUGAAGCUGUUGAACUAAUUUUUGCAAAUUAUUAAUUCAUCUCAUUACGUAAAGAAAAAAGUAAGUGGAUAAGAUAUUUCGUGGACCACAUCACUGCAAACAUGUCAUGGAGAGACAGACCAAGGAGGCAGGACGUGAUACACGACUUACCCUAGGUUGCCGUGGAACCGCCAAGAAGAGAUACAGAUACAUGGACCACACCAUCUUGGGAGUAGUGACAGCAUAUAUGCAGAAGAAUACCCCGUGCCUAUUUGCAUGCAUGUCUCAAGUGAUCUGUUUUCUUCAGAAAAUACAUGAGCAUUGCCAGAAAGAAUGGCAAGAGACAAACAUGUCAUAGAGACUUGCAUGUCUUGCCUUGGAUACGCCAAGAAGAGGGACACAUACAUGGAUAACACAAAUCUAGUGACACGUAUAUUCAUCACAAAGGCAAAUCUGAUAAUUUUAUCCAUGGAGCAGACCAAGGAGAAAUUGAUGACGGACAUGUGAUCUCUGUAUUCAGUUGAAAGCUAAUUGAGCUACACUAAUAUGAGCAGGACUAUAUUCAAGAGACUUGUUGAGAGCUACAGGGAACUUGUAAUAAUUUGCUGGGCGGCCUGCGCACAAUGAUUUGUUAUACAUAGUUGAAAUAUUUCAAGAAUUUAUCAACCUCAUACUCUGAAACCCUUGGUGCAAUGUACUCUGCUUUCCGAGGUAGACUGUUCACGUAAAAUGAGGUCAUGCGUAAGACGGAAUCGGAUUGGAUUCACAGGGAAUCAGAUUUGGAUAGCACCUUUUAGCAGGUUUUUAGUCAAAUGCAAAUUCGGAUCCACAUGUGGUUGAAUGCGAGUUCAAAAUUCUACUUGGAUAUCCAUUUAAUUUAGGUGAUAGCAAUUAGCACAAAAUGUUGGAUGAACAAAAUCAUAGUUAGACAUACAAUUACAUGUAUGGUUAAAGUAUAAUACAAUACACCAAGAUUAUUCCUUGAAAAUAUUUCUUAAAAAUAUUAUAAUAAAUGAAUAAAUAUAAUUGUGGCCACCAACAAAUAGUCGGUGGUCGCUAAGUUGGAGCCAUUUCUGGUUACUAAUGCGGCCUUCUCCUCGACCAGCGACGACAGCUGAGCUUGUUCCUUCUGACACUAAAUCAUCAGAGUCUUCCCUCCACUACUAUAGAAUGCACCUUUAGCACCAAUUGGGAAAUCCCCUUCAGUAUUGGAUGCUGCAACCAGUGCUAUAUAUCAAAAUGGAGACUAAAAGCCUCGGUCUUGGGUACCGGUUGCAUAACGCAUUACUAAAGGAGGCAAAAGAGAAAUGUAACAAAAAAAAUAUUUUGAAUUCCAAGAAUGUUUCACUAUUCAAGAUGACUAGCUGAGAGUCAACAGACAAGAUACUAGGAAUGUGGGUGCUUGAAUGCAUUUGUACAGAGGUCAUACUAUUUACAAACUCUUCUAUGUUUCCAUAUGACUACCUACUUCAAUGUCACGCGAGCCAUUCAGCUGGACACAUGGCACACUAGCUUGCAUGUCGAAUCCAUGAUUAAUUAUUUGCACUUGUGAUCUCUUACCAGUAUUUGUCCAGACUAGAAACGUGCAACACAUUUUUAGGAUAUGGACACGCAUAUAUUUGGACUAGUAUACAGGUCACCUUUGGAUGCGUACAAGGAUGACCGGGAGGGACUAAUGGAUACAAGGAAGGGACCAUCAGGAUUAAUAUUGACAUAUGCCACAUGACAAUCUUCAUUGUCAUGCAAUCCCUAUCAACAAUCAUGGAAUCCCUAGUGUACUAAUCCCUGGAGGGUUGUGUGGAAAUUUAUUUUACCUUGCGGUGAAAAUCUCAUGAGCAGUCAUUAGUUAAGCUGACUAGCUGAGAUAUAAUAGACAAGCUAGUAAGAUUGGGAGCAUCAAUGCAUCCAUACAGGGUCACAAUAUCCUUUCCAUUCACUUUUAUAUAUAACCCUACGAAUACAAGUCCAACGAAAUGCGGGCCUUUCGAUCAAGAUAAAUUAAAUGGCCCACUUGUAUUUCUAAUCCAGGAUUAACUAUGCCCUCUGUUCAUCUCUUGCAAGCACGUGCAACACAUUUUCACGAUAUGGACAUGCAUGGAGGUUAUUAUACUGUUUGGACAAACUCUGAUGUGCCAUGACCUAAAUGCUUAGGGCCUGUUUGGUUUGAGUUGCUUAUUAUAAGCAACUUAAAGUUGCUUAAAGUUGCUUAUUUGAAGUUGCUUAUUUUUAGUCUAAACUGUUUGGAUACCCUUGCUUAUGAGCAUUGAAUGAGUUGGACAUUGUCAAAUUUGCCCCAUGUGUUGCUACCCCUCCAAUUUGCCUCCCCACCCUUCUUCUUCCUGCACACGUCCGAUCCCGGGGGCCGACGGCGGGCAGGGAGCAGCAGCAGCUGGCCAGGGCGGCGGUGGGGCGGGAGCGGCGGCGCACACCAGCACGCGCUCGCACGCCAGGUGCUAGGGCGCGGCGAGGCAGUCGUCGUAGCCCACCGGGAGCGGGUGCUCGGGCGCGAGGCGGUACUCGACGGAGAUGCCGAGCGUCGGGCGCGCGGCGGCGAGCGCGUUGAGGAAGCGAUGGUAGUGCGGCGACGUCGCGGACUCCGCCACGAAGCCGCCGCCGUGGACGUACACCACCACGGGCAGCUUCGUCUUGCCGUCGGCGGCCGCGGCCGCGGCCUGGGGUGGCAGGUAGAGGCGGACGGAGCAGGAGCCGAGGUCGACGUCCCUGGAGUCGACGCCCGUGGCGGCGUCCAGGCUGGGCCCGACCGGCGGCGGCACGAGCGGGCGCUCGAUGCGGCCGCUCUUGUAAAUCCGACGGGUCUGUGCGGAGGCGGGCGGCGGGCGGGAGCGGCGGGUGGGAGCGGCGGCAGGUGGUGCGGAGGCCGGCGGCGGCGGGUGGCGCGGAGGAAGGGGAGCUGGUGAGUGGUGACAGGGGAGGGGGGGAGAGAGAGGGGGGGUAGGGUGCAUUGAAUGAGGGCAGGAGGUGUAAAGUGCACCUUUUAGUCCCCAUGAGCAACCAUAAGCAGCCCAAGAGUUGCUUAUUUGCUUAUAAUAAGCAACCUCAUAAGCAAGAGUGAUUGGUUUCAUAAGCAACUUAUUUGCUUAUUUUAAGUUGCUUAUGCAUAAGCAUGUGAAACCAAGCAGGUCCUUAACCUAUGGUUGUGGCACCACACAGUACAUAGUAUUUAAUAAUGCUAUUCGUUUGGUAUGUGCACAAGGGCACGCAUGAAAUGUCUGGCCCACGGUAAACAAGUACGGACGCUGCAAAUAAUCUACUCUGCUCGUCCAGUCCCUAGCCUAUAAAUAGAUGCCAUGCUAGCUCUUGUUGUGCUCACAAUUAAUCCUGACUACACACGAGCUUCUCUCCCUGGCCAAGACACAAUCAUAGUAUGAUGAAGAACAUGGCACUAGCCGGCAAUGGUAUGAAGAACUUAAUCCUCGCUGUUCUCUUACUGUGUCUAGUUAUAGGGCAGAUACAAGUGGAAGCUAAGAGCUGCUGCCCAUCCAUUACUGCAAGAAAUAUCUACAAUGCCUGCCGUAUCACGGGUACAUCCCGUCCAACGUGUGCAAAACUGUCAGGCUGCAAAAUUAUCAGCGGGGACAAAUGCAAGCCCCCUAACGACCACCUCACCCUUGACCCGGACACUGGUAAAUAAUAAAUUUAUCUCACUUGAUUUCUUCGUGUUUUGAGUCGUUAAUGUAUUUUCCAUCUGAUGAAACGUAUUGGUUUUGCAUUGAAGAGGAAGUUAAUGUGCUUAACUUCUGCAAGUUGGGGUGUGCGUCGUCUGUGUGCAACAACAUCAACGCUGGUAAGCACCUUUUGCUCAGACGGAGAAAACAAUAAUCAUUAAUUAGCGGCAGCUAGAAUCCUAUAAUCUAAUAUAUUUAUAUAUAUAUAUAAUUUUAUCAGCUCUGGGAAAUGAAGAGGCGAACGAUGCCGUUGAGAGUUGCGACCAAGCCUGCUCUAGCUUCUGCAACGUGCACGUUGGCGCUGCCACCGUGGUUGCUUAAGCAAAUGCAUCCAACUGGAUCGUCCUUGUGCUAAAUAAUUGGAUAUCGUAUCCACUUAAAGCUGCCUUGUGUAGUACGUUUUUGUUUGUGUCUCUCUUUAUAUUCCAAUAAGGUCGGUGAUCUUGAUGCCACACACUCAGACGUGUGUUCAUCUCCAGAUACUACUCCAUGCUACCUGCCCUUUGUGUUUUGUUCAAUAACUGGGUAUCAUAUCCCAGCCAGUGUGCCAUCUGUUUUGUGUUUAUUUCCUUCUAGUUUCAAAGGGGUUAUCAUGAUGUUACCUUCUUUCGAUAUGGUGCUUUGCAUGACUACUGUUGUAUGGUACCAUCUUGUUGGCCAAUAAAUACAUCUUAUCCUAUGACCCUUUGCUAUGACCCUUUGCAAAUAAGUACAAGAUUGUUAAAUACUCGGUAUAAAUUGACUACUGCUGUGAGUUCCCUUUCAGCUUAUCGUAGGCAUACAUUAUUGCUAGCACGGUGAAGACAACCAACACGAAUGGUCAAGUAAACGUACCGGUACUUUUGUAUACCAACACCCUUGCUUAAAUGUACCGGUGUUACUCCCCACUAGCACAUAUAUUCUUAUAUGCUAGCCGGCUUGAAAAUUAACCGAUUAAAAUAAUUAUUUCAAGACAGAAAUAACUUAUCGGCUUCUCGAAGCAUGUGUAAUGUGAAUUCAAGGACUUGAUGGAAGUUGAAUCGCUUAAUCUAGAUUGCUUUCAGGAUUUUGGGUAACUAAAUUUAACAUUUGCACAUACAAAUGUUAAUGUACAAAUAUUAAAUAUAGUUACCCAAGCAGAAUAUGAAGAUACUCUAUAGUAUAUAUAUACUAUAUAAAUCUAGUUAACAUUUAGUCUAAAUGUUAAAUCUAGUUACCUAAAAUCCUGAAAGCAAAAUGUAUAAAUAUAUAUCUUUUAAGGAAUCCCAAAGCAAGAGUUCAGUGGCAUUCUAUAGUCCCAUGCUGCUAGUUUGAGUUGGUCGAAGCCAACUUAAAUAGGAGAGCUCUCUCACUUCUCUAAAUACGUAACUGAAGGAGAGAAGGGGGCUUGGUUACACAACGCACGCACGCACGCAUAUUUGCGUUCUUUUCGCGUAACCAACCGCGUGACUUGAAACUUGCGACGUAGCGUGCUGCCAAGUCAAGUUGAUAUAACCUUUUUGCCGUAGGCGUGUAAUCUUUUGACAACGGUCAUUGGAGGUGAUAAGCACGCAGUCAAUACCUUAAUCCUGAGUUAAUAGGGCGGUUACUACUGCCAAUUAGUGGGGCAAUUUUGUAGGGGAAACGGUUAGCAGAGGGCUACCAUCUUCUCUAUAAGAAGUUCUGGAGACGUCCAGGAACACACAUGUACAUGUGAGAGACCCACGAAUUCCUUCCCAUCUCCCUUUUCCAUCUGGUGAAGUGUGCUAUGGUACUGAGCUGCUGGAUCUCGCCGGCUCUUCUCCUUGGCGUGCACCGAGGAGGAGGGUGAGCGGUAUCUCCGAGCUAUUGCCGUCAGGAAGCCUGCACGAGGGACAACAAUAAAGUUUUUGGGUAGCGCAACUACGCAACCGCUCGAUUCGAUCGACUAUGUUCUGCGCUGCCUCAUCUUCGAUCUGCACUGCAACACGUAACCCUGCAGCAAGUCUACACAAGGACGGAGCACUAAUCUGUAAGUCCUAGAUUGGUUUCUUACAGAGUUGUAGGUUACACAAGAUCUAGAAUUGUUACAUACUUAUUAUUAUGGGUUACAUGAUGUUUUGUACGGUUACGUCUAUUUUGCAUAUGCUAUUUUUACAUACCGUUUACAUGCAUAUGUAAUGGUUACGCCUAGCUAUUUGAAUCUAGAAUUGGGUUACAUAGCAGUAGCAAUGACUUACGUAAUAUGCCUCAUGUUUAUAUCUGGUAGAAUUUAACACGUAUCUCCAACAUAUUUUGAGGCAGUAUAAAUUUCAAUUCCUUUUGCUGCUCUGUUAAAUCCCGUCUUUCGUGUGGCCCAACACUCUAGUAUGCAUGUAGCACCAAGCUUGUUUGAGCCGCUUUGUGCUCUGAUUUUGCUGUCUGUAUCAGGUUGGACUGUUUCUUUGUCUUGCGAUGUAUAGCUUCAUAUCUUCUAGAGGUUAGACAGCAAAACCCGCGUUCUCUUAAGGCAACAACUCGAAGAAUCUGCAGCGCUCCUGAUAUAUCACUGCUGCAGAAACAAUCUUUAGUACUGAUUUCCAACCCCCUUUAGUAUCGGUUUGGCAAUCAGUACCACUACGUCGGUACUAAAGGGAGUUCUCUAGAAUCGGGUCAAAUAACUGGUACUAAAAGUGCUCCUCUACUACCAGUUGGUAACACCAAUAGGUAGUAACUUUUUUUGCACCCAAAAAAUUAAAGAAAAACAGCCGGGAGGCUCGCGCACACACGCAUCAUGAGUAAUAUGCGCGUGCAUGGUUUGUGGGAUUCCAACCCACGACCAAGCUAUAAGCACGUAGUUACAAAAAAAUUAAACACUUAGACAUUUUAGAGCAUCCCAAAUAACUACAAAUUCUUUAGUUUACCAUAUACCAUAAAAUAUUAGUUAAAAUAAGAGCAUACGCACGUCGGAAGAGUCCCAAUGCACCGGUUGAGGAUCAGACCAGGCACUUUGAAUGCACAUGCCAUAAGAUAAUUCUGCAGGACGAUGAUUGCAAUAAUGGACCAUCGAGAAGAUAGGGGCGAUGGGGUUGCCUCAUCAAUUAUGACUUGGCGCAACAAGACCAGCAAAGUCUUUAUCGACAGGGGUGGAUCAAGGGGUGGGGCGGGUAGAGCUCCAAUCUUCCUACCGCCGCUCGAACAAUGGAGCCCCCCUUAGCCCCUCCAUAAAUUUUUAGGUAGAAGAAAAAAGAAGAGAAGGGAAGGAAGGGGAAGAAUAGGGAGCCCCUCCUAAGUAGGUCGCCAUCGUGCUUCCCAACGCAUGAUCGCCGCACCGCAUCCAUUCCUCUACAAGCCUCCAGCGUCUCUCCUGCCGCUACCUCUGAACCAUGUGCAGCUGCAGACCCAACUAGUGUCUUGUCACCCAUCUCAAUCCCAACAGAGCGGCGGCUCCUGCCAGCACAAAUCUCCCUCCGCCUGUUCUUCACGAUCGAUGGCCACCACAAGCAUAAACCUCGCCUUCGCAUCCACGCAAAAGGGUCGCCGGUGUGCCUUCUCGCAUCGCUUCUCAGCCUCCUUCACUUGCGGCUGGCCAAGAACCGUGCCACCACCUCGGGUGCGCGCCACCGCUCCAGGGCCGCUACCCCAUGCGUGCGGCCGCCGCCGGCCACCACGCGUGUGCAACCGUGUCGCACCGCUUCCCUGCUCUGUGCCACCACUGCUACUGCACCACCAGCUCCACCACCUUGGGCUGGUCGCCAGGGUGACUGAUUGGUGGAUUAUUACUACAAAUAAGUUCCUUAUUAUCUGCAACUACUAUUAACUCAGGGAUACAUGCGUCUUUUGCUUCUCCUGUUAAUAUGUCCUAAAAUAUCUAGAAUGCCUUAUAUUUCUGGACGGAGGAAGUAUUUGAAUAAAAUGAACCAAUUUUAAAAAAUGUGUUGUACACUACUACAGAAAGAACUAUCAGUGUCAAACCCAAAAAUGUCGUCACUGCCAGUUUUGGGCAUCGUUGGUGAAAGGUUGGCGGUGAUGGGUAUCCCCUUCAACAACGGCACUAGAGCUAACAGUGAUUGACAUUAGAAAACGAAAAAGGGGACCCACCUAGCCACCCCUGCAACCCGGCUGGCCGUGCCUCCCGUCAUCCCCACCACCUCGCCUCCCCCGUGACCCCCCGCCGGCGCCCUUGCGCCUAGCCCCCUCGCCUGCCUGGCCGGCCACCCUCGUCACGAGAGAGAGGGGUGCAUGUUGUAUAAUUGCGUGAAUUUUUAAUGUUUAAUUUCAUGUAAGUUUCAUAUAAUAAAUUGUACAAGUUUUAUUGUAUAUAUGAAUUCCAUAUAUAUAUAUUUAUAAUUUAAUGUAUGGUUUCAUGUGUAUAUUUCAAUAAUGUGUAUAUUUAGUAGAUAGCCGAUUUUCUUUUUCUACAAGACAAGGGUUGAUGUAUAAUUACGUGUAUAUGUUUAUUGUACGGGCAAUUAGGACAAGUUUUGUAUAAAUUUCUUUUAUUUCAUGGUUGUUGUAUGGUUUCAUGUAUAUACAUUUAUUGUACUACUUGAGACAAUUUUUAAUUUAAUGUUUCUAUGGUUACAUGUGUGUAUAACUAAUUGUAUUAUUAGUUAAGAUGGGAGCCAAAGAGGAUGAAAGGUAUAUAAUGGAGCAGAUUAUUGCUGGCGGUAGUGGCUCAAACGUUGCAAGAACCUACAUCAAGGGUGAGGGUAGCUAGGUGGACAUGUACCUCAACAUGUCCAGUGAUGGCAAUGACGAUGAGGAGCACGAGCAUGACGUUUAUGAUAGUGCGGAACAAGACAUUGCAGAAUUGGAAGGUUCUAAUGAGGUGUGCUUCAUGUUGAUGAUCUGGUUGGCUUUUUUUCUUUGGUCACACCUUAGUUACCAUAGAACUUCGUCUCGGGAGAAGAUUGGAGGUGCUAUGGUGAUUGGAAUUUUAUUGCCUCCAAAUAUGAUUUCCAUCGAAUCAUAUCCCUUGUAUUUAUCUUCUUUUUAUUUGUGAGAGCAUCUUCUUUAUGCUUGCAAAACAAUUCAAGUGCACAUACUACACCUAGGGUGAUGAUUAGGAGUAGAAACAAUUGCCAACAAACGAACACCACAUCCUAAGAUUCUUAACUUGUGGUAUAAUUAGUCUAGUAAAAAGAAAGAUAAAAACCUAAUGGGUGUACGUGAGUGCAAUGCGUAUAUGCAUAUGAGUGGAAGGCAUAUAAGCAAAGAUAAUAUUUACACAUAGAUCUAAGCACCAUGUUUACAACUAAGUUGCUGAAUUUCUCCAUAGCUAUAGAGAUUAAUGAACCAAGGUCAAAACACCAUGUCUAUCCCAAGAUCAGUAAUUCUUUAUAGCACAAGAAAAAGAAAGCGCAUUGCAAAGUUUAUAAACCAACCAAUGCAGCAUGAAAACAAGAUGAAUAGCUAGCAAGGUUUAUUAAACUGAAUGAUGACGGUCUGCAAGCAAGUUUGAACACCAUCUUUACACAAGAUUGCAAAUGGAAAAUUCCCAUAUGAAGAACUAACAUGGAUAUGAAAUCAUUCAUCAUAAAGCGUAAAGAACAACCAAGCCAACCAUAUGCAAAGCAUGAAUGGAAUGCAAUGAAGGUGCAAGAGAACAUUUUUGGAUGAACCCAUUAUGAUGAUGGCAAAAUGCGCCGUGCCCCCCAGCCCCCGCGGUGAGAUCCCGCCGCUCGCUGCCGCCAGACCCUAUUAGGCCUCCACCGGCAGGUCCACCCACGGUCCCGCGCGACGUGGCAGCCUCUUGGCUCUCGGCGCUCGCGGCACGCCAGUGCUGGCGCAGCCCCACCAGGCGACUACCCUCCCCCCAUAAGGCCUCGGCCCCUCCCCAGCGCCGCCCCCCAACACCAGGACUGCCUGCUGCCCCCCACCGUGAGGUAAUCGAAAUCGACUGCUCAAUCUCUCAAUCUGUUGAUAUGAUGCACACGGUUGCAAAAAUAGAUGUGUCAAAAUAGAUGUUUUGCCAAUUGCUAUAGAUGCAUACGGUUGACAUGAAGUCAAAAAUGACAUUUGGUUCCUUGUAGGCAGUCAAAAAUGAAGAAGUCAAAAAAUAUUGAUCUGAAAUCAAUGUGGGAAAGGGCUAUGAAGACACGCAGGUAGAUUCCCUUGUGAACUUUUUAUGUCGUUCGUCUAAAUAAUUUUUUGCAAUGGGCAUACCCUACUCUGAAAUCCUGGGUCCGCCACUGAUGAUGAUGGUCUAAAAAUAAACCAAGCCUAGAUUAAUUAGCCACAACUGAAAUUAAGCAAAGGUUAAUGUCAUUGACCCUAGCUCUAUCCUAGCUUUUACCAAAGUUCCGGCACAUAUAGUGGUUGGGCCCACUCUCUCUGCUUCCCUCUCUGCUGCAUGCACGCACACGAGCAACGGGAGGCCCGACGAAGCCCAGAAGGGUUCGGCCGAACCAGUAUGAGCGCCGCUCCCUCCCAGCCUUCGCGCAGAUGCUCCUCCAACGUUCCUUGACCCCUCCCUCAGCGUCCCGUUGGGUUUAACAUUGCAGGAGAGGAGUCCCUUUUUUAAAAUCUCAACCACCUCCUCUCCCCAUUCACUCCACUCUCAUCUCCAUCAAACUCACCAAGAUCCGCACCGGAAAUCCCUGCUUACCACCAUGGCUGGCAAAGCCCUCAUCCCUUUCACCAACUUGGGCUUGACCACUGAUCUCGAUGGGGAAAUCACUCUGGCAAAUAUGCGUGUAACACUGCCCCCUUUGCCGAGGGUUAAAGCCAAAACACUCAGCAAAGUGGAUAGUACCCCCCUUUUUACCCGUUUUGUCAUGUAUAACGGACCCCUCUCAAUUCACAAUAGACAUCAUCAUAGGCAUUUAUAAUAAACAAUCACAGGCAUAAUUCACAAUCACCAUUACAAGCAUUAUUCAUAAAUAUCACAGACAUAAUCCAAAGUAAGCAUGAAACAAGCCAUAAAUCCAAGUUCAAGUCACAACUAAGUUUCAUCCAAGUUCAAGUCACAAAUGCAAUGUCUAAAUCCAUGGAGGCCAAGGAGACCACUGCGACAAAUCUUGGUCUUCAUUAUUCGAAGCCGCCGAUUGAUUCUGCACAUAGGAUAGGACAUUCUGAGCUAACAUCUAAAGUUGUCAAAAUUAAAGUAUUCAAUCUUAAGCACAAUGUGUCAAAUGACUCACAGGAGUAGUUGUGGGUGGCUGAGGCGGAGGGAACAGCAUCGAUGGCGGUGGCAAAGAUUGACCCAUGCUCGAAGCAAAAUUCUGCAUGUACUGGAACAUCUGGUCCAUCCUCAUCCGAUUUUCUUCCUCCAUCCUCUGCCGCUCGGCCUCUAACCUCCGCUGAACCAUCUGCUCCAUCCUCGCCGCCAUCUCCUCUUGUUGCUUCCUUGCUGCUUCCACCUGGGCCUACAAUAUUUCAUUGCAAUGUUACAAUGCAAAGCUAAAGUAUAGCAACCAACGAACAAUGAAUGGAAGAGAAAGAACCUGGAGAGCCUCCAUCUGGAACUGUCCAAUGGUUGGUCGUAGCCGUAUCGCCGGGCUCGAGUCCGUGCUCCUUGCUUGGAUCUGGGAGAGAGUGGCAGUAGAGGCCGUGUUGAUUACGCCGUCGCCAAUCCAAUAUCGGCCAUGCUUCUUGCCUCCUCCCACCCUCAUCACGAUUUCUCCAUCAAUAUCCUCAGAGCUUGAAUCGAAGUCUGGCCCGUGAACCUCCCUUGCCAUCACUGUAUAUUCCUUUGCCGAGUGCCCGAGAUAAAGCACUCGGCAAAUAGAAAACACUCGGCAACUUUACUGUUUCCCGUAGUGUCGCUAUUUUUGCAGGUUCUCGACCAGGCCAGUUCUUUGGGCCAACCUAUCAUUCACGACUUAAACAUACGGUGGCUGUAGAAAUGUUCUAUUCUUUUCAACAAUACCAGCUGGUUCCUCCGUUUUUAUUCCACCAAUACAAGCACCACCUUGUAACAUUUCCUAUGUUUUUUUUUCCUUUCGUCUGUUUUCUACAUGCGUUGCUCUUUCAUGCAUUUUUUUCCAUUCCUGUAUUCCAAAUAGGUCUACAUGAACACAAAAUGAACUAGGGGACAGAAAAAGCCAGUGAAGCCAAUUUUGAGCUUCACCAGCUACUUGCUACAUAAAGUGUGCUAUAGUGACGUGUUUUAGCAAAACAUGUUAUCAAUGACUUGACAUUGGUGACGUGUUAAAACGCGUUAUCUCAAUGGCAAAUCAUUGGUGACGUGUUUUAAAAAAACAUGUCACCGUGAGAGUCAUUGGUGAAGGGUAAUUAUAAUGCGUCACUAAUGUUGUAGCAUUAGUUAUGAUAAUUUAGUAACGCAAAAAUCUACCAUCAGUAUUGAGCUUUAGAGCCAUCGCUAAUGUGGGUUUCUUACAUAGUGAUGCAAGCUCUACAAGGUGCUGUUGCUGCCAUUUUAAAGCAUCCCAUGACUACAUGUUAAUAACAUAGUUUACCAUAUAUCAUAAAAAUAUUAGUUACAAUAAGCACAUACGCAUGUGGAAGAGUCCGAAUGCACCGGUUGAGGACUAAACACAUUGAAUUACUAGAACCAAAUGUGUGUUUAGAACAAAGACAGGGGUCAAGGUUUGGGUAACCGCAUUAAAAACAUUGGAUUUUACUGUACAUGAACACUUAGUUACCAUUACCAUGCCUUGAGCACCUAGUUACAACAAACAUUAAUUUAGCCACUUUAGAGCUUCCAGAAUCGCUAUAAAUAAUAUACCUACGCCGUACCAUGAAAACAUCAAGAAGAGAGACGGAUACAUGGACCACCAUCAAGCGAGUAGUGACAGCACGCACAAGAAUACCCGGAACCUGUUAGCUUGUCUGUAGUGAUCUGUUUUCUUCCCCAUAAAAUCCAUGAGUAUUGCCACAAAUAAUGAAAGAGGCUGACCAAGCUAGCAAGGAGGUAGAGCAAACGUGAUACACGGCCUGCCAAGAUUGCCCUGGAUACGCCAAUAAGAGCGACAGAUACAUGGAUCACACCAAUAUGGUGAAACGUAUAUUCAUCACACAAGCAAAGCUGGUCAGUUUAUCCAUGGUCAAAUUGUGGUCUUUGUUUUCACUUGAGAGCUAAUUGAGGCACUAUAAUAUGGGCAGGCCUAUCUUCAACAGACAUGACAGCUACAGGGAACUUGACAUAAUUUGCUGGGCCGCCUGUGCACAAUUAUUUGUUUUAUUGUCCUUGCAUAGAAUGCUAAAAUACUCUUUACAAAAUGUUGGAUCUAAUAUUUGAAAUAUAGAGUAGUAAUCAUAUAUUGAUCAACAACUUGAAAUUAUCUGUACAUUCUCGGUGAAGCUGUUGAACUAAUUUUUGCAAAUUAUUAAUUCAUCUCAUUACGUAAAGAAAAAAGUAAGUGGAUAAGAUAUUUCGUGGACCACAUCACUGCAAACAUGUCAUGGAGAGACAGACCAAGGAGGCAGGACGUGAUACACGACUUACCCUAGGUUGCCGUGGAACCGCCAAGAAGAGAUACAGAUACAUGGACCACACCAUCUUGGGAGUAGUGACAGCAUAUAUGCAGAAGAAUACCCCGUGCCUAUUUGCAUGCAUGUCUCAAGUGAUCUGUUUUCUUCAGAAAAUACAUGAGCAUUGCCAGAAAGAAUGGCAAGAGACAAACAUGUCAUAGAGACUUGCAUGUCUUGCCUUGGAUACGCCAAGAAGAGGGACACAUACAUGGAUAACACAAAUCUAGUGACACGUAUAUUCAUCACAAAGGCAAAUCUGAUAAUUUUAUCCAUGGAGCAGACCAAGGAGAAAUUGAUGACGGACAUGUGAUCUCUGUAUUCAGUUGAAAGCUAAUUGAGCUACACUAAUAUGAGCAGGACUAUAUUCAAGAGACUUGUUGAGAGCUACAGGGAACUUGUAAUAAUUUGCUGGGCGGCCUGCGCACAAUGAUUUGUUAUACAUAGUUGAAAUAUUUCAAGAAUUUAUCAACCUCAUACUCUGAAACCCUUGGUGCAAUGUACUCUGCUUUCCGAGGUAGACUGUUCACGUAAAAUGAGGUCAUGCGUAAGACGGAAUCGGAUUGGAUUCACAGGGAAUCAGAUUUGGAUAGCACCUUUUAGCAGGUUUUUAGUCAAAUGCAAAUUCGGAUCCACAUGUGGUUGAAUGCGAGUUCAAAAUUCUACUUGGAUAUCCAUUUAAUUUAGGUGAUAGCAAUUAGCACAAAAUGUUGGAUGAACAAAAUCAUAGUUAGACAUACAAUUACAUGUAUGGUUAAAGUAUAAUACAAUACACCAAGAUUAUUCCUUGAAAAUAUUUCUUAAAAAUAUUAUAAUAAAUGAAUAAAUAUAAUUGUGGCCACCAACAAAUAGUCGGUGGUCGCUAAGUUGGAGCCAUUUCUGGUUACUAAUGCGGCCUUCUCCUCGACCAGCGACGACAGCUGAGCUUGUUCCUUCUGACACUAAAUCAUCAGAGUCUUCCCUCCACUACUAUAGAAUGCACCUUUAGCACCAAUUGGGAAAUCCCCUUCAGUAUUGGAUGCUGCAACCAGUGCUAUAUAUCAAAAUGGAGACUAAAAGCCUCGGUCUUGGGUACCGGUUGCAUAACGCAUUACUAAAGGAGGCAAAAGAGAAAUGUAACAAAAAAAAUAUUUUGAAUUCCAAGAAUGUUUCACUAUUCAAGAUGACUAGCUGAGAGUCAACAGACAAGAUACUAGGAAUGUGGGUGCUUGAAUGCAUUUGUACAGAGGUCAUACUAUUUACAAACUCUUCUAUGUUUCCAUAUGACUACCUACUUCAAUGUCACGCGAGCCAUUCAGCUGGACACAUGGCACACUAGCUUGCAUGUCGAAUCCAUGAUUAAUUAUUUCCACUUGUGAUCUCUUACCAGUAUUUGUCCAGACUAGAAACGUGCAACACAUUUUUAGGAUAUGGACACGCAUAUAUUUGGACUAGUAUACAGGUCACCUUUGGAUGCGUACAAGGAUGACCGGGAGGGACUAGAAAUGGUCUAGUUUUGAUUGGACUACAAAACUUUUUGUACAGUGAAUAGAGAAUAUAUAUUAUUGUUGGAAUACGAGGUAGGCUACACUAUCGCAAUUCUGAUAUUCUACCGCGUAUAACCAAGAAGAACUGUCGUAUAAGGAUCACGGGAUUACCACUCGACGCACUACUGGUGCGGAAGAUGUAGAUAUGCGUCGAUGCAGUGAAGACGAUCACGUAGUCGUAUGUAGUCGAUCAACGUAGUCGUACAUAGUCGAUCACGUCCAGCAGCUCCUCAGCAGCUCGUCCACGUGCAGCAAGAUCGCCUCCGGUACCGCGGCUCGUCGUUGGCUUGUCGUGGCUCGUCGACGGCUCGUCGGCGGCUCGUCCAAGUGCUGCAGGCGCAACACCUCCAAGGUAUCCACACGUGCAGGGAGGAAGCGUCGCAAGCCGGACUGCUAGAUCCACGAGUUGCAACAGGCGAGGGCGUGGGAGGCGCGGCAGGUGUGUUUCGCCAAAAAGGUGUAAACCCUAGGGCGCCCCCACCCCUCUAUUUAUAGAGGUUCCUGACGGGCCUCUGGAUCCGAGGCCCAUUAGUACUUCUAAACCUAAUCCAACUCGGAUCAGAUCCGAAUUGGGCUUCCAGCCCCUUAAGUGUGUGACCCUAUAAGUUCGGAUACGUAUAGACAUGGCCCGAGUACUCCUACUCGGCCCAAUAGUCGGUAGCGGCCUCUAGCAAGACGUGCCAACUCCUAUACGCACACGAAGAUCAUAUCAGACGAACCAUCACAACAUAAUAUACAUGCUAUUCCCUUUGCCUCACGAUAUUUGGUCUAGCUUCAAGCCGACCGCUCUUUCUCAGUCCUGUGAUUCGGAAUCCCUUUGUAGGUUAACUCUUAACCGUACGUAGCAUGGCCAUGCAUUUUCGGAUCUGAUCACUCGAGGGGCCCAGAGAUAUCACUCUCAAUCAGAGAGGGGCAAAUCCCAUCUUGAUUGACCAUGUCUCAUAGCAUGCUUCUUGACAAACCUAAAAACUACCUUUAUAACUUCCCUGUUACGGCGUAGUGUUUGAUAGCUCCUAAGUAGGUCGAUCCACAUCUAGAAUACAUGCGACAAUUUCAGGUCUAAGGACAAAGCGUAUAUGUUGUUUAAAGAGAGAACUACUUCUCGUGUUGGGUCAGUCCCAGCACAUGUCUCCACAUGUGUCCACAUUAUUAGUUCAACAUCUCCAUGUCCAUGACUUGUGAAACAUAGUCAUCAACUAAUACAUGUGCUAGUCUAAUAUUCAUGUGUGUCCUCACAUGAACUCCGACUAGGGACAACUUUAGAAUAACCAUACAAGUAAAGAGUUUCACAUACAAUUCACAUAAUUGCAAAUCAAUUCAAGUAGCCUUCAAUGGAUAUUCAAUGAACACAACAUACAAAUCAUGGAUACAAAUGGAAUAUCAUCAUCUCUAUGAUUGCCUCUAGGGCAUACCUCCAACAGUCUCCCACUUGCACUAGAGUCAAUCUAGAAGGUACCUAAUACCCAUAGCUCUUACAUGCGCAUCAUGCUUAGCCUGCGGGAGUGGUUUUGUCAACGGAUCAGAAAUGUUCAGAUCCGUGUGUAUUUUGCAUAUCUUGAUCUCACCCCGGUUAACGAAGUCUCGAAUGAGAUGAAAUCGCCGCAUUACAUGUUUGUUCUUCUGGUGGUUCCUUGGCUCCUUUGCUUGCGCAAUUGCCCCAUUGUUAUCACAGUAGAGAUUCAAUGGGCUGGACCCAUUCGGGAACACACCAAGCUCAAUGAGGAAAUUCCUUAUCCAAACACCUUCCUUCGCGGCUUCCGAAGCCGCGAUGUACUCGGCUUCUGUCGUAGAAUCGGCCACCGUCUCCUGCUUGGAACUCUUCCAACUAACAGCACCACCAUUUAGCGUGAACACAAAUCCUGUUUGUGACUUUGAAUCAUCUCUGUCGGUUUGGAAACUAGCAUCGGUGUAACCUGUUACAACGAGCUCCUCCUCACCUCCAUAGACGAGGAAUAUAUCUUUAGUCCUUCUCAAGUACUUAAGAAUGUUUUUCACCGCUGUUCAGUGACUCUCACCUGGAUCAGAUUGGUGUCUGCUUGUCAUACUUAGCACAUAUGAAACAUCUGGGCGAGUACUUAUCAUUGCAUACAUGAUAGAUCCAAUAGCCGAGGCAUAUGACACUCUACUCAUGUGAUCCCGCUCAUCAGCAGUCGAAGGACACUGAGUCUUGCUGAGAUGUAUGCCAUGUGACAUAGGCAAGAACCCUUCCAUGCUGAACCGCUUCAACACUUUGUCAAUGUAAGUAUCUUGGCUUAAACCUAUAAGCCUUCUCGAUCUAUCUCUAUAGAUCUUAAUGCCCAGAAUAUAUGCCGCUUCCCCUAAGUCCUUCAUCGAAAAACUAUUUUUCAGUGAAGUCUUUAUGGACUCAAGCAUAGGAAUGUUAUUUCCAAUCAGUAAUAUGUCAUCCACAUAUAAGAUUAGAAAUACUACAGAGCUCCCACUAACCUUCUUGUAAACACAAGACUCUUCUUCGUUCUUGGUGAAGUCAAACCCUUUGACCACUUCAUCAAAACGAAUGUUCCAACUCCUAGAUGCUUGCUUCAAUCAAUAAAUGGAUCUCUGAAGCUUGCAUACCUUUCCAGCAUUUUUCGGAUCGACAAAACCCUUGGACUGUAUCAUAUACACGUCCUCAGUUAGGUUUCCAUUCAGGAAAGCUGUCUUGACAUCCAUCUGCCAUAUCUCAUAAUCGAAAUAUGCAGCCAAACUUGAUUGUCUCCCAUGGACUCUAUUUCGGAUUGCAUGGCAUUCUGCCAUUUUUCGGAGUCUGGGUCCAUCAUUGCUUCUGCAUAUGUCACAGGCUCAUCAUUGUCCAACAAUAAUAUUUCCUGCAUUUCGCGGAGCCUUGCCGACCUUCGUGGUUGUGGCGGUGCUUCUCUUGCCAUGGGUAUCUCAACUUGUUCUGCUACGUUAGCAUCACUCAUUGAUUCUUGCCCGAUCGGCUCAUCUUGAACUUCUUCAAGAUGCACUGUCUUUCCACUCUUUUCUCCUUUGAGAAACUCUUUCUCUAGGAAAACCCCGUUCCGAGCGACAAACACUUUGCCUUCUGAUCAGUUGUAAAAAUAAUAUCCCAAAGUUUCCUUUGGAUAUCCCACGAAAAUGCACUUAUCCGACUUGGGUGCGAUCUUGUCCGACUGAAGUCGCUUGACAAACACAUCACAUCCCCAAAUCUUUAGAAAAGACAAACUAGGAACCUUUCCAGUCCAUAUCUCAUAUGGUGUCUUAACUACGGAUUUAGAUGGUACCCUAUUAAGUGUGAAAGCUGCUGUUUCUAGAGCGUAUCCCCAAAAUGACAACGGUAGGUCCGACUGGCUCAUCAUUGAUCGAACCAUGUCUAACAAAGAUCGAUUACGUCGCUCGGACACACCGUUUCUCUGAGGUGAUCCAGGCGGCGUAAGUUGUGGAACAAUUCCGCAACUCUUUAGAUGAUUGCUAAACUUGUGGCUCAAAUACUCGCCUCCACGAUCAGAUUGUAAGGCCUUAAUUUUCUUGACACGCUAAUUUUCAACUUCAUUCUGAAAAUCCUUGAACUUUUCAAAGGUUUCAGACUUGUGCCUCAUCAAGUAGACAUAGCCAUAUCUACUAAAAUCAUCAGUGAAAGAUAUGAAGUAUUGGAAUCCUCCUCUAGCCGUCGUGCUCAUUGGUCCGCAUACAUCACUAUGUACGAGUUCCAACAAGUCUACUGCUCUCUCAGGAAAUCCUGUGAAAGACGUCUUGGUCAUCUUGCCUAGCAAGCAAGCCUCACAUGUCUCGUAUGAUUCAAAAUCAAACGAAGUUAGAAGUCCAUCAGAAUGGAGCUUCUUCAUGCGUUUUUCACUUAUAUGACCCAAACGACAAUGCCACAAGUAGGUAGGACUCAAAUCAUUAGGCCGAGGCCUUUUAGCACUUACAUUACAGACAGGUGAACCAUCAAGAUUUAAAACAAAUAAUCCAUUCACAAUGGGUGCAAAAGCCAUAAACAUAUUAUUCUUAGAGAUCACACAACCAUUGUUUUCACUCGCAAAUGAAUAACCAUCCUUCAUCAAGCAUGAAGGAGACAAAAUGUUUCGACUUAAACUAGGAACAAAAUAACAAUUAUUCAACUCCAUAAUAAAUGCUGACGGGAGGUGGAGUUGCAUCGUCCCGACGGUCAACGCAGCAACUCUUGCAUUAUUGCCCACGCGGAAAUCAACUUCUCCUCUUUCCACGCUUCUACUUCUUAUCAUUCCCUGCAUCGAAUUGCAAAUAUGAGCAACCGAUCCGGUAUCAAAUACCCAAGAAUUAAUAAUUGUAUCAGCGAGAAAUAUGUUGUCUAUGACAUUAACAACAAGCGUACCUGAGGUAGAAGUACUCUUACUUCCUCCAUUCUUCAACGAAGCUAGGUACUGCUUGCAGUUUCUCUUCCAGUGACCAAGUUCAUGACAGUAAAAGCACUCUUUGUCUGGAGCAGGUCCAGGUCCAGCUUUAACCUUGGGCGCUCGCUGGGUUUGGCUUGGAAAUUCCAGCCUUGCCCUUCUUCUUCCAAGAAUUGCCCUUCUUCUUAAAGCUAGGCUUGUUCUGUAUAGCCAUCACAUGGCUAGUACAAGCGCUUUUCUUGAUGUCUACCUCUGCUGUCUUGAGCAUACCACACAGUUCAUUCAAACCCUUCUCCGUCCCAUGCAUAUGGUAGUUCGAGAUGAAGUUCCCAUAGCUAGGCGGAAGAGAUGAAAGAAUGAAGUCAGUGGCCAACUCUUUGCCCAUUGGGAAGCCCAGCUUCUCCAAUCGCUGAGUGUAACCAACCAUGUUGAUUACAUGUGGUCCUACUGCUGCGUCUUCUGCUAGCUUGCACUCCAGAAAAGCUUUGGACACAUUGAACCUUUCAGUCCUAGCCUGUGUCUGGAACAUGUCCUUGAGCGCCACGAUCAUAUCGUGUGCCUCAUGAUUUGUUUCGAACUGCAUCUGCAGCUCGGGUUCCAUGCAAGCAAGCAUAAGGCAGCUUACCUCAAGAUUAGCAUCAAAUGCCUUCUUGUAAGCAGCCUUAACGGCAGCAGAUGCAUCAUCAGCAGGUACUGGUGGUAGUGGGGUAUCUAGAACAUCUUCCUUUUUAUCGGCCCUGAGAACAAUUCUCAGGUUACGGAUCCAAUCCGAGUAGUUUGUUCCAUUCAACUUGUCCUUCUCAAGGACCGAGCGCAAAGCAAACGAUGUGGUGGUGUUGCUAGGUGCCAUUUAAUCUACAACAAAAGUAAUGCAAAAUACACUAAGACAAACGUAUCCAUGAUAGAGCAAAUUACAUUAAACUAUUUUAACAGAAUCUACUCCCACUAAAAUCAAUAUCCCUCUAUUGAAACUUAGUGAUUCAGGAUCCACAACUAACAAGUCUACUAGUGAGCUUUAGCAUCACCGCUAGCAAACGAGGUAGAUCGGUAAGCAACUUUUGCUAAUCAUAUCACAUAUGACUCCUGUUGUUGGGUGACAUCUCCAUGUCUCGGCGCCCAACCAUUAUGCCCCAAGGUCCUUAACCGUUAAGAUGACCUCGUUAAGCAAACCAACCCUUAUGCGUGUAAGUGUCCGACACAAACCCGUCUAGUCAAGGAAAACUAGUGGCACCCUAAUUUCAUAGACCCACCACUAAUUGUACAAGACAUGGGACGGUGCAAGUUUUAGUUGGGAGGGCAUACUAACUUAAAUUUUUUGUGAGGGAUCGUUCUACUUCUAACAUCACAGCAUGCAGAAAGUAAAACAUAAACAGAAUAGCAUUCACACAGCUGUGACACAGUAUGGCCCGUUUUUAUAUGGUGAUCUCCAUCUCCAUAGAACCUGUUCACCAUGGUGAUCUCCAUCUCCAUGUUCCAUGUGCGCCAUCCUCCUGGUGAGGAGUCCUCCAAGAACUAGAACAUGCUAUUACACCUAAUAGCUAGUAAAGAAUCUAGUAAUGAAGAUUACAUAGUUGCUUGGAUCAUCACAGAUUGGUACGCAGACCAUUAAAUACAAUAAAGUGACAACACAUAUGGCUCCUGCCGUGUUGCCGUACGCGCGACACGCAGGUCACGAAUGAGUUACACACAUGCAUCACAUACACAAGGGGGCCAUACUGAUCACAAGAUACAUACAUACAUCCUGCAAAACAGAGUUAGGCGUCCUAACGUUCCAAACUUCGAAGGCCCGAAACUCCAUCUUCCAAGCCGAAUUUGGGAAAUCUAAUUUUGCCGAAAACGGCAAAGCGGUUGAAUUUCAUGUGUAACUUUUUCUGUAGAUCAAUUUUCAUAUAAAAUUCGCCCCGAUCCGAGAUCGUACCGAAAAGUUACGGCUGAUUUACCGAAGCAUACGCAUACGGCAAAAAUUCCGACCCCGGCAGUAGAUCCCAUCUACUAUUGCACAUCUAAUGCGCCUGGCGUAUGAUCCUGGAUUUCGAUUCGACCAAUCAUAUUGAUCUUCGCUCACUGCAACUGGAAUUACGUGUAUCACUUAACUCGUCGGCGGCUCGUCGGCGGCUCAUCCAAGUGCUGCAGGCCCAACACCUCCAAGGUAUCCACACGUGCAGGGAGGAAGCGUCGCAAACCGGACUGCUAGAUCCGCGAGUUGCAAUAGGCGAGGGCGUGGGAGGCGCCGCAGGUGUGUUUCGCCAAAAAGAUGUAAACCCUAGGGCGCCCCCACCCCUCUAUUUAUAGAGGUUCCUGACGGGCCUCUGGAUCCGAGGCCCAUUAGUACUUCUAAACCUAAUCCAACUCGGAUCAGAUCCGAAUUGGGCUUCCAGCCCCUUAAGUGUGUGACCCUAUGGGUUCGGAUACGUAUAGACAUGGCCCGAGUACUCCUACUCGGCCCAAUAGUCGGUAGCGGCCUCUAGCAAGACGUGCCAACUCCUAUACACACACGAAGAUCAUAUCAGAUGAACCAUCACAACAUAAUAUACAUGCUAUUCCCUUUGCCUCACGAUAUUUGGUCUAGCUUCAAGCCGACCGCUCUUUCUCAAUCCUGUGAUUCGGAAUCCCUUUGUAGGUUAACUCUUAACCGUACGUAGCAUGGCCAUGCAUUUUCGGAUCCGAUCACUCGAGGGGCCCAGAGAUAUCACUCUCAAUCAGAGAGGGGCAAAUCCCAUCUUGAUUGACCAUGUCUCAUAGCAUGCUUCUUGACAAACCCGAAAACUACCUUUAUAACUACCCUGUUACGGCGUAGCAUUUGAUAGCCCCUAAGUAGGUCGAUCCACAUCUAGAAUACAUGCGACAAUCUCAGGUCUAAGGACAAAGCGUAUAUGUUGUUUAAAGAGAGAACUACUUCUCGUGUUGGGUCAGUCCCAGCACAUGUCUCCACAUGUGUCCACAUUAUUAGUUCAACAUCUCCAUGUCCAUGACUUGUGAAACAUAGUCAUCAACUAAUACAUGUGCUAGUCUAAUAUUCAUGUGUGUCCUCACAUGAACUCCGACUAGGGACAACUUUAGAAUAACCAUACAAGUAAAGAGUUUCACAUACAAUUCACAUAAUUGCAAAUCAAUUCAAGUAGCCUUCAAUGGAUAUUCAAUGAACACAACAUACAAAUCAUGGAUACAAAUGGAAUAUCAUCAUCUCUAUGAUUGCCUCUAGGGCAUACCUCCAACAAUUAUUUCAUGUAAAUUUUUGACAAUUUUUUAAAAUUGUUUGAUAUUUUUUAAAUUUUUUUUAAAAUAACUUUGCCGAGUGUCCUAUUGUAGACACUCGGCAAAGCAGCCUUCACCGAGUGUUACCCCUGGGACACUCGGCGAAUUAAUGCCCGGCCGCUCAAGAAUAUGUGCCCGGCCCCCUCACUCUCCCGGCCCCCCUCACUCUCACUCCCCUCACUCCCUCCUCUCUCCCUCCUCUCUCCCUCUCGCCGCCGCCCGAAACCCCCGCCGCCGCCCGCCGCCCGGCAUGCCGCCCAGCGCCCCCCGCCGCCGCCCGGCGCUCCCGAAUCCGCCGCCGCCCGCCCGGCGCCCGGCCCCCGGAUCCGCCGCCGCCGGCCGCCCGGCGCCCCCGGAUUCGCCGCCGCCCGCCCGGCCCCCGGCCCCCGGAUCAGCCGCCGCCCGCCGCCCGGCGCACGGCGCCCCCGGAUCCGCCGCCGCCUGCCCGGCGCCCGGCCCCUGGCCCCCUGAUCCGCCGCCGCCCGCCCGGAUCCGCCGCCGCCCGCCCGGCGCCCGGCCCCCGGCCCCCGGAUCCACCGCCGCCCCCCCGGCCCCCGGAUCCGCCGCCCGCCCGUCCCCUCCACCGGAUCCGCCGGCGCCGGGGCCUGAAGAGAAGAGAAGAGGAGAGGAUGGUGGCGGCGGCGGCCGCGGCGGCGGAGCAGGUGGCAGAGCAUGCAUGAUUUUUUUUUAUUUUUUCAAUAAUUGUUCGCCAAGUGUUUUCUGGGCACUCGGCAAAGUCUUUGCCGAGUGCCCGACACAAAACACUCGGCGAACCAGUGUUUGCCGUCAAGAUUUUUGCCGUGUGUCGUUUGCCGAGUGUUACACUCGGCAAACGCUUUGUCGAGUGUUUUUGGGGUUUCGCGGAGUGACCCUGGCACUCGGCAUCACGCAUGUUUCCCUUAGUGAACUUGAAAUUAUCUGUACAUUCUCGGUGAAGCUGUUGAACUAAUUUUUGCAAAUUAUUAAUUCAUCUCAUUACGCAAAGAAAAAAGUAAGUGGAUAAGAUAUUUCGUGGACCACAUCACUGCAAACAUGUCAUGGAGAGACAGACCAAGGAGGCAGGACGUGAUACACGACUUACCCUAGGUUGCCGUGGAACCGCCAAGAAGAGAUACAGAUACAUGGACCACACCAUCUUGGGAGUAGUGACAGCAUAUAUGCAGAAGAAUACCCCGUGCCUAUUUGCAUGCAUGUCUCAAGUGAUCUGUUUUCUUCAGAAAAUACAUGAGCAUUGCCAGAAAGAAUGGCAAGAGACAAACAUGUCAUAGAGACUUGCAUGUCUUGCCUUGGAUACGCCAAGAAGAGGGACACAUACAUGGAUAACACAAAUCUAGUGACACGUAUAUUCAUCACAAAGGCAAAUCUGAUAAUUUUAUCCAUGGAGCAGACCAAGGAGAAAUUGAUGACGGACAUGUGAUCUCUGUAUUCAGUUGAAAGCUAAUUGAGCUACACUAAUAUGAGCAGGACUAUAUUCAAGAGACUUGUUGAGAGCUACAGGGAACUUGUAAUAAUUUGCUGGGCGGCCUGCGCACAAUGAUUUGUUAUACAUAGUUGAAAUAUUUCAAGAAUUUAUCAACCUCAUACUCUGAAACCCUUGGUGCAAUGUACUCUGCUUUCCGAGGUAGACUGUUCACGUAAAAUGAGGUCAUGCGUAAGACGGAAUCGGAUUGGAUUCACAGGGAAUCAGAUUUGGAUAGCACCUUUUAGCAGGUUUUUAGUCAAAUGCAAAUUCGGAUCCACAUGUGGUUGAAUGCGAGUUCAAAAUUCUACUUGGAUAUCCAUUUAAUUUAGGUGAUAGCAAUUAGCACAAAAUGUUGGAUGAACAAAAUCAUAGUUAGACAUACAAUUACAUGUAUGGUUAAAGUAUAAUACAAUACACCAAGAUUAUUCCUUGAAAAUAUUUCUUAAAAAUAUUAUAAUAAAUGAAUAAAUAUAAUUGUGGCCACCAACAAAUAGUCGGUGGUCGCUAAGUUGGAGCCAUUUCUGGUUACUAAUGCGGCCUUCUCCUCGACCAGCGACGACAGCUGAGCUUGUUCCUUCUGACACUAAAUCAUCAGAGUCUUCCCUCCACUACUAUAGAAUGCACCUUUAGCACCAAUUGGGAAAUCCCCUUCAGUAUUGGAUGCUGCAACCAGUGCUAUAUAUCAAAAUGGAGACUAAAAGCCUCGGUCUUGGGUACCGGUUGCAUAACGCAUUACUAAAGGAGGCAAAAGAGAAAUGUAACAAAAAAAAUAUUUUGAAUUCCAAGAAUGUUUCACUAUUCAAGAUGACUAGCUGAGAGUCAACAGACAAGAUACUAGGAAUGUGGGUGCUUGAAUGCAUUUGUACAGAGGUCAUACUAUUUACAAACUCUUCUAUGUUUCCAUAUGACUACCUACUUCAAUGUCACGCGAGCCAUUCAGCUGGACACAUGGCACACUAGCUUGCAUGUCGAAUCCAUGAUUAAUUAUUUGCACUUGUGAUCUCUUACCAGUAUUUGUCCAGACUAGAAACGUGCAACACAUUUUUAGGAUAUGGACACGCAUAUAUUUGGACUAGUAUACAGGUCACCUUUGGAUGCGUACAAGGAUGACCGGGAGGGACUAAUGGAUACAAGGAAGGGACCAUCAGGAUUAAUAUUGACAUAUGCCACAUGACAAUCUUCAUUGUCAUGCAAUCCCUAUCAACAAUCAUGGAAUCCCUAGUGUACUAAUCCCUGGAGGGUUGUGUGGAAAUUUAUUUUACCUUGCGGUGAAAAUCUCAUGAGCAGUCAUUAGUUAAGCUGACUAGCUGAGAUAUAAUAGACAAGCUAGUAAGAUUGGGAGCAUCAAUGCAUCCAUACAGGGUCACAAUAUCCUUUCCAUUCACUUUUAUAUAUAACCCUACGAAUACAAGUCCAACGAAAUGCGGGCCUUUCGAUCAAGAUAAAUUAAAUGGCCCACUUGUAUUUCUAAUCCAGGAUUAACUAUGCCCUCUGUUCAUCUCUUGCAAGCACGUGCAACACAUUUUCACGAUAUGGACAUGCAUGGAGGUUAUUAUACUGUUUGGACAAACUCUGAUGUGCCAUGACCUAAAUGCUUAGGGCCUGUUUGGUUUGAGUUGCUUAUUAUAAGCAACUUAAAGUUGCUUAAAGUUGCUUAUUUGAAGUUGCUUAUUUUUAGUCUAAACUGUUUGGAUACCCUUGCUUAUGAGCAUUGAAUGAGUUGGACAUUGUCAAAUUUGCCCCAUGUGUUGCUACCCCUCCAAUUUGCCUCCCCACCCUUCUUCUUCCUGCACACGUCCGAUCCCGGGGGCCGACGGCGGGCAGGGAGCAGCAGCAGCUGGCCAGGGCGGCGGUGGGGCGGGAGCGGCGGCGCACACCAGCACGCGCUCGCACGCCAGGUGCUAGGGCGCGGCGAGGCAGUCGUCGUAGCCCACCGGGAGCGGGUGCUCGGGCGCGAGGCGGUACUCGACGGAGAUGCCGAGCGUCGGGCGCGCGGCGGCGAGCGCGUUGAGGAAGCGAUGGUAGUGCGGCGACGUCGCGGACUCCGCCACGAAGCCGCCGCCGUGGACGUACACCACCACGGGCAGCUUCGUCUUGCCGUCGGCGGCCGCGGCCGCGGCCUGGGGUGGCAGGUAGAGGCGGACGGAGCAGGAGCCGAGGUCGACGUCCCUGGAGUCGACGCCCGUGGCGGCGUCCAGGCUAGGCCCGACCGGCGGCGGCACGAGCGGGCGCUCGAUGCGGCCGCUCUUGUAAAUCCGACGGGUCUGUGCGGAGGCGGGCGGCGGGCGGGAGCGGCGGGUGGGAGCGGCGGCAGGUGGUGCGGAGGCCGGCGGCGGCGGGUGGCGCGGAGGAAGGGGAGCUGGUGAGUGGUGACAGGGGAGGGGGGGAGAGAGAGGGGGGGGUAGGGUGCAUUGAAUGAGGGCAGGAGGUGUAAAGUGCACCUUUUAGUCCCCAUGAGCAACCAUAAGCAGCCCAAGAGUUGCUUAUUUGCUUAUAAUAAGCAACCUCAUAAGCAAGAGUGAUUGGUUUCAUAAGCAACUUAUUUGCUUAUUUUAAGUUGCUUAUGCAUAAGCAUGUGAAACCAAGCAGGUCCUUAACCUAUGGUUGUGGCACCACACAGUACAUAGUAUUUAAUAAUGCUAUUCGUUUGGUAUGUGCACAAGGGCACGCAUGAAAUGUCUGGCCCACGGUAAACAAGUACGGACGCUGCAAAUAAUCUACUCUGCUCGUCCAGUCCCUAGCCUAUAAAUAGAUGCCAUGCUAGCUCUUGUUGUGCUCACAAUUAAUCCUGACUACACACGAGCUUCUCUCCCUGGCCAAGACACAAUCAUAGUAUGAUGAAGAACAUGGCACUAGCCGGCAAUGGUAUGAAGAACUUAAUCCUCGCUGUUCUCUUACUGUGUCUAGUUAUAGGGCAGAUACAAGUGGAAGCUAAGAGCUGCUGCCCAUCCAUUACUGCAAGAAAUAUCUACAAUGCCUGCCGUAUCACGGGUACAUCCCGUCCAACGUGUGCAAAACUGUCAGGCUGCAAAAUUAUCAGCGGGGACAAAUGCAAGCCCCCUAACGACCACCUCACCCUUGACCCGGACACUGGUAAAUAAUAAAUUUAUCUCACUUGAUUUCUUCGUGUUUUGAGUCGUUAAUGUAUUUUCCAUCUGAUGAAACGUAUUGGUUUUGCAUUGAAGAGGAAGUUAAUGUGCUUAACUUCUGCAAGUUGGGGUGUGCGUCGUCUGUGUGCAACAACAUCAACGCUGGUAAGCACCUUUUGCUCAGACGGAGAAAACAAUAAUCAUUAAUUAGCGGCAGCUAGAAUCCUAUAAUCUAAUAUAUUUAUAUAUAUAUAUAAUUUUAUCAGCUCUGGGAAAUGAAGAGGCGAACGAUGCCGUUGAGAGUUGCGACCAAGCCUGCUCUAGCUUCUGCAACGUGCACGUUGGCGCUGCCACCGUGGUUGCUUAAGCAAAUGCAUCCAACUGGAUCGUCCUUGUGCUAAAUAAUUGGAUAUCGUAUCCACUUAAAGCUGCCUUGUGUAGUACGUUUUUGUUUGUGUCUCUCUUUAUAUUCCAAUAAGGUCGGUGAUCUUGAUGCCACACACUCAGACGUGUGUUCAUCUCCAGAUACUACUCCAUGCUACCUGCCCUUUGUGUUUUGUUCAAUAACUGGGUAUCAUAUCCCAGCCAGUGUGCCAUCUGUUUUGUGUUUAUUUCCUUCUAGUUUCAAAGGGGUUAUCAU